This 102207-nucleotide long non-coding RNA is filed under the name Lactuca sativa (garden lettuce). RNAcentral describes it as "long non-coding RNA (LSAT_LNC007907)". Lineage: Eukaryota; Viridiplantae; Streptophyta; Magnoliopsida; Asterales; Asteraceae. The record is from RNAcentral.
AGAAACUCUCUAGUGGGGAGCUCGUAAGUGUGCGCCAUGAGGUUGAGAAGGUUUUCUCACCCAAUGUUACGGAACAAUUGGGUGACCCCUUCAAGAACCCCUAACGAUAUGAGCGUGGGCUUGUACACGAACUUGGUGGAUGCAACCUUUCUAGGCAAGCUCUUUGUGUAGUUUUCGGCUGCAUUGGCAUCCCGAAAUCUUGGGAUAUCGGGAACAUCGCUUUGAUUUCUAGCCGGGGCCUUGCCUUGGGCAGCAGCUGAGCGCUUCCUAGAUGUGGACAUGGACUUCCUGCACGAAAAAUAACCACUACACAAACCACAAUUUCAACAAACAAUAUGUCAAUCCAAAUCACCAACUAACUCCCUAUGGACUUCUAAAGCAAUUCAACAAUCAAAGCAAGAAAUAAUUCCUAAAUUCAUUUGAUGCAAUAGCAUAUGAACGGACAUGCAUCUUGAUCAAUUAAAACAAAGGAAAGAAAGUACCCGUUUUUGUUGAAAGUUCAAAAUUUGCGCACGAAAAUUCAGGAUUUGAAAAUCUUGCAACUCUCCACCCCAAGCUUUAAGCUUUGUUCAAUAUCCCGGGAGAAGCAAUUUACCGCGAAAACCCGACGAAUCCGGCAAUGGCUUGAAAUUCCGGCAAAAUUUUCCGACGAACUUUGGGAAAUAUUUUUGGUGGGUUUUGUAGCCUUGUCCAAGAGGAGUACAGUGGUGGUGUCGGAAUCGCGAGAGGUGGUCGGAGUUAGCCAGAAAUCGGCCGGAAAGUGGCGAUGGGGUGGUGGUGGCGCCCCGAGAUACAACAACAGAUCGGACCAUUGUUUUAGUGGGGUUUGUAGAGCUCUGAAUUUGGAGAAGAAUGGUGGUGGUCUCGCGAAAUUCCGACCGGUGGUUUAACGGGAAACUGAGUUUUAGUGGAGGAAAAGGAGUGCUCUAAUGGAGGUUAAGGGAGAAGAAUGGAGAAGAAUAAGGGAGGGAAAAGGGCCCGCUGUUGAGUUUAUUGGCUAAAAAUCGCGGUCAACACUGGUCAAAAAGAGUCAACGUUGGUCAACAGCUCACGCGGACGCGAACGCGAGUACACGCGGUCCGCGUGAAUUCACCUGAUGCCCUACUGUUCUACGAUAUUGGACGCGGACAGCUUAGGAGAUAACACGUUCUCCGUUUUAAUAAAAACGCAGACGGGACUUGGAGUACACGCGGUCCGCGUGAGUUGUACUGAACUUGUUCUGUUUGCUUUCGUUGGACGCGGACACUUUGAAGGAUGGCACGUGGUCCGUGUUAAUAAACACACGGACGGGACCUUGAGUACAUGCGAUCUGCGUGAGUUGCCCUGAAACGCUUCUGUUUGCUGAUAAUGGACGCGGGCACUUGAGGGAUAAUACGCGGUCCGUGUUAAUAAACACGCGGACGGGACUUUGAGUACAAGCGGUCCACGUGAAUUCUUUUGCCAAUUUUCUCAAUUUUAGCUCUUUGACCAAUACGAACACCGAGUCUUCAUUUCCAACAUUCUUUUACCUCAAAAGGAAAAAGAAGAGAUGUUAAAUGCAAAAAUGAACCAUCUACGACAUUUAUUCGGAACUAGAAAAGACAAAAACGUUUAGUUUUCCAAAAAUGCCCCUCUUUAACGUCUUUGGCGAGACGUGCUUCCCUCUUGAUUUCAGUACACUGGGGCAUCCAAUUGGAUGACGUCUAACACAUUUGCAUUAAAACCUUCAUAGAAAGGUUUCAAUCGAUGCCCAUUGACUUUAAAGAUUUGCCCCGUUUCUUCACUUUGAAUUUCAACCGCUCAAUGUUCAAAGACUUUUAGCACAACAAACGGACCUAUCCAUCUUGACCUCAACUUUCCAAGAAAUAAUUUCAAUCAUGAAUGAUAAAGCAAUACCCUAUGUCUCGGCUCGAAAUGUUUGCGGAUAAUGGACUUGUCAUGGAAAAGCUUUGUCCCUUCCUUGUAAAUUCUUGUGUUUUUAUAGGAAUCGUUUCUCAAUUCUUCUAGCUCUUGAAGUUGAAGCUUCCUAUGCCUUCCCGCCUCGUCAAUGUUGAAGUUGCAUUGCUUGACGGCCCAAAAUGCACGGUGCUCUAAUUCGACGGGAAGAUGACUUGGUUUACCAAAAACCAACCUGAAGGGCGACAUUCCUAUCAGGGUCUUAUAAGCGGUCCGAUAGGCCCAUAAGGCAUCGUCAAGCCUCAAAAUCCAAUCUUUCCUUGUCGGAUUCACUGUUUUCUCUAGAAUAGACUUCACUUCAUGAUUCAAAACCUCCGCUUGACCAUUCGUUUGAGGGUGGUAGGAGGUAGAGACACGAUGGGUCACGUUGUACUUUUUUUGCAAGGCCUCCAUCAUCUUGUUACAAAAAUGCGUCCCUCAAUCACUAAUCAAAUCCCUAGGCACACCAAAUCUCACAAAAACAUUAGACUUUAAAAACUCAAUAACCGUUUUGGCAUCGUCUGAUCUUGUGACUUUGGCCUCAACCCAUUUAAAAACAUAGUCAACCGCGAGCAAAAUAUAAAUGUUGCCAAAUGAGACGGGAAAUGGGCCCAUGAAAUCAAUCCCCCAUACGUCAAAAAUUUCACAAACGAGGAUUGGAUUUUGGGGCAUUUGGUUCUUUUGCAAAAUGUUUCCCGUCCUUUGGCACCGCUCACAACUUUUGCAAAACAAGUAACAAUCGCGUGACAUGAUUGGCCAAAAUAAUCCACACUCAAGGACCUUUCUCAAAGUCCGGGUAGGUCUGAAGUGUCCCCCACAAGCAAAUUCAUGACAGAAUUGCAAAAUGGAUUGGUGCUCUUGUUGGGGCACACAUCGCCUAAUGAUUUGAUCAGGACAAUGUUUCCACAAAUAAGGUUCAUCCCACACAUAGUAUUUUGCAUCACUUUUCAGCUUGUCUUUUUGAGCACGUGUGAAUGUGUCGGGAUACCUCUUCGUGACCAAAAAGUUAACGAUAUCGGCAUACCAAGGAGUAGAUUGAGUGAGGGAACAGAGAUGCUCAUCCGGAAACUCGUCCCGAUGGGAAAGGAGUUUCAUUUGAAGUGAUCCGACUUAAAUGAUCGGCAACAAGGUUCUCGCAUCCACUCUUGUCCCGGAUUUCCAAAUCAAAUUCUUGUAACAAUAAAAUCCACCAGAUGAGUCUAGGCUUUGCAUCUUUCUUCGUCAUUAAGUACUUAAAUGCUAUGUGAUCCGAAUACAUUAUGACCUUGGUACCAAGUAGGUAUUGUUUAAAUUUCUCCAAGGCGAACACUAUGACCAAUAGCUCCUUCUCCGUAGUAGAGUAGUUGCUUUGAGCAUUGUCUAGUGUCCUUGAUGCAUAGUAGAUCACAUGGGAGGCCCUCCCAAUCUUUUGACCCAAAACGGCGCCUAUUGCAUAGUUGCUUGUAUCACACAUAACCUCAAAUGGGAGAUCCCAAUUUGGUGCUUGCAUGAUGGGUGCAGAUGUGAGCAACUCUUUGAGCUUGUCGAAAGCUUCUUUGCACGCCUCGUUGAACUCGAAAUCAACAUCCUUUUGCAAGAGUUGGCACAUUGUUCAUGUUAUCUUCGAAAAGUCCUUGAUGAAUCGUCGGUAGAAACCUGCAUGGCCCAAAAAAGAACGAACUUCGCUAACACAAGUCGGGUAAGAUAAGCUUUGAAUAACAUCGAUUUUUGCCUUAUCUACCUCAAUUCCUUUCUUUGACACAAUGUGACCCAAAAUGAGACAUUGAAUCACCAUGAAAUGACAUUUCUCAAAAUUUAAAACCAAAUUUGUUUCAAUGCAUCUUUUUAAAAUUUUGGUGAGAUUGGUCAAACACUCUUGAAAGGAGUUGCCAUAUACCGUGAAAUCGUCCAUAAAAACUUCAAUUAUGUUCUCGACAUAUUUUGAAAAGAUACUAACCCUGCAAUGUUGGAAAGUGGCAGGGGCAUUACACAAUCCGAAUGGCAUUCUACGGUAUGCGAAAGUGCCAAAUGGUCAUGUAAAAGUUGUCUUUUCUUGGUCUUCCGGUGCCACUGGGAUUUGGUGAAAACCGGAAUACCCGUCGAGACAACAAUAGUGGGAUUUCCCGUCCAACCUUUCUAACAUUUGAUCAAUGAAAGGUAGUGGAAAAUGAUCUUUUCGUGUGCUUGCAUUGAGUUUGCGGUAGUCAAUACAUACUCUCCACCUGUUUUGCACAUGGGUGGGGACCAUCAUACCUUUGUUGUUCUCGACCACCGUGAUUCCCGUCUUCUUUGGCAUGACUUGAACCGGGGCUCACCCAUUUGCUAUCCGAGAUUGGAUAGAUCAUUCUCGCAUCUAGGAGCUUCAAAAUCUCUUUCUUGACCACUUCCAUUAUUGGCGGAUUCAACCUUCUUUGCGCAUCUCUACUCGGCUUACAUUCAUCCUCCAUUAAGAUUUUGUGCAUACAAGUGGAGGGACUCAAACCCUUGAUAUUCACAAUUGUCCAACCCAUUGCUUCUUUAUGUUCCCUCAACACCUUGAGGAGUUGUUCUUCUUCACACUUGGUUAGGUGAGUUGAAAUGAUGACCGGAAGAGUCUCGUUGUCUCCCAAGUACGCAUACUUCAAAUGUUGAGGAAGGACCUUUAAUUCUAAUUCUGGCGGUUGGAAAAGGGAGGGUGGCAAUCUCGUGUGAGUUUGAGGUAAUUCAAUUUGCUUCACACUAAAUUGGGUGGUCUUCUUGAUCUCCAAAUUGUUGACUAAUCUUUCAAUUUCGGGGUCUAGCGAGUAGAGCUUCAACUUCUUGGCUAAUUUUGCACAAUCAAACCCCAUGCUCAAAACCAUCUCUAACAUGUCAUCAUCACACAAAUCGAACAAUUCUUGAGUUAAUGGUCCGAAAACAUCUAUAAAGCACAAAGAUGAAACAUCACUAGGAUACCUUAUAGCAUCAUAAAUGUUAAAACUUAUUGUUUCACCAUCAAAUUCCAUUGUUAAGCUUCCCGCAUACACAUCAAUCUUUGUUCUAGCCGUCUUCAAGAAUAGUCUCCCAAGUAAGAUUAUACCUGUAACGCCUGUGUUUCCGGGCUUGCCACUUUUAGCAAUGUAAUAGUCUAGGUUAACCUUUGUAACCCGUUUUGAAAUAAUAAUAAUGUAUUAUUUGAGUAUUAUGUGUUUUGUGCUUAAUUGCUUAAUUAUGUGGUUUGAUUAAUUAAGAAUAAAAAUAAGCGUCAAAAUUUAAGUGUAAAAUAAACUUAAUAUCUUUGGUUAAUGUUGUAGUAAUUGAAACGAGGUUUCCGAAUAUAUAUAGAACGCCCAAAUCUGACUUCGUAUGAGGAAGUUAUGAUUUAUCGAAGUUCCGGCUUAGCGGUAUACAGCCUGAAAUACUCGAAUUGAGAUCGAGCGGUUGUUAGCCGAAGCAAUCUAAAUGAGAAUCGAAGAUCUCAUUGUUGGUAUCGAAGCGAUAAAAAGUUAGGCGAGAACGGACGUCAAACGAAGAACUUAUGAAUUUAUAACGAAAGUUUCUGUCCCGACCUAUUAAAAAUAAUUAAUAAAAAAUAAAGUCAAAAUUAGCCGACGGAGUCUAAACGAAAGUCGUAGAGCGUAGUCUCACCUUCGCGUGGAUAUAAAGAACGUCAAAAACGGAGUUCGUAUGAAGAAGUUAUGAAUUUCCGAAGUUUAUUAAUCAUUUUAUAUUUUUAUUUAAUUCAAAAUGGAGGUAUUAUCCGAAGCCGAGUCACCGGUGUAAUCCGGAGUACGCCCCGCGUACGAGGUUACGCUAUCGCGUAACUCCGAUAGUGUCGACACUUCGGAUGACGCAUGCAAUGACGAUUUCGGACGCGUACGCGCUGCGUACGCCUGUACGCCCCGCGUACUCCGAGGUUCCAGCCUCUAUAUAAAGGAUCCGAAGACAGCCUUCUUUGUUGUUCAAUUUCUUCUCUUCUCUCUAGUCUUUUGCAUCGUUUUUCGUGCCGAAGCUAUCCCGAAGUCCCGGUAUCAUACUCUAGCCCCGAGGCAAGUCCCGAGAUCCCGAAGAUCCCGAAAAGUGCGGUUCCCGAGUCGAAGCUCUGCCCGCGAGAAGUUCGAUUUUCGAGGAGAUCUUCCAGAUCUGCUGAGGAAUACUACUUCUAUAAGCCGUAGUGCUGUCGGAUCGUCUUCUGAUCAAGUGAGUGUGUAGUUAUUUCUUCUAAUACAAUAAUACGAAGUAUUUUAUAUAAAAAUACGUGCUAUGUGUAUAUAUUUGGUUGUGUUAUGUGUGAAUGAGUAUUCACUCUCUUCUAUCUUAUAGAUCUGCUUAUUUCUUUAUGAGAUAUGUGUUAUGUGUGUGUGUGCCUCAUCUGUUAUGUGAUAUAUGUGUUGAUUAAAGCAUGCUAUACAGGUUUUCUUUAAACUAUGUAUACAAAUGUAUAUUUUUAUCUACUAAUAUGUUGGGUAGAACAUGGGUAGACAGUUGGUGUGUAAUAAACAGAUGAGAGGCCUCGUUGUUGUUUGAUUGAGUCAUCUAGCGGAGUUUAGAUGACGACCACUGGCUAUUCUAGACAGUCUUGUGGAAACAUUAGCAGGUUCGCCACCUGUAGGUGUUAAUGAACUUGGGUGUUCAUUCGCUGUACUCCAUCCCCCUCAUGGUUGCCUUAUUUGACUUAUAUUGCUGAGGUACCCCCGAAGCAUGUGUUGUCGCCCCGAUGAAAUAUUCUUAGACUAGGUCCCUUAUGUUAGUUGUUUUAGGGACAUUAAAGUGAGAAUAACGGGAAUGGGUAAUUGGGUUAUUGUUGGUUGGUGAAAAUUAAAUAUGAUAUUUAUUGUGGGUUGAAAACCCUAUAUGCUCACCAGGCUCCCAAGCCUGACCCACUCAGUUUUAAAUUGUAUUACAGGUAGUGGCGGAAGGGCAUGAGAUGGAUGAACCAUCAAGUUGUUUUGUUUACAAGUCUGCAUAUGUUUAUAUUUGUUAUAUGACUUGUAAUGUAUUCGUUUAUGCUUAUUGGUCUGUAUCGGAACAUGACACCCCGAGUUUUGAUUAUAAUGAAAAUACAUUUCUUUUAUGAAAUGCUUCGGUAAACAAUGUUUUAUCAUGUUUUGUUUUUGGGAACAAAUUCCGCAACUCUUUCAAAUCAAAAGGAUUUACUCUGAAAAUAUUUAAAAGCAUAAAUGAAAAUCGGUCUUUUCUGGCCGAGAUUUUGGGGAUGUCACAGUUGGUAUCAGAGCAUUAGUUUAAGCGAACUAGGAAUUUGUAGGAUUUCUAGACUUAAACUUAGAAUGCUAAGUGAAGUUUUGAGAUGUGUGUCUGUUGUGAUUUAGACACGAGCACUAGUUUAUUUUAGGAAAGUUGCCUAAAAUGCUUUAUGUGCUAAAUGUUAUAUGUUGCCAUAUAUGAUAUUAUUUGUUCGGAUCUAUGGUCUGUUGCCGACCGGAUCUAGAAACCUUAUGUGUGUAGGAUUCUAAGCGUACGUCUACGAUAUUAGAACUAGCAUGUAAACGUUUCGGAGUGAUAAGGAUGAUUUGAAUAUCUAUCAUGAUUGAGGAUCUAAUUUCACCUUAUUCGGUGUAGAUCAAAAUGGUGAGAACAAGAAGUGGAGUUGGAAAUGCUGACGAAAACAGGAAUCAACCACCAGUGAUUGAGCCAAUACCUGUCGUAGCAGCAGCACCUGAGCCAAUAACCAUGGCUGGUGUGCAAUUGAUGAUUCAGACGAUGUUGGAUCGUCAGAUGGAUGAAACUAGACGGUUGCUUCAACAAAAUCGUGAAGAACUGUCGAUUCGUGUGGAAGAGCCUGAACUGAAUGAAGGGCACUCGGAAGGUGGAAACUUCAGUGGGUCUGUUGGUCCAGCCAACCCACCGAUAGUUAGGCAAGAUAACCAUGAUGGAAGGAAUGAUGGAAUGGGAUGCAAGUACAAGGACUUUUUGACUUGUAAACCAUCGACCUUCAAUGGAAAGGAGGAUCCGAUUGGGGUUAUGGAUUGGAUCUCCGAAAUGGAGUUAGCCUUUAUGACAUGUGGCUGUAGAGGCAAGUUGCAGACUAUCUAUGCCGUGCGACAAUUCCGAGGUGGAGCCGUUCGUUGGUGGAACACUCUAGGGAAGACCUUAAGCCCUAAUGAGCCACUGCAAUUGUCAUGGGCAGAGUUCUUGGUGCAGUUCAAGCGCAAGUUCUGCUCGGCUCAAAAUCUGUUGGAGUUGGAGAACAAGUUUUUGACAUUGACGAAGGGUAGCAUGUCAGUGGAUGAGUACACCAAUAACUUCACCGAUAAGAUGGAGUUUGCCUUGCGUAUCGUUCCAGACGAGCUGACAAAGGUGGAUCGGUAUGCGAAGGGACUUCCAUGGGAGUACGAGGUGCCGGUACGUCAGGCACUUACUCUAGAGGCAGCUAUCUGGGCUGCCAAGUCUGUGGAGAACAUGAUCAAGGGGAGAACCACCGUCAAGGUUGAGGUUGGUGAGAAAAGGAAGUUUGAAGGAACAUCUGGUUCCAGUAAGAAGAGCAAAUUUUCGAAAUCUGAUUCGAAAAAGUUUGGAGGAAAAGGAGGCGAAGCAAAGUGGUGUGAUAAGUGUAAGAAAAAGCACUUUGGGAAAUGUAGCGAGGAUGUGACCUGCUACAAGUGUGGAAAGGUUGGACAUUUUGCCAAUGAAUGUCCGAACAACAAAAGGAUGUGUUUUGGGUGUAAUGAAGAGGGGCAUAUUUUGAAAGACUGUCCGAAGAAGAAGGAGGCAGCUAGGCCCAACAUUCCACCAAAGCCGAAGGCGAGAGCCUUCCAGAUGACACUUGAGGCUGCGAAAGAUGAAGCUGAUGUCGCUUCAGGUACCUUUCUCGUAAACGAAUUACCUGCUCAUAUAUUGUUUGAUUCUGGAGCCAACUACUCCUUUAUUUCGCAUGAGUUUGGUAGAAAGCUAGCUUUGCCUGUUGAUAGACUAGAUAAUGCUUUAUUAGUCGAAGUAGCUAGUGGCAAGUUUGUACCUGUUAGCCAUCGUAUGAAAAACGUCUUGAUCGACCUUAAUGGGAAUAAGUUUCUCGAGGAAUUAUUGCCUAUCGAACUAAAUGGUUUCGACAUCGUCUUGGGAAUGGAUUGGCUUAGCGCCAAUGAUGCCGAAAUUUUGUGCAAGAAGAAGAUAGUUAAAGUAAACCCGCCUGGGAAAGAUUCGUUUAUGGUGUAUGGGGACAAACGCAGAGUGAAUUCUGGAAUCAUUUCUCUAAUGAAAGCCAGAAAGUGUUUGACCAAGGGAUGUACAUCAUAUUUAGCAUUCGUGAUUGAUGCUAAGAAAGAAAAGAAGGUGAUGCAGAGCAUUCCAGUGGUGUGUGAUUAUCCGGAAGUAUUUCCCGAGGAUCUUCCUGGAUUACCACCUGAUAGACAAGUGGAGUUCAGAAUAGACUUGUUACCAGGAACCACGCCAAUAGCAAAAGCACCUUAUCGAUUAGCACCGACGGAGAUGAAGGAGCUGAUGAUGCAACUUCAGGAGUUAUUGGACAAAGGUUUCAUUAGACCUAGUUCAUCGCCCUGGGGAGCUCCGGUGUUAUUUGUAAAGAAGAAAGAUGGAAGUAUGAGAAUGUGCAUCGAUUACAGAGAGCUGAACAAGGCAACAAUAAAGAAUAGAUAUCCGUUGCCGAGGAUUGAUGACCUGUUUGAUCAAUUGCAAGGUUCGAGCUAUUUCUCGAAGAUCGAUCUUAGGUCAGGAUAUCAUCAGCUGAAAGUAAGAGAGCAAGAUAUCGAGAAGACUGCAUUCAGAACUAGAUAUGGACACUACGAGUUCUUGGUUAUGUCGUUUGGACUAACCAAUGCUCCAGCAGCGUUCAUGGAUUUGAUGAAUAGGGUUUGUAAUCCUUUCCUUGAUAAAUCCGUGAUAGUGUUCAUAGACGACAUUCUGAUCUACUCGAAAAGCCAGGAGGAGCAUGGCAGACACUUGCGAGAAGUGUUAGAAGUUUUGAAGAAGGAGAAGCUUUAUGCGAAGUUCUCCAAAUGUGAUUUUUGGAUUCGUGAGGUCCAAUUCUUGGGUCACGUGGUCAACCAAGAAGGGAUAAUGGUUGAUCCAGCGAAGAUCGAAGCUGUGACGAAGUGGGAACAACCGAAAAGUCCCACGGAGAUUCGAAGCUUUUUAGGAUUAGCCGGAUAUUACCGAAGGUUUAUCCAAGGCUUUUCUUCGAUUGCUACUCCAUUAACAGCUUUGACCCACAAAGGAGCUACUUAUGCUUGGAGUGAGAAGCAUAAAGAAGCAUUCGAGAAGUUAAAGAAGAAGCUAUGCGAGGCACCGAUACUUUCUCUACCCGAUGGAGUUGAAGACUUCGCUGUUUAUAGCGAUGCGUCUGGUGUUGGAUUGGGUUGUGUUUUGACCCAAAGAGAAAAGGUGAUAGCAUAUGCGUCUCGACAGCUGAAAGAGCAUGAAAAGAAUUACCCGACUCAUGAUUUGGAGUUGGCAGCGGUAGUUUUCGCUCUGAAAAUAUGGAGGCAUUACCUCUAUGGCACGAAGUGCAAACUUUUCACUGAUCAUAAGAGUCUCCAAUACCUCUUUAAUCAGAAAGAAUUGAAUAUGAGGCAACGACGCUGGCUAGAAUUACUUAAAGACUACGACUGCGAGAUACUUUACCACCCCGGUAAAGCUAAUGUUGUUGCUGAUGCUCUCAGUCGGAAAGUCAAUCUUGAAAGGAAGAGGCCAAGAGCGUUGAGAAUUGAAGUUGUCUCGACUAUUGUGGAAAGUAUAAAGAAAGCUCAAGAGGAAGCUUCUGAGAAAAAUGACCGAAAGGAGGAACGUUUGGGUAAAACGUUGGUGUUUGGUACUAACGGUCAUGGACUGAAGGUAUUCCAAGAUCGUAUUUGGGUACCUAAGUCAGGAGGAAUUAGGGAUCUUCUGAUGGAAGAAGCUCACAAAACCAUGUACUCAAUUCAUCCGGGUAGCACUAAAAUGUAUAGGGACCUGAAACCCUACUACUGGUGGCCGACGAUGAAGCUUGAUGUUGCAAAGUAUGUGGCCGAGUGUGUGACUUGUGCGAGAGUCAAGACACAACAUCAGAAACCUUACGGGAGUUUAGAACCAUUGCCUGUGCCUAUGGGUAAGUGGGAAGACAUUGCUAUGGAUUUUGUCACUAAACUGCCCAGAACAAAGAAUGGUCACGACAUGAUUUGGGUGGUCGUUGAUCGAUUCACUAAGAGUGCGCAUUUCAUAGCGGCCAGGGAGAAAUGGUCUAUGGAAAAGCUUGCGAAUUCUUACGUGAAGGAAAUUGUGAGGCUUCACGGUGUUCCGUUAACGAUUGUAUCGGAUCGUGAUAGCCGUUUCACCUCAAGGUUUUGGAAAAGUCUACAAGAGGAAAUGGGUACCAAGUUAUGUUUAAGCACAGCUUACCAUCCGCAGACUGAUGGUCAGAGUGAAAGAACAAUACAAACACUUGAAGAUAUGCUGAGAGCAUGUACCUUGGAAUUCCUAGGUAAUUGGGAUGAACAUUUACCGUUGGUAGAAUUUUCCUAUAAUAAUAGUUUUCACUCGAGCAUUAAGAUGGCACCUUAUCAAGCUUUGUAUGGACAGAAGUGUCGUACGCCGUCUUGUUGGCUUGAGGCUGGGGAAAAGCAGUUUAUGGGACCGGAGAUGGUUCAUCAAACUGCUGAAAAGUUGAAAAUAAUUAGGGAAAGAAUGUUAGCAGCUCAAGAUCGUCAAAAGAGCUAUGCUGACAAGAAGCGAAGACCGAUGACUUUUGAGGUUGGAGAUUCGGUUUUGCUUAAAGUCUCGCCGUGGAAGGGACUUAUAAGAUUUGGUAAAAGGGGAAAGUUGAGUCCAAGGUUUAUUGGACCGUUUAAAGUCCUUCAGAGGAUUGGGAAUCAAGCUUACAAGCUCGAAUUACCCGAAGAACUGAAUGGAAUUCACAACACCUUUCAUGUGUGUUAUUUGAGGAAGUUCACGGGAGAAGUUCCCGAUAUAAUUCCAAUUUCUGAAUUGAGAAUUGAUGAGAACAAAAGGUUGAUUGAAGAACCAGAGGCAAUUGUUGACCGAAAGACUAAGAAGUUGCGACGCAAAAUGGUUGGGUUAGUGCUUGUCCGAUGGAAACACACGAAUGGGCCGAAUCUCACCUGGGAGACGGAGAGUGACAUGUUGAGUCGCUAUCCGCAUUUGUUUGUUGAUGUGUGAUUCCGGGGACGGAAUCAUUCUAAGGUGGAGAGAAUUGUAACGCCUGUGUUUCCGGGCUUGCCAUUUUUAGCAAUGUAAUAGUCUAGGUUAACCUUUGUAACCCGUUUUGAAAUAAUAAGAUUGUAUUAUUUGAGUAUUAUGUGUUUUGUGCUUAAUUGCUUAAUUAUGUGGUUUGAUUAAUUAAGAAUAAAAAUAAGCGUCAAAAUUUAAGUGUAAAAUAAACUUAAUAUCUUUGGUUAAUGUUGUAGUAGUUGAAACGAGGUUUCCGAAUAUAUAUAGAACGCCCAAAUCUGACUUCGUAUGAGGAAGUUAUGAUUUAUCGAAGUUCCGGCUUAGCGAUAUACAGCCUGUUUUACUCGAUUUGAGAUCGAGCGGUUGUUAGCCGAAGCAAUCUAAAUGAGAAUCGAAGAUCUCAUUGUUGGUAUUGAAACGAUAAAAAGUUAGGCGAGAACGGACGUCAAACGAAGAAGUUAUGAAUUUAUAACGAAAGUUUCUGUCCCGGCCUAUUAAAAAUAAUUAAUAAAAAUAAAGUCAAAAUUAGCCGACGGAGUCUAAACGAAAGUCGUAGAGCGUGGUCUCACCUUCGCGUGGAUAUAAAGAACGUCGAAAACGGAGUUCGUAUGAAGAAGUUAUGAAUUUCCGAAGUUUAUUAAUCAUUUUGUAUUUAUUUUUAAUUCAAAAUUCGGAAGCAUUAUCCGAAGGAGUCACCGAUCUGAUCCGAGGUACGCCCCGCGUACUCGAGUACGCCCCGCGUACUCCGAGGGAUGUCGACACUCGCACUCGAGCACUUCGGAUACGUAAGCAAUGACGUUUUGGGCAGUACGCCCCGCGUAACGCAGUACGCCCCGCGUACUCCGAGGCUCCAGCCUCCUAUAAAUAGGAUGCGAGGGUUCCGGGUAUUUUUGCCAAUUCCCUCUCGUUUUCGUGUCGAAGCUCUGUGCAAAAACCCCCGAAGCUACCCCGAAGUCCCGGUAUCAUACUCUAGCCCCGAGGCAAGUCCCGAGAUCCUGAAGAUCCCGAAAAGUGCGGUUCCCGAGUCGAAGCUCUGCCCGCGAGAAGUUCGAUUUUCGAGAAGAUCUUCCAGAUCUGCUGUGGAUUACUACUUCUAUAAGCCGUAGUGCUGUCCGAUCAUCUUCUGAUCAAGUGAGUGUGUAGUUAUUUCUUCUAAUACAAUAAUACGAAGUAUUUUAUAUAAAAAUACGUGCUAUGUGUAUAUAUUUGGUUGUGUUAUGUGUGAAUGAGUAUUCACUCUCUUCUAUCUUAUAGAUCUGCUUAUUUCUUUAUGAGAUAUGUGUUAUGUGUGUGUGUGCCUCAUCUGUUAUGUGAUAUAUGUGUUGAUUAAAGCAUGCUAUACAGGUUUUCUUUAAACUAUGUAUACAAAUGUAUAUUUUUAUCUACUAAUAUGUUGGGUAGAACAUGGGUAGACAGUUGGUGUGUAAUAAACAGAUGAGAGGCCUCGUUGUUGUUUGAUUGAGUCAUCUAGCGGAGUUUAGAUGACGACCACUGGCUAUUCUAGACAGUCUUGUGGAAACAUUAGCAGGUUCGCCACCUGUAGGUGUUAAUGAACUUGGGUGUUCAUUCGCUGUACUCCAUCCCCCUCAUGGUUGCCUUAUUUGACUUAUAUUGCUGAGGUACCCCCGAAGCAUGUGUUGUCGCCCCGAUGAAAUAUUCUUAGACUAGGUCCCUUAUGUUAGUUGUUUUAGGGACAUUAAAGUGAGAAUAACGGGAAUGGGUAAUUGGGUUAUUGUUGGUUGGUGAAAAUUAAAUAUGAUAUUUAUUGUGGGUUGAAAACCCUAUAUGCUCACCAGGCUUCCAAGCCUGACCCACUCAGUUUUAAAUUGUAUUACAGGUAGUGGCGGAAGGGCAUGAGAUGGAUGAACCAUCAAGUUGUUUUGUUUACAAGUCUGCAUAUGUUGAUAUUUGUUAUAUGACUUGUAAUGUAUUCGUUUAUGCUUAUUGGUCUUUAUCGGAACAUGACACCCCGAGUUUUGAUUAUAAUGAAAAUACAUUUCUUUUAUGAAAUGCUUCGGUAAACAAUGUUUUAUCAUGUUUUGUUUUUGGGAACAAAUUCCGCAACUCUUUCAAAUCAAAAGGAUUUACUCUGAAAAUAUUUAAAAGCAUAAAUGAAAAUCGGUCUUUUCUGGCCGAGAUUUUGGGGAUGUCACAAUACCCGAUUUUGAGGAUACUUGUUCAUCUAGGUCAAUCACAUAGAAAUCCACCGGGAAGACCAAUUGGUUUACUUGCACUAGGACAUCUUCCAAAUCACCUCUAGGAAAGACACUUGAUUUAUCCGCAAGAGAUAUUAUGACACUGGUUUCACUUAAGGGUCCGACAUUCAAUGAUUCAUACACCGAGUAGGGCAUGACAUUGAUAGAGGCACCAAGAUCAAGCAUAGCACUACUAAAAGUGACAUCUCCAAUCUUGCAAGGAACCGUGAACAUUCCAGGAUCUUUACACUUGGGUGGAAGAUUCCUUUGUAAAACCGCGUAUGCAUUUUCAUUUAUCGAGAUUUUCUCAUUUCAUUUCAACUUUCUCUUGUUGGUGCAAAGUUCCUUCAAUAAUUUUGCAUAUCUCGGAAUUUGCUUGAUUGCAUCAAGUAAAGGAAUGUUUACUUCCACCUUUCGGAAGGUGUCCAAGAUCUCUUUCUCCUCCAUAUUCUUCUUUGAAGUUGCAAAUCGGGAAAGGAAUGGUGGUUGAAUGGCUAUUGGUGUCACUAGAGGAGCAGUCUUCUUUGGGGCUCCGACUUGUGCAUCGUUCUUGAUUAUAGGUUCUUCAACGGGAAUGAUCUCUAUUUCUUCCUCUUCUUCCCUUGGCUUCUUCUUCGAACUAUUUUCUCCGGUUUGUUUGCCACUUCUUAAGGUCACCACAUUGACAUUUGGGUUCUUUUCGGUUUGAGAAGGGAGUUUACCACGAGAUUCCAACUUGCUUAUGGAUGUAACUAUAUCUCCAAUUUGUGCUUCAAGGUUGGAGAUACUAGUCCUUGUCUCUUUUUGGAAUUGUUGGGUACUAGUGGCUAGGGAUUUGACAAUGCCUUCAAGAGACAUUCUGGAGCUACUUGGUUGAGAUUAAGGAGGUUGUUGAUGAUGAUGUGGAGUGUGCGGUUUGGGUUGAUAGUGUGGUUAUUGAUGUUGGUAAUGAGGUUGUGGUGGUGGAUAGGACGGUCUAACCAAUGCAUUUUGAGGCAAUGGUCUUGGGUUGUAGCUCAUGUUGGGAUUUGGCUUCCAACUUGAAUUAUAUGCAUUUUGGUGACCGGAUGGCUUGUUGUGAUAGUUUUGGAACUCCCCUGUGGCAUUUACAUGUUCCACAUCUUCUUGAAGAAUGGGGCACAUAUCCGUAGGAUGUCCCAUUGUUGCACAUAUUCCACAAACCAUCACUUGUGGAGUUUGUCCCAUGGCUAGCUUUUGGACAACGGAGGUUAGAUCUUUGAUUUGAGACUCGAGAUUUGAUGUUCCCACCUCGUUGACUUUUUGUUGAGUUUCUCUCUUCAUAUCUUGACGAGGGCCAAAAUGUUGUGAAUUUGCGGCUAUGGUGUUGAAGAGUUGUCUUGUUUGUUGUGGAGUUUUACUAAAGACAUCUCCACCACUUGAGGCAUCCACUAGUCUUCUCUCCAUUGGUAGCAAUCCCUCAUAGAAGUGUUGAAUGAGGAGUUGUUACGGGAUUUGGUGUUGUGGGCAACUAUGGCACAAGUUGUUGAACCUCUCCUAAUAAUCAUGAAAAGUCUCAUUUUGACCUUGGCAGAUUCCACAAAUCUCAUUUCUAAGACUUGAGACUCUUGAAGCGGGAUAUAACUUAUCAAGGAAAGCUCUUGCCAUGUCGGUCCAUGAGUUGAUCGACCCCGAUGGAAAAUAGAAUAAUCAAUCUUUUUCUCUAUCGGCCAAUGAAAAGGGGAAUGCCCUUAGCUUGAUUUGGUCAUCGGUUGACCCUUGUGGCUUCAUACUAGUGCAAAUAAUGUGGAACAUCUUCAAAUGCUUAUGCGGGUCUUCGUUCUCCAAUCCAUGAAAAGUUGGGAGGUGAUGGACUAAACUUGACUUCAAUUCCGAACCUCCUUCCAAAACCGAGUAAUUGAUACCGGUUGGAGUUUGUGUAACAUCGGUCUCCAUCAUUUGCCUCAAAGUUCUCUCGGGAACUUCUCAUCUGUCCGCCAUUGCAAUUGGUUCAAUAAUGGGUGGAUUUUGUUGUAGGGGUGGUGUUUCGGGAAUUUCUUGGCGAGGGUCGGGACUAGAAUCGGGUUCCGUAUCACUUGAUGAAGUGGGUUCAACCUCCGGACCCCCGUGAGGAUUAGAGAAACAAAUUGAUUAAAAACAAACCAAUCCCCGGCAACGACGCCAAAAUUUGGUGGUUAUCGAGGCCAAUAAAAUUAAUAACCCUAAAUCUUUUACACUAACAUAGUGUAUAGUGGUAAAGGGAUCAUAUCCACGGAGAUUGGUUCAAUUUAAAUCUCUAUGUAAAUUUCUUUGUAAAAUACUUGCAAAAUAAAGCUAAAAGUAAAAAAAGGGGGGGGGGGGUUAAUUCUUUCGAUUGUUUGACAAAAUUUAAAACUAGCUAGAAUGAAAAUAUUACAAGUAAACAAGUAAAAGAUUUGAUUAAAUUCAAAGAAGUGGAAUUGGUUGAUUUUGGGGUACACCUCAUGGAUGCUAUGAUUGAUUUAUCAUUAGACUUAAUGGAAUAACACUUGUGAAUUGGUUUAACUUGGCUAUAGCAAUUCAUAAGCACAAAUUGCCUCAACUCUUCUUAUAAAUUAAAAUGGUUAGAGGAGCUCUUAACACAUUUCCUUAAUUGAAGUCACAAAAUCAAUGAAGCAUAAAACCUUGUGAAAAUCAAUUAGCUUUAAGUUGUAAGAGUUACCAAGUCCACAAGAUAUCAAAUGCUUACAUUAUCAUUAUGGAGGAAAUAUUUCCAUGGUCUAAUUUGAAGGUCCAUUACUUAACCAAGAAAUUAGUCAGCAAAUACAAGCAUUCAUUCAUCCAAGCUCAUGAUCAAAGAUAAAUAUACACAACAAGAUGUUUAACUAGAAAAUAUUCCCAUAAACUUCAAACACAAUGUAAUGAUAAGUCUUAAAAGCAAAUAAUCAUCCAUGGGUUAAAUCCUAAUCAACCAAAUGAAAGCUUAGCCAAGCAUGGCCAAAGUAAAAGAAAAACAAUAUAGUUUAGUGGUACCAAACAUUGUCUUUGAUGCAAGAUGAAAGGAAAUUACACUAUUAUUCCAAAAAUUCUUCAAAUCUUCCAAGGCUUUUGAGAGAGAAUAUGGUGUUUGUUCUUCAAGUCAUCCCCCUCAAUAACGGCUCCACUCUCCAGCAAAAGGGGGCUGAUUUCCGGAUUCAAAAAAGUGCCAAAAGCCACCCACCAAACUUCCACAAUUAGAGUCAACAAGUCAAACCCGAAAUCAGCUCAGAACAAUUCACACGGACCGCGUAAGAGUCCACGCGGACCGCAUGGGUCACGCUGAAUGUGAAACUUGGGCCAUUAAUCAUGCAUUCUAGCCCAAUCUUCAAUUCUUCAACUUCAGCCCACAAUCAUAACUCUUUAGGGCCCAUUUGUGGCAUUCCAAAGCCUUCUAAUGAUUGACCCAAUACUCCUUAAAUUUUCUUGUAGCUCGAUUCCCAUCGUCUCAUCAUCAUCCUUGCUCACAAAUUAGGUCCAAACUGAUUUCUUCUUUAUGCAAGCACCAAGCCCAAUCGCACCACUCCAAAUCCACAAGCAAACCGCAAGCUCUAUAGGUCUCGCACCCUUCUAAGCCACCAAUAACAAAAAGUCUUCGAUAAAUCCUACAAAUAAGCUCAAAAGACUGGAAAGUACCCGGUAAAGGAGAAAAAUAAGCUCCCAAAACCGUNAAGGAGAAAAAUAAGAAAAAGAGAAAAUAUGCAUGAUGAUUAACUAAAAUGGGAUGGUUUUGACUAAAAAUAAACUACGGAAAGAAGUAAUAAAAUGAAGCUAUCAUAAACUAAUGCCAAAUAAUGGUGUUCCCAUUUCACAAUUGGAAUGCUCUGAGACUAUUGGUAGUUUGAUGUAUGUCAUGACAAGUACCAGACCUGAUAUUGCUUUUGUUGUGGGUAAAUUGAGCAGGUACACUAGUAAUCCCAUUGCUUAACAUUGGAAAGCAGUAAAUAUAGUGUUUAAGUAUCUUAAGGGAAUCAUGAAUUAUGGUUUGAGUUAUUUGGGAAGUCCUUUGGUUUUAGAAGGUCAUUCGGAUGCAAGUUGGAUAACCAACAUGGAGGACCAUUCCUCAACUUAUGGUUGGGUAUUCUUGCUUGGGGGAUGUGUCAUCUCUUGAGCUUCCAAUAAGCAAUCUUGCAUUACAAACUCAACAACGAAAUUUGAUUUUGUUGCGUUACCAACUGCUGGUAAAGAAGCAGAGUGGCUAAGGAUUUUAGUCUAUGAGAUUCCUUUGUGGUCUAAACCGAUAGCACCUAUUUCUAUCCUUUGUGAUAGUGCAACCACUUUGGCUAAGGCAUAUAGUCAGGUUUAUAAUGGCAAGUCUAGACACCUAGGUGUUAGACAUAGUAUGAUUAGAGAACUAAUCACGAAUAGUGUGAUUUCGGUUGAGUUUGUGAAAUCGCAACAAAAAUUGGCAGAUCACUUGACUAAAGGUCUGACAAGAGACUUAGUGCACAAGUCUGUAAUCAGGAUGAGAUUAAAGUCCAUUUAAUUCUAUAAUGACGAGACACUCAAUUCCUUCCUAAUAUAAUGUUGGGAGUUGAAUUCAAUGUGGAAAACUAAUACUUAUGGAUUGAAACACAUGAAGUAUUCAUCCCAGGUAUGUGUUCGCUUCUGCAAGUUAGCCAGGUUGAAGUUUAACUUAUUAAUAAAUCCUUUGAUAAAUGUAUGUACAGAUACAUGGAAAGGAGUUACCUACAUGAUUGUGAAGUGUAGCCGCAUUUCAAGAGGUUGUGGACUUGACCUUGAUACGAUCAUGAGAGGAUUGGGUCACACGACUUUAUAAUAUUGUCAAGUUGUAUUUUGCUAGAAAUUCAAUAAACUAGUUUGUAUUUUACUUUUUGGUAUUCAAAUGGGUUGAUGGGUUCAAUUCUUAAAACACCCUGAUUCUUGAGUAUUUGCAAAUGUAUAAUACUAAGUGGAAAUUCAAUCGUUUCGAUAUUUUCAUUAUGUACUAUUUUGAUUUCUUUGAUAAGGUUAUGUUUGUUCAAGGGUUACACUAAAAUGGGGGAGGAUUGUUGAUGAUUUUAGUGUCACCACAAACCCUAAAUUUUUUAACAACUCUAAUGAUGAUAAGUGAAGAGUGUGUAUGGUAGGUUGUAUGGUAGGAAACACUUGUUUUUCCGGUGUGGUACGAUGAGCUAGAACCAUGUUGGAGUUGCACUUACAUGCACAAUUUAGAUGCUUCUUGUAGAGCAAAUGGAAGUAAAACCUUAAAGAUUCAAUUGGUUCGAUGGAAAGCAACUUCAAAGUGGGGAGAAAAGUAAGUUAAACCGUCAAUUGGUUCUCAUUGCUUUCUUUUCGGUGAGACUAUUAGAUUAAGGGCAUGGGUUAUAACGAAUGAAGGAAAAUGAAAUUAACAAUUUUAUGUAUUCUUGGGGCAUGAAUUUCUAAAGGCACACCAUAUUAGAUAUACAGUAAAGAGUAAGUAACAUGCGACGAUGAUGGUGCUAUAGAUUUUGGUUGCUGGUUUUAGAAAGAGACCCUAAUCCUUUUUAAUGAUAACAACAGUCAAUUACAUGAAUCGUCUCUCGUGUUGGUGUCAAAACAUGUUUGAUUCUUGUUUUCAAAAAUUGACUCGUACUGUCCCUCGUUUGUUUUCAGUUUGCAUGUUUCGUCCCUCAUUAGUUUAAAUUUGCACAAUUCAUCCUUUGCCUGAUGAGUUCAGUGAUGGUGGAGAUGGGAUCGUCGGAAAAGCUUAAGGGGGUCGUUGAUAAUGUUUCACCGGUAGAAAAUAAAGAAUGGUUAAGAAUUGAAUGGGUAGGUGGGAUGAGAGUAGACGGUGAAAUGAGCCUUUUUUUCAAUAAAAUAAUAAAAAGGGGCAAUAUAUUCAUUUUAUAUAUAGCAAAGACGAAACAUGUAAGUUUUAACGAUAUAAGGAUGAUCCAAAUUAAUUUUUUAAAAUAAUGAUUGAACGUGUCUUUUAACACAUGCAAAAGGGACAAUUUGUUUAAUUUACCUUUUAACUCUAUUAAUAAAAACAUAAAGAAUAUUAAAAGAUAAUUAUUUACGUGCAUAGUAGUAUCUUAAGUUUGGUAUGGAUCAAAUUAAAAAAAAAAAAAAAUCAAGUUUGAGAAGGGACAGAAACGGAACAAAAAUCAUAAAAAAUAUAUGAUUUUGGACCAAUGCAAAUUAAUUAUUUUGGACUAAAUCCAAAGAAAAUCAAAUAGAAAAUCAAAUAUCACAAGGAUCAUUAUUGCUCUCGUCUUAUUUAUUAUUCAUUAAAUAUGUUUUUCUAAUUAGCGGGGUAUUUGAGAAGGUAGCACUUAAAAGGAAAAAUAGAUAUGCUAUUACUAGAUUAAUUAUUAUGAUUGAAGAGCAUAAAAAUCAAGUUCUUAAAAUCAAUAGCAAAGCAUUAUAGCCUAGGGAAAUCUGCUUAAUGAAAUAAACUUUUGGAAAGUAGAAAAAUAAAGAGUUGGGACAAACAAAUUAUUGCGUCAACGAUGAUAUUAAUUGCCAAAAAUGGAAUUUGAACAACGUGAAGAAUGGGCAACAAAAAUAUAGAAAGAAUAUAUUUAUAACUACCUUUUUAUUUAUUUCACAAUAAAUACAAUACUAUUUGAACUCCUUUUUUUAACAAAUUUUAUUCCUUUAUAUGUUAAUAAUCAUAUCAAUAAUAGUAUUUCACAAAUUUCUAUAUCUUGUUUUAUCUGUGAUCAAUAAUAACCAAACAUUCUCUUAAAUAAGAAUUUACGAAGUGUAGAAUUUGUCCGGGAAGUAAUGUCUAUCGAAGGAAAAGACGAAGAAUAAAAAAUUUGGAGCAGCACUACUACUUGGGAGCCGCAACUGAAAUACAGCUAACAUCCUCUCUCUCCUCUCUCAUGUAAAAGGGGUUUUUCAAUCUAAAUCAGGAUCAAAUAAUUAUUAAGGACUCAAGAGUAUCAGAAUGAAGGAGAUGAUGAAGCAGAAGAUGAUGAAUAGGUUUCACAAGCGGAAUUCCUCCUCCGCUUCAUCUGUUGAUUUUAAAUCAGGCGAAAAACUCGAUUUCAAGUUCUCUAGUCUUCAAGCUCUUCAGGUCUAUCUCUUUCGUUUUUAAUACACACAACUGGUAUCUGUUUCUCUUAGUUACUUUAGAUGGAUUGUCUAAGCUUCAGGAAGAUAUGUAAGGUUUAGCAAGUUCCGUAAAGUUAGUAGUGAAGAUUUUGAUGUAUAUCUCUGCGGUCUAUUUAUUUGUUGUGUUUCAGCUUUCAAAGUGGAGAGAUAUUUGAAACGAUAAGUGCUUGAUUAGGAAACAUGUCGACGUAUGUAGAUAAAUUUGUUAUAUCAAUUACUCAAACCUAUUUCCAGAUAAAAUGAUAUGAUGACUGAAGUGAGUAUGUAAUGACAUGAUGGCUCAUGCUAGAUAUCAAGUAGCUGUCAGUUUUAGUUGUAACCAAUAUUUCUUGUUUGCGAAGGAUUCAUGUUCAUUGUUGUUUUGUAUAUUCAGGUACCCUCAGGAUGGGAUAAGCUUUCAAUCUCUCUCAUCUCCAUAGAAACAGAUAAAACCGUUGCCAAAACAGGUAAAGCAUCUGUAUGCAAUGGAAAUUGUCGAUGGACAGAGACCUUGUCAGAAUCCAUUUGGCUCUCUCAUGAUGAUGCUUCAAAAGAGCUUCAGCAAUGCCUUUAUAAGCUUCUUAUUUUAAAGGUAUGAUGCCUAUCUUCACUCAUUUCGUUCAUGUUUACACAUGAGCCAUUUAUUUGCUAUGGUCUAGUUAUUUCACUACUAAUCACUUGUUAUUUCCUUCUGAUAGGGGUCAACUAGAUCUGGCAUCCUUGGAGAGGCUACUGUUAAUUUGUCAAGUUACAUGAGUUCUGAAACUUCUCUUCCUGUUGCACUACCUCUAAAGAAGUGUGAUCAUGGGACAAUUUUACAGGUCAGUCAAGCAGAUGCUACAAAGCUUUACUUUUGAAAGUUAUGGAGUAACGCUUUUUCUGGAUUUCAAUUGUGUAUAGUUACUACUUUUAUGUGCUUUUGUGACAUUGUGCUCUCUCAGAAGGAAGAAUUUGGAUUCUCUGUUUGCAGGUCGCUAUUCAGUGCUUAACUCCUCGACCUAAUUCAAGGUUUGAUCCUGAACAAGAGAAUCAAUCUUCAUGUUUUUUCUUCCAGUCCUUACAGAGGGUGUAACUUGUUACUUGCUGCAUGUUUCAUGAACACAGAUGGAGUGACACCAACUCUUUUGCAGACAGCAGUGAUCUAGAUAACAUAUCUGAUGCACCAAAUGGUUUUGACACCAAACCUAUAGGAACUUCAACAAGCAAUAGCAUUCGGGAUACAUCUAAUUCACUUGGUAGCAGGGUAUUUCUCACCUAACUCUACUAAAAGGUUUUUUGCUCUUAAACUAUAGCUAGAAUCAUAAUUUGUCCUUGACAUCCUUGUGCAUCUAAGGAUACCUUUUGUUUGUUCAACAGGAGACAAGCUUUGCAACAGUGAGAUCACAUAACAGCUUUGAUUCAAUGGAGGAUUCUUUUGGCUCUCAUAGUAAUCUAAGUGAUGCUGCAAUCGAUUUGAUUGGAAAACCAGGGUCAACUACCAAUACCAUGGUCAAUGUUUAUAAUUCUCCUAGUUCUGGAAAGAAUCUUCUGAAUCGAAGACAAGAUUCUGGGAAAGUUUCACAUAAUAUCCCCGCAUCACCAUUAAGAACUUUUAGAUCCUCUGAAUAUGCUCUGGAUGAUGAUGUGGCAACAGAAGAACUUCGUGCAGAAGCAAGAACAUGGGAAAGAAAUGCUAGAAAGUUAAUGGUUGAUCUUGAAUUAUCAAGGAAGGUGACUAGUGAUCAAACAAGGAACCUGGAAAAUGUGACUAUGGAGCUUUCUGCAUUACAAACAGAAUGUAAUGAUCUGAAAAACGAAAUCAAACACCUGAAAAUUCUCCUAGGUGAAUCAGAAGUGAAAGAUAGGGAUGCUGAUAAUCUAAAAGCUCAGGUUCAAGAUAAAAACGGUAUCCAAGCAGAACUUGAAGAAGAAAUAAAAUUUCAGAAAGAUUUGAAUAAUAAUUUGAGUAUACAACUGAAUAAAACUCAAGAAUCAAAUCUUGAGCUAGUUUCUAUCCUCCAGGAACUGGAAGAACAAAUAGAAAAACAGAAAUUGGAGAUAAAUAGUCUCGAGGCAUCAGAACAAUCAGCAGUUGAUGAAGACAAUGGAGAAGAGCAUACAGGGGUAGAAGUGUCAAGAAUCACAACAGAAGACAACUGUAGACUUGAGCUUGAACUACAGAAAUUUCAGGAAUCCCAAGAAAAGUUGGAAAGUAGAAUCCUUCAUUUGGAGGAGACCCUUGAGGAAAAAAACAGAGAAAUAGAACUCGAAAGAGACCUCAAGACUCAAACUUUAUUGGACAUUGACUCAGAAUGGACAAAGAAAUUAAGUUUGAAAGACAAACAAAUCUUGAAUUUGGAAGAAAAAUUAUCAGAAGCUCUUGCUGCAAAAUUACCAGUUCUGAAGGAAACCGAGUCACAGACAAUAGAAACUCCUGAUCUCAUUGAAGAAGUUAAAGCUUUAAAGGAUAAGAUUCUUGAGCUUGAAAGAGAUUGUAAUGAGCUUACUGAUGAAAAUCUUGAACUCCUCUUUAAACUUAAAGAAUCAAGCAAAGAUUUCUCAACAAAUGGUGCUUCUGAAGUGGAAUACAGUGUAAAAGACAUCAAUGGUAAACUUGACAAUUUGAUAAUAGAGUUAAAAUCCAAAGUUGAGGAUCUGAAUAAAGAAUUAUUCACCAAAACCUCUGAGAUUGAAGAGCUUAAAUCAGACUGUUUGCUUAAGGAAGAGGAGAUUCAGUCUCAAUGUAAUCGUCUACAAGACUUCGAGGCUCAAUUGUCUGAUUUGCAAAUAGUCAACAGUCAGUUGGAGAAAAGUUUGACCGACGCUAAAGAGUCAACUCGUGUAGAAACAGAGCAUUCAGAGUCUCAAGUUAUUGAAAUCAAAAGACUGGAAAAUGAAGUGGAGGAUAUGAAAAAACGGUGGUUGGAAGCUCAAGAAGAAUGUGAGAAUCUUAAAAAAGAAAAUCCCAAAUUACAAGCUACUACAGAGAACCUUCUGGAAGAGUGUAGUUUACUUCAAAAGUCUAAUAGUGAGUUAAGACAGCAAAAAUUAGAGCUGCAUAAUCACUGCACAAAUGUGGAAGAAAAAUUGAGAGAGUCGGAAGAUAAUUUCUUGAAGUUAUCAAAGAAUUUGGAUGACUUAGAAGAAAAUUUAUCAACAAUGCUCCAUGAGAUCAUGUCAAAAGAGAAAAUGUUUGAUUCAAAACUUGAAAGUUUACAUGUGCAAUUUACAGAAGAAAAUUCAAAUGUUGAGGUCCAAUUGCAGAAAGUUACAGAGUUGCAGGAUGAGAUUGUGGCCCUUAAGAACUCGCUUAAUGAUGUGAAACAUGAGAAUGAGAGACUUGAAGCUUCAUUAGAAAUGAUGUCUGGAGAUUAUGAGGAAUUAAAGGAAGAGAAAACUUUGUUACUUGAGAAAUCCCUUAGCAUGCAGAAGUCAGUGAUUGAGUUGGAGGAGCUUAAACGUAAAAAGUUUGCCAUGGAAGAAAAACUCUUGCGUUUUGAAAGAAAUCUAACUGCUGAGGUCCAUAUCUCAGAUUCUUUCUUCUUUUUAGUGAUCAUAAGUCAUGUCAAAAAGUUGACUUUUUGACUUUUUUUCCCCUUGACAGGAUGUGGAAGGUGGUACAGUUGAUGAUGAGUCAUCAUCUAGAAUCCAAUCACUGGAGCUUGCACUUGAUGAGGCUUUGGAAGCCAAUAAAAUGUAUAAAAUACAGCUUAAGAGGUAUGUUACUAUAAUCAUGAAAAUUGUUUUUUGUGAUUGAUUUUUGUCAAUGAUGCUUAUGUGAUGAAAUUUCAGUUUGUUGUCUGAGAAAGAAGCGCGUGAAUCGGAUAUUCUGAUGGAGUUGAAGGUUAAAGAUGAAGGAAUGAAGGAGGAACAUAAACAUAAUGAUUCACUUAAGGCCGAGUUAAAUGAACUUCAAGAACGUUACCUCAACAUGAGCCUCAAAUAUGCAGAAGUAGAAGCUCAACGUGAAGACCUUGUCUUGAAGUUAAAGAACAUUGGUCCCACAAGGAGCUGGUUUUCCUAAAAUCUUCCUUUUUUUUAAUUCUCUACUUAUUAUUAUUUUCAUGAAAUUGCAUCAACAAUUCAUGGUCAUCUGUUCUAUUCUAUACGAGGAAGAAAACUGAUUUUGUUAUAUGUCAUUGAUGGAGAGAACAUGAGUAAAUAGAAAAUUGGUGAGGUAAGCAAUAUCAUGUUUCUUUUCUUUUUUUGUUUUUGUUUUUGAGAGAAGAGGACCAUGUGCCAGUUCAACUUAAGGUAUAUCUUAUUGAACAUUUGUUGAUCUUUACUUAGAUUGUUACAGACCAAUCUCAACCUUCCUUCAACAUUGUAUGCCAUGUAAAAUGUAAGUAAGAUACACAUGUUUCGAGUGUUUUUUAGUUUGGAUUUCUGUUUUGGACUAGACUUUUUUCUGACACAGGAAUAUAAGUAUUUGUAACAUGUUAACUAAUGUUGGUAGGUUAAAAUGAAUAAAUUAUUAAUAAUCAAUGGUUUUUCCUCACAGAAUAUCUUUGUAAUAGUUUUUAUGGAAUUUUCAUUUGAAAAGUAGUUAGGACUUGGGGGUAGAGUAUUGAUUUUUUAAAAUAAGCAUUGGGUUUCAAUCUUAUUCAUUUGUGUGAAGUUAGACGUCAUUUGAUUGAAGUUUUCAUUUUGUAAACUCUUGUUGAGAUUGAAUAAACGUACAACGGUACAAAACAAAUAUUUAAUUUCAAGUGGCCCAAACAAUAAACAAAUGUGUUUUGACCAUUAUACCAUUUUAUUGGUCAAAGUUAAGACGCUUGUAGUAAUUUGAUAAUUGUUGUUAAUGGAAGAGGCUUAAAUGGUCAAAUAAAACAAUAAGAUAAAAAAAGAUAAGAAGAUAUAAAUGACCUUGAGUAUAACUUGACAAGUCUUGCAAUACAAGUAAUUGAUAUUUUGAUGCCACAAUCAAAUUGUGUGAUGUAUGAUUGCUAUAUCUCAACCACUACGAUAGCGACAUCAAACACCAAAUGCAUAAGAAAACAGAACUGGAAACAUACUAAAAAACAGAAAAAAUAUUCCUGUUGAAUUUUAUUUACGUGACACCGACGAAUCAAAACACGCCAACUGUCCUUGAGUUUUUUACAAAUGCAUAGCAUCCAACAUGUAAUAAAUUACAAAGAAAAAAAAAAUCAACACUUUACAUACGAGAGAGAACACGAAGAAGAACAUGAAAAAACCUACUUCAAUUCAAGUAGAGUAGAUGAUCCAAAUCUUCUUCUUCUUUCUUCUUCUUGGGUCAGUUUUAUAAAUGUUUUUUAGAGUAUGGAGUAAGCUCGGAUUACCUCAACAAUGGGUGCCCGGCACAAGGGACAUUUCCCUCCUCCUCUUACCAACUCAUUUGCACACUUGGAACACGUGCACAUAUGUCCACAUCUGCACAUCACAUCAUCACUUGCUUAAUCCACACACCUAUAUAUAUAAUAUAAUAUAUCUAUAUAUAAAAGUAUCAACUGUUUCUUUUUUUACUUAAUAAUGUAACACUACCUGUACAACAGUGAAUCAAUUUGGCUAUCGCAACAAACACAGCAAGUUCCCUUUUUCACAUGGACCCACUUCGACCCAUCUUCAGAACUCCCUCCAUCAACACCUACAAAAAAACAUUUUCCUUAUUUUCCUUUAUCCUUCACUUUUCAUUACAUAACAAUAACAAUAAUAUAAUAAUAAAAAAGUUUGUGUACCUUGCUGCCCGCCCGCUGACCGAUUCAAAGCAGCAGACACUUCCUGCCUGACCGAACGUUGCAACUCAAGUUGCAUAUCCAUGCAAGCCUCCAGCAUCCUCUGCAUGUGACUCAUACCUUGUUGCAAUCUCGCCAUGUCAGCUCUCAAAUCAUUAAUCAUCUCCCAUUCCUAUAUACGUAACAAAAUAUAUUAAAAACUGAAAUGAAAGAUAUAAAUCACAAUUCACAAAAAUGCUUACGAGUUCAGAUCGGUGGAUGCUGUGGCGGGACCAAUUAGAAUGAUUCAAAUCAUGGUGGUGCCAAACCGGUACUGGCGGUGGUACUGGCGGUGAUGGUGAUGGUCUGCUACCAAUGGUGGCGGUGGUGGCUUCAUUUUGGUUUUCAUUGUCUUCAUCUCUAAGACCAAGACCACCCUGUUGUUGUUGUUGAUCACCUACUUCUGGUGACAUGUUUCUGUGAAGAUCCCAAUCGAUUGGUGCUCUGCUUUGCCUUUCCACAUAUGAUUGAAUCAAAUGGUCUAAACUUUCCCGAAAACCACUUCGAAGAAGAUUAGAAACACUUCUCCUAUAAUAUAAUUUAAAAAAAAAAAAAAAAAAACAAUUUGUUAUUUAAAUUGUUGAAAUGUUGAAAAGAAGGUUUAUAGUUUAUAUUAAUUACCUGCUUAAAAGUUCUCUUAAUUCCAUACUGUACACGUUAUCAUCUUCAGGUGCGUGAAAUCUGUUGGAUCUUCUAACAGGAACUGUACGUCGUGUUCUUGGAAUAAUAUCAGAAACCGUUUCUUGAUUACCUGAAUUGUUUUCUUGAAAAAUUUGAUCAUUGUCAUUACUGACACCUUGGUUAUCCCAAUCUUGACCUUCAUUUUCAUUGAUGUUUGUUUGUUGAUUUGUGGUUUGGAGUAGAGCUGCUGCAACACUUAUACUUUCCAGAUUCUGAUUUGAAACUUGAUGAAUGUUGGUUUCUUGAAUUUGAGUCUGUUGUUCGUGUUCAAUCUCCUGUUGAGUGGUGUUUGUAAUUGCAUCACUACUUAUAAAAUCAAUGGUGUUACUGUUAGUGUUAUCGUUAGAUGAAUUUUCAGAUUGGCUGCUUACUUGCCCUCGAACAAUGUGUUCUAGUCUUGAUCGAAACCCUUCCCUAAUUAUAUUAAAAAAAAAAAAAAUAUUAUAUAUUGUAUAUAUAUGAUAUCAAAUAAUCACAAUUCAAAAGAUUUCUUUAAAAUGUAUACCUAAGACCAGAGACAGUGUGGCGUUGUCUGAGCUGGACUAACUCACUUGCUGCCAUUGAUGGAAGCCUCUCCUCCUCCACAGGCCUCUCGUUUCUCAAAAAUCUCCCUCUUAGUAGUGACUGAUAUCAUCAACACAAUCUCAAUUUUCAAUACAACAAAAAGUAAAAAGUAUUAAAAAAAAAAAAAAGUGCACUAAAAAAACUGUCAUAAAGUGACCUGAAUUCGGUUGCGAUGAGCAAAAUCAGAAACAGCACGAUACUCUGUUAAACCCUCAAGUUCUCUCUGUCUUUCCCUUUCUACCCUCACAAGUAAAUCAAGUAAAGCUUGUCUUCCACGCAACCUCAACAUGUCCCUUCUGAUAUGCUCCGGUUGACCUUCAUCAUGGUCAACAACAGUCUCACGACUAGCUACGUGUUGUUGUAGUGGUUGUUGUUCUUCCCUAUGACUGCCACGUGGACGUGGGCCCCUCUGUUGACUAGUCAUCUGGACCCACUCACGCACGAUCCUCACCCUUUCACGCUCAGUUUCACCAAGCCAUUCUGCUCUUACACCAUUAGAUGCAUUAUGAUCAGUGACACCUGUCUCCCUCCAUCCCUGAACUAUAUGCCUAACUCUUUCUCUUUCUCUCUCUCUUUCGUUGUCUCCUAAAUCAGGAGACUGUUCACGGCUUGAAGUUUCAGUUUCUUGGAGUUCGUUUUGAGCUUCCAUUUGAUCAUUAGACCAAGCUCUGUAAUCAUUCUCACUUUCUGUAACAUCUUCUUCCAAACUGCCUUGAUGUUCACUUGCUUCUUGACCUUCUGACAUGUUGGUAAUGGUAUUGGAAUCCACACUUGCAUGUUGUCUGAGUCUUUCUCUUACUCUUUCACGAGCACGAUUUAGAACAUGUUCAUCUUCCAAUUCUCUCCACAUUUGGAGGAUAGAGGAAGCUUGGGUGCUUGGUCUUUCAAUGUUGCCUUGUCUCCUUGAGGUAGGGGAUUGAGACUCGCUUAAGAAGGAGGAAUCAAGCAUGGAAACUGUAUGCAAACCUGCAAGUGCCAUUAAUUCAGACUCACGGUUUCUCCUUUCUAUUGUGGUGAUCAUCUCUUGUGCUUGUCUUGCAGCCCAUCUGCUUAAGAUCCGUGAUUGUCGUCUUCUAGCAGCAGAAGUUUCAGCCAGAUCAUCGCCUUCAAGAUCUGACCUUCUUCUUCUUCUCACUAGCUGAUCACCACCUUCGCUUUCAUCAUCGUCCCCAUGAGGAGAGCUGCAUGAUGCGAAUGACAUACAAUCAUCCAAAUGCCCUCUCAUCAGUUCUUCCAAUCCCCUCUCGAAAUCAGAACCGUCGUUCUCAAAAUCUGAACAGGCAUCGGUGGUGCUUUCAGGCUUCUGUAGCAGUUGUGGUCGAACAUCAGUCAUCUUCUCACUAACCCUACCCACCUCAAUUCACCAACAAACACCCACUAGGACAAAAUUCACCAAUCGUUUGUAAACACAAUCAAACCCUAUCCUCUCCUCGAGAUCAACGAAUGAUCCGAUUUACGGAACGCAAUUCAGUCAGAUUAAUAACACCAGAUCAAAAUUGUGGUUUUCAUCGUAAACGAGACGACUCAAUAGGAAAUUCAAAGAAAUGAAAUCGAGAUCCACCAUAAUUCAAAGAAGGUAAAAAGAAAACGAACUAUGAAACAAUAACCUAUGAAUCAAUCAAUAAACUUACAGCAAAAUCCAAACUACAGAUUGGGAAAGAGGGAAAGACGUACCUCUGAAGCUAUGAGUGCGCUUUUUUUUCAAUAUAUUAGUUAGUGUGUGCGGGAAAAAACACAACCCUAAAAUUCUGUUGGACCAGAGAAAAGGAAUUUCGACUCGAUUAAGAGGAACCCCACGACAGAUUCAGAGCAAAAAAGUAAUAGUUUUUGUAAAGAUUAAAUAAAGAAAUAACAGGGAGAGAAUUUUGGGUUUACAUAAUCAAUCUUGUUUUGUUUCCAAGUGAGUGAUUGUUUUUGGUUUUGAGAUGAACUAAAAACCUAAACCCGAUCUUUGUGCAUCAGAAUUGCUGAAUUGACAACCUAAUCCGGGUGACCCACUAUUACUUGUAAUUUAUGCAUAAUUCAUGACACAUUCAGUAGGAUGAUUAGCAAAAACAUUUGGGGGAUAUUUUUUCACACAACAACCAUAUAAAUUUUGCCACCUCAAUAGAUUUUUUAGACUAUAAUCCAACAAAAUAUAUAUAUNNNNNNNNNNNNNNNNNNNNNNNNNNNNNNNNNNNNNNNNNNNNNNNNNNNNNNNNNNNNNNNNNNNNNNNNNNNNNNNNNNNNNNNNNNUAUAUAUAUUAAUUUUUAAUAAAAGUUUGAUUUUGAAAACAUUUUAUUAUACAUAUUAAUUGUUCAGGCUUAUGAACAAUGUCAAGGAUUGAGUUGUCAUUUAGUGGUUUAGCUGCAGCUUCAAUACCAGAUGGUUUGGAGUCGGCUUGAAUUUAGAGUACCACCAUCAUCUUUAAAUGGAAAUUCUGAUAUCUUUCUCUAAUCGAGUGCUUUGUAGUGGAUUGUGUCUUCCAUCCAUGUGUUUUUGCAUUGUCGUCUUCGUCAAUAUGUUUCUUCCAAAUCCUGCUUUAUGUCUUUACUCCAUCUAUGUCCUACUUGUGGGGAAAAAUUGUUUUUAGUCGGUUGUCGUACCCACCGCCUCUGCCUAGAUUAAAAGUGUUAUUCACUUCCACAAAGUUGCCACUUAUCCGUCUUUUCCAUUGUUGGCUUGGUUGUCUUUCCCCGGUUGAAGUUGCUUGUAGUCGUUGUCUCCGGCCCACAACCUUCGAAGCAUUUUUAAAGCUUCAACAGCCCAAUAGCGUUGUGUUAUUCCACGACCUAUGCACUUGUUUUUUUUUUCAACUACGAUUACAAAGAUAUGAACACACAAAAAAAAAUAACAUAAAGAAAUGUCUCCGAUUGGUGCUUCUGCUACUCACAACGAGUAAGUUUCUAGUGGCUUUGUGACUGUUGAUUAGUUCAAUUUAAUCGCCACAAAUGCAUCAUUGAUGAUAUAUAUGUUGGGUUAUGAGCAAAAUAUCAAUCGUAUGAUGCACACGCAAACCCUAAAGCUUUGGAUCUAGGUUUUUCUAAAGUACAUGCAAUAAUCAUCCAAAGCUUGCAAACCCUAAAUCUAUCAUAUAGAAAUCAAAAUCAACAUAAAUAAUACAAAUAGGAAUGUUGCCUUUCAAUUGUAGCUUAAAGAUCCUUGCCUUGAGAGCUUAGUAUCACGAAUGUAAUACCUCUGAUCGAUCACAAACACCACAAGCAAUUGGAGAAUGUUAGAAAGAGGAGGAGGAGGCUAAUUUCGGCUCUAGGGAUCCUUUUAGGGUUUCUGGUAGCCGAAAAAUAGAUGCCAACGGGUCUUUAUAUAGCUGAAGAAUUAGGGUUUCAGCUAAAGACCUAAUCUGAUUGCUUAGGCUCUAAGCAGCCCAUAUGAUCUUUCUAGAAUACCCUAUGGACGAAAUCUAGUAGGCUUCCACAAGGAUUUCGUCCAUCCCUUAACCUAUGGAUCCACAUCCCAUUUAGCAAUUAUCACAUAAUUACAAUAUCAGUCCCCUUAAUUCAAUUAGCAUCUUUUGACCACAAAACUAAUUCUAAAUUAAUUAUUGACCAAUGUUAAUUAAAUAAUAUAAUUUCUCUUUUAAUAUAUUAUUCACAUAAUAUAUUAAUAAAUCACAUUUAUCAUCUUUCUCCAUUAUUCUUCCAGUCAAGUUGCUUUGGUGAAGGCAACCCAAAAGGACAUGCUACUAUUGGGUCAAAUAUAUAUCAAAUAUAGUUAUGGGCUUAGACACUUAAUCCAACGGUCUCCCACUUGGAUAAGUCUAAUAACUAUAAAUGUAAGUACAACUUCAAAAUCCGAUUAGCAAUCGUAGCUCUCUAAAGCCGUUGUUGAACUCUGACAUGUCCUUUAGAUAAGGGAUCGUAUAGUCCUCCGUUCUCAAGAUAUCGUGUGGAAAAUCACAUGGAACAUAGUCAUACUUAUUGUCCAGCAGUUUGUUUCUCAAUCUCUGAUUUGUCUGACAUAGAACUUAAGUCAAAACAAAAUCAUUAAGGGGCCCAAUAUAUCGCUUUUAACCUCAUAGGAUAAAAGGAACAGAUAAACUUCGACGUAUAUGCUUAUAUUAUUUACUCAUUAAAUCACACACAACAAUAUGUUUUAUAACAUCAAGUUACUGAUGCAUUUACGUAUUAUCAAUGCACAACCAACUCAUAAACAGCAACUCAUAUAUCUAGGUUUAAAGACUAUAUGAUAUUAUCGUCUCACAAUCACUCGUGAUUAAAUUCCAUGAAGUGAUUCAUGUGAGCGUGAGUUUAAUCCAAUACUCAAAUCAUAUUUCAGAAGCACUCAUGAACGUUGCAACAAACUUUUGUUAUGCCUAAACACUUAGACAAUCUACAAGCCAAUUCAUGACAAUCUUGAUUCAUACUUACUUCCAACGUAUGAUCGACUGUGGAUAGUUUAAAUAAUCUUAUUAUUUAGGAAGUCAAAACAUGCAAAGGGAAACAAUAGUAAAUAAUUAACACAAGAUUGUAACUUUACUUAUAAAUAAAACUCCUUUAUUUAAUCAUCAAAUGUUAAUUACAAUUUAUCUAUUACAAGAUUCUAAAAGCUAUCUAAUCACUAAAACUAAUAUCGUCCUUCAGCCCAAUGCUCAUAACGUGCUGCAAGUGAUUAGCCCUACUCAGUCCCUUCGUAAGGGGAUCUGAUGGGUUCUCUUCUGACGAUACCAUCUUUACUACGAGGAGUCCCUCUUCUACCCGAUGUCUAAUGAAAUGAUAUUUCCUGUCAAUAUGCCUGGAUUUGCCAUGAUCCCUCGGUUCCUUGGUCAAGGCAACCGCACCUUCUUUAUCGUAGAAAAUAUCCAUAGGCUCCUUUAUGGUCAGUAUAACUCCAAGGUCUAUGAUGAAGUUCUUUAGCCAUAUUACCUCCUUUGACGUUGCGCUCGCUGCUAUGUACUCUGAUUCGCACGUUGAAUCAGCUACGGUCUCCUGCUUGGAACUUUUCCAAGUCACUACUCCUCCAUUCAGGGUAAAGACCCAGCCUGACUGAGAGCGAAAAUUAUCUCGGUCGAUCUGAAAAAUGGCAUCACUAUACCCUCGCACUCUCAAAUCAUCACUCCCACCGAGGAUAAGGAACCAUUCCUUAGUCCUUCGUAGGUACUUGAGAAUGUUCUUUACUGCGGUCCAAUGUGCUAUAACAGGGUUCCCUUGAUAUCUACUGACCAUGCUCAAAGCGAAUGCCACAUCAAGGCGAGUACACGUCAUAGAAUACAUGAUUGAGCCAAUUGCGGAAGCAUAAGGUACUCGGCUCAUCUCUGCUAUCUCGGCUUCGGUACUCGGACUUUGAGUACUACUCAACUUGGUAUUGCUUUGGAUUGAUAACUCCCUCUUAUUGGAAUUCUCCGUGCUAAAACGUUUCAACACUUUAUCCAAGUAAGUACUUUGACUAAGUCAUAUUAGUCUUUUACUCUUAUUUCUCAAUAUCCUUAUCCCAAUAAUAUAAGCAGCUUCUCCGAGGUCCUUCAUAACGAAGCACUUCCCAAGCAAGGAUUUAACCUCCUGCAGGGUUGUGACGUCGUUUCCUAUGAGCAGUAUGUCGUUUACAUACAAUACGAGAAAGGUAACUGUACUCCCACUAGCUUUGAUAUAUACGCAGGACUCAUCAUCGCUUCUCGAAAAAACAAACUCUUUGACUUUCACAUCGAAACAAAUAUUCCAUCUGUGAGAUGCUUGUUUCAAUCCAUAAAUGGAUUUCUCAAACUUACACACUCUAUUAUGGUGUUGUGCAUUGACAAAACCUUAUGGCUGACUCAUGUAAACAUCUUCAGCCAACUUUCCAUUAAAAAAAAGCAGUUUUGACAUCCAUCUUCCAUAUUUCGUAAUCAUGAAACGCAGCUAUGGCUAGCAUAACCCUUAUAGAUUUAAUCUUUGCUACUAGUGAGAAGGUAUUAUCACAAUCAACUCCGGGAGUUUGAGUAAAUCCCUUCGCAACCAAUUGCGCCUUAUACGUGUGUACUUUCCCAUCCAUGUCGGUAUAUAUUCUUCUUGAAGAUCCAAUUGCACCCGACCGUCUUACGACCUGGCACAUUGUCAACCAAGUUCCAAACUUGAUUGCCAUACAUGGGCUGAAUCUCGUUGUCCAUUGCCUCUUUCCAUUUCGUAGACUCUGGGCCUGCCAUGACUUCCUUGCAGGUGUUAGGUUCAUCUAAAUUUAUUAGUGUGCUAUCACUAAUAAACGUAUCACCUUCACUUGUUAUAUGGAAAGCAUAUAACAUAGGUGGAACACUAACUCUACUAGAACGUCUAAGAGGUAAGGACUCAUCAAUCGGUUCAACAGGAGUUUCCUCCUCGGUUUGAUCGCUAGUGUUAGAGGUUCCUUCAUCACUUGAUUCUUAAAGCUCUUCAAGAUCAAUUUGCCUCCCACUGUCCUCUUGGCAUAUGAGUUCUUACUCUCAGAAAACCUAUAAGGUCAAACCUUGAAAUAUGAUAAUGUUUAAAACAGACUCAGCAUCAGCGCAUAGCUCAGUAUCAGCACCAGCGUGUCAGCAGCUCAGUUUGUAAUAGUUUAGUUUAUUCAGUGCAUUGUAACAAAUCUUGUAUUUAUCCUGUUUCCAUAGUUAGCUUAAUUAGUUAGCUAGCGUAUCCCUGAUUUGUAGGGAUUGUCUAUAAUAACAGUAUAUAAUCUUUUGUAAGGUUUGUGAAUGGCUACGCCUUUCACAAACCCUAAUCGCUGCUUUGUGCACACGAUAAUCUCUUUGUGAGAUUAUCUUUCUUAGUGAAAGUUUUUCUUCGUGAAUUCCUCUUGUUCUUGUUUACUGUCAUUGUUUGAUAUAUUGAUUGAUCUAAAGGCCUCUUCAAUUGGUAUCAGAGCAGGUUUCUCUUAUCAAACAAAUGGCUUCAUCUUCUUCUUCGUCGAACUCAUCAAAUCAUCCUUCCGCUAAAAUUCCUCCUUUUGAUGAAACAAACUUCGCUAUGUGGAAAAUAAAGGCUCUAUAUGCCUUAGAGUCAGUAGAUGAAGACAUGUUGGAAAUCGUCGAAAAUGGUCCAUAUGUCCCGAUGUAUCAACCUCUAAAAAAUAAUGUUCCUGAUGGUACUAUGAAGAAAACUCCUAAAGAAAAUUGGACGGCAGAUGAUAAAAGAAAACAUGGUCUAGAUGUUCGUGCUCGUGCCGCAAUCAGCUACGUUCUGCCAUACAACAUUUUUGGGCUAGUUCAAAAUUGCAUCUCAGCAAAAGAGAUGAUGGAUACUCUGACUGUAUCCUUUGAAGGCACUGAAUAAGUCAAGGCUACUCAAAUAAAUGAUCUUAAUCGAAGGUAUGAACAUUUUUUUGCUAAGAAAGGUGAAACCUUGACUCAAACCUUUAACAGAUUCAAUACUCUUGUUAAUGAUCUUCGGAGAUUAGAUCAGUUGAAGCAUAGAACUGUUCUAGUGCAGAAGUUUUUGGAUUCUCUGGGUGCAGGUUGGGAGAACCAUGUUGAUGUGCUGAAAAAUAGUGAGAAGAUCAACUCUAUGGAAUUACAAAGUCUGUAUGGAAAUCUUCGAUACUAUGAGGAAUCCAAGCUUCAAAGAAAGGAGCUGAUGAAAGACUCUCAGCGUAAAUCAUCUGUAGCCUUGUCCUCAAACAAAAGGCUAGUGUCAGAUUCAGACACUGAUAGCCAUUCAGACACUGAUUCCUCUAAAACUGACACUGAUGAUCUCGAAAAGGUUGUGGCGAGUGCAGCUUUGAUUGUAAAGACCUUUGAGAAAUCUGGCCGAAACUUCUCAAAGUUUCAAAAGAAGAUGGGUGGAAAGUUUUCAAAAAGAUCAGAAGCUGAUAAAAAGCAUGGUACUGAUAAGAAAGAGAAGGCUCAGUGCUUUAACUGUGGGAGCAUUGAUCAUUUUGCAAAAGAGUGUAAACAAAAGAAACAAGGCUCGGAUGAAUACUGGAAGCAGAAGUACAACAAGCUGAUUGAGAAGCUGAAAGCAGAGAACUUGGAACAUAAAGUUCUUGUUGCCGAAGAAGAAAAAUGGAAGACUGAUGAGGAGUUAUCAGAUGAUGAAGUGAAGUGUCUAAUGGUAAAGAUGGAAGACACGAAUGUUUCUGAAAAAGGCAAAAGUACAUUUGAUGCUGAUAUGUCUGAUGCUGUUGAAAAUUCCAGGAAGCACAACACUGACUCUUCUUCAAUGUACCAGGUUAAAAACUUUGUUUCCUAUUCAAUGAAUGAAAAAAUCAAAAUGUUUGAGUAUUUGGGCGUCAUUAAUUCUAAGAAGAAUCAAACAAUAAGAAAUUUGCAAAAUCAAAUUGAUCUUCUUGAAACUGAUAUAUCCAUGAAAAAUAACAUUAUUGAGUCCACUCAGGAAAAUCUUAGAAUCACUAGUUUGUCAAAUUCAUCUUUGUCUGCUGAAAUUGACAAUGUUAAAAAUCUUUUGAUCAAAGAACAAACUGUGCUUCAUACUUGGGCAAAAUCUCAUAAGAAUGCAAAUUAUAUUAUUUCAGCUCAAAUUCCACAUUCAUGUGAGAAAAUUCUUGGGGGUAAUUUUGCAGAAGCUGAAAAAGUUUUUAAAUCACAAGAAAAGGAAUCUGAGUUUUAUUCCAUGAAUGAGAUGAAAAACAAUUUCAAAAAUAAGUUUGUCAGUAACUCUUUUAUUAAUCAGAGUUUAAUUGAUGAAUACUGUAUUACUAAUUCUGAUGGUAUUACUGAGUGUAAUGUUGAAAUUACCGGAAUUGAUCCAACCUCUUACCCUGCACAUCUUGUAAGACCAACUCCACUCACUGAGAAUAUUAUUGCCUUUCCUAUCUCAAAUGGAGUGUUUCAUGCUGUUCAUGAACAACUUAAGCAUUUUCCUGAUUGCAAUUCAUCUGUGAAUAAGUCCAAAUCAGACACUGAUAGCUCAUCAUCUAACACUGAUCAAACUCUUUCUGACACUGAAUUCAGUUGUGACUCAAUGAUAAACAAAAGGACUCAAAGCUCUCUUGGUGAAUCUUACAUGUCGAAACGUGUUAAAUCUAAAAAUUUGCUCACCAAGAAGAACUUUGGUACUAGAGUUUGUUACAGAUGUGGUGAUACCUCUCACAAGAUCAGUGAAUGUUCAUUUGAUAAAUCAUCCUCAAGAGCUGAUAAUAUUAAAGUUAGAAAUGAAAAAUGGACUCUUAAGUCAAAUUCUUUAAACUGUCUUCCUAAGGAGUGUUAUAAUCUAUUAUCAAAUAACUUUGUGAAUGACCCAUCCUCGAAUGGGUCAGUGUGUUCUAACUAGUUUCUCAGCACUGCAGGGUCAGGAGCAUCUUUGGUACUUAGAUAGUGGUUGCUCAAGGCAUAUGACAGGAUCAAAGUCUCUCCUGGAAGAUUAUGUCAAGAAAACUGGUCCUGCAGUUACUUAUGGAGACAAUGGAAAGGGGUUCACUAAAGGAUAUGGAAAUAUCAAAUGCAAUAACGUGGUUUUUCAAAAUGUUUCAUAUGUAAAGGGUCUCAAACACAACCUUAUCUCCAUCAGUCAAUUGUGUGAUGCUGACUAUGAAGUUCACUUUACAAAGAAGGAAGGUAGAGUUGUCAACACUGACAAGAACAUCGUACUUUCAGCAAGUAGAAAAGAUGAUAUAUAUGUUCUUGACAUGUUCUCAAGUGACAAGGCACUGAUGCAAUGCUUCUUUACAAAGUCUCAGACGAAUCUUAGCUGGAUUUGGCACAAAAGGUUUUCUCAUCUGAACUUCAAGAAUCUAUCCAAAAUAUCCAAUCAAGAUCUAGUUAGAGGGCUCCCAAAAUUCAGCGUUGUGAAAGACAAGAUGUGCUCAGCUUGUGAACAAGGAAAACAAACCAAGUCCUCUUUCAAACCCAAGUCAUGUUCCAGUAUAUCAGUCCCUCUUCAUUUACUCCACAUGGACUUGUUUGGACCUAUUCCUGUCCGUUCUCUAGGUGGAAAUAAGUAUACUCUAGUGGUUGUGGAUGAGUUCACUCGAUUUACAUGGGUGGUUUUCCUGAAGAAGAAAAGUCAUGCUGCACAGGAAAUUAUUUCACUGAUUCGUAAAAAUGAGACACUGACAGGUCUCAAAGUUAAGCAACUAAGAAGUGAUCAUGGUACUGAGUUCCGAAAUUCAACUCUUGAAGAAUUUUGUGAUCAUAAAGGCAUUGGGCAAAACUUCUCAGCUCCUCGUACUCCUCAACAAAAUGGAGUUGCUGAACGAAGAAAUAGAACACUGAUUGAGGCAGGAAGGACCUUGAUGAUCCAUGCUGGUCUUCCUAUGUCGUUUUGGGCUGAAGCUGUCAAUACAGCAUGUUUUACUCAGAAUCGAUCUCUAAUUCACAGGAUUCACAAGAAGACUCCAUAUGAAAUGCUGAAAGAUCGAAAACCAGAUGUAUCCUUUUUUCAUGUGUUCGGAUGCAUUUGUUAUAUUCUAAAUCAGCGUGACCCAAGAUCCAAGUUUGAACCUAAGGCUGAUAAAGGUAUUUUUGUUGGGUACUCAUCUAUUUCAAAGGCUUUUCGUGUUUUUCAUGUGAACAGGCAAUGUGUUGAAGAAUCCAUUCAUGUGAAGUUUGAUGAGGAAUCAUACACUGAUGAAAAAGUCACUCAUUCUUCUUCUAUUUUUCAAGAGCUUCUCUCUUGUCCAUUCGACGAAGUCCCUCCUGCUGGAGAUGAAGCUGAUUCUUCUGAUUCUAUCGUUCCAGUUGCAUGUUCCUUGAAUCAAGAUACUGCAGCCAGAUCAGCAGAUAAUUCAUUAGGUGCUGAUGAAAUCCUUGAAGCUGAAGACUCUCCUGAAACUGAUAACUUGUCAGUGUCAAACUCUCCGGAAUCAGCAUCAGUCACUGAACAUCGAGAUCAUCCUGUUGAUCAAAUUAUAGGGAAUAUUCAUGAUGGUGUCCGAACCAGAUCUCGUGUAUCUAAUAACUUUUGCAUGUAUGUUAAUUUCGUUUCAAUGAUCUUACCUGACAAGAUACACACAGCUCUUCAAGAUGCUGAUUGGAUCAAAGCCAUGCAAGAAGAACUGAAUGAGUUUGAAAGGCACAAAGUUUGGACUCUUGUCCCAAGACCAUCCGGAAAGACUAUCACUGGAACUCGCUGGGUCUAUCGUAACAAGGUUGAUAAAGAUGGAAUCAUUACUCGCAACAAGGCAAGGCUUGUAGCUCAAGGGUUUACUCAAAUUGAAUCCAUCGACUACGGGGAAACUUUUGCUCCAGUUGCUCGCAUUGAAGCUAUCAGACUGUUUCUCGCAUACGCAUCCUACAUGAAUUUCAUUGUCUAUCAGAUGGAUGUAAAAACAGCAUUCCUCCAUGGUGUGUUAGAAGAAGAAGUAUUCCUCAAUCAGCCCCCAGGCUUUGUGGACAAAGAUCAUCCUGAUUACGUGUACCGAUUAGACAAAGCUGUUUAUGGACUGAAGCAAGCACCCAGGGCUUGGUAUGAGACGCUGACAUCGUAUCUACUUGAAAAUGGAUACAGACGAGGAGCAAUCGACAAUACUCUCUUCAUCAAAAACAAAGGCUCAGAUAUGGUUCUUGUUCAAAUUUAUGUCGAUGACAUCAUUUUUGGCUCUCCAAAUGAGACACUGAGCAAGGAAUUUGCAGAGAUCAUGUCUCAAAGGUUCGAAAUGAGCAUGAUGGGGAAGAUGACCUUUUUCUUAGGUCUUGAAGUUCAGCAACAAAAGUCAGGUAUUUCCAUUUGCCAGAGUAAAUAUAUUUCUGACUUGCUUGUUAAGUAUUCUCUCAGUGACUGCAAACCAGCCUCUACCCCAGUGUCUAAGACUGAUAAGAUACACGCUGAUCCAACUGGAACUGAUGUCAAUCACUCUCUGUAUCGAGGAAUGAUUGGAUCUCUCUUAUAUCUCACAACAAGUCGUCCUGAUAUCAUGUUUGGAACCAUUCUCUGUGCUCGAUUCCAAGCUAAUCCCAAAGAAUCUCACCUCAUGGCUGUCAAACGUAUUUUUCGAUACUUGAAAGGGACUCAAAACCUUGCACUGUGGUAUCCUCGCGACUCAGCAUUUGAACUUUAUGGAUACACUGACUCAGAUUAUGCAGGAUGCAAUUUAGACAAAAAGAGUACAUCUGGUGGAUGUCACUUCCUUGGCAAUCGUCUCAUCAGCUGGUCUAGCAAGAAGCAAACAUCAGUAGCCAUCUCAACUGCAGAAGCUGAGUAUGUUGCCGCUGGGAGAUGUUGUGCUCAGCUCUUAUGGAUUCAAAAUCAGCUUCUCGACUAUGGGAUCAAGUUCUCAAAGACUCCCAUAUAUUGUGACAACACCAGUGCCAUUCAGAUCACACAAAAUCCUGUUCAGCACUCNNNNNNNNNNNNNNNNNNNNNNNNNNNNNNNNNNNNNNNNNNNNNNNNNNNNNNNNNNNNNNNNNNNNNNNNNNNNNNNNNNNNNNNNNNNNNNNNNNNNNNNNNNNNNNNNNNNNNNNNNNNNNNNNNNNNNNNNNNNNNNNNNNNNNNNNNNNNNNNNNNNNNNNNNNNNNNNNNNNNNNNNNNNNNNNNNNNNNNNNNNNNNNNNNNNNNNNNNNNNNNNNNNNNNNNNNNNNNNNNNNNNNNNNNNNNNNNNNNNNNNNNNNNNNNNNNNNNNNNNNNNNNNNNNNNNNNNNNNNNNNNNNNNNNNNNNNNNNNNNNNNNNNNNNNNNNNNNNNNNNNNNNNNNNNNNNNNNNNNNNNNNNNNNNNNNNNNNNNNNNNNNNNNNNNNNNNNNNNNNNNNNNNNNNNNNNNNNNNNNNNNNNNNNNNNNNNNNNNNNNNNNNNNNNNNNNNNNNNNNNNNNNNNNNNNNNNNNNNNNNNNNNNNNNNNNNNNNNNNNNNNNNNNNNNNNNNNNNNNNNNNNNNNNNNNNNNNNNNNNNNNNNNNNNNNNNNNNNNNNNNNNNNNNNNNNNNNNNNNNNNNNNNNNNNNNNNNNNNNNNNNNNNNNNNNNNNNNNNNNNNNNNNNNNNNNNNNNNNNNNNNNNNNNNNNNNNNNNNNNNNNNNNNNNNNNNNNNNNNNNNNNNNNNNNNNNNNNNNNNNNNNNNNNNNNNNNNNNNNNNNNNNNNNNNNNNNNNNNNNNNNNNNNNNNNNNNNNNNNNNNNNNNNNNNNNNNNNNNNNNNNNNNNNNNNNNNNNNNNNNNNNNUCUUACCAAUCUUACUCUGAUUCAAUGAUUCAGUGUGACAAAACACACGCUGAUGAGAAUCUAAAAAUCUUUGUCGAUGGUUAGAUCAAAACACCAAGAUCUAUCACACGCAACUAUCCCUUCUUACCAAUCUUACACUGAUUCUGUGAUUCAGUGUGCCAAAACACACGCUGAUGAGAGUCUAAAAAUCUUUACCGAUGGUUAGACCAAAACACCAAGGUUUAUCACACGCAACAAACCUUUCUCUACCUUCUUCUUAUUCAGUGUCUAAUGAUUCAAUAAGAUAAACCACUCACUGAUAAAGUCACAACACUCUGUGUCGAUGGUUAGAUAAUGUAACUAGUAUCUAUCACACGCACCAAUCUCUUUGCUAGCCCCGAUUAAGCAAGCUGUACCUUGAAUUGANCUGACAGGUUGUUACGAUACGCCGUUAUUUUUAAUGAAGAUAAUCAUCACCUUUUAAUGAAGAUAAUCAUUACCUUUUUAAACCCCCUUUUCAUUCCAUAUUUAAAACUCUCUCACCCUUGAUUUAAACUUUCCUUCCACGAUUUUAAACUUCCCUCAAAACCCUAGAACUCUAAAAACUCUCUAAUGGCGGCAUCUCUGUUCACUUACUCCUCCACCUCACGAAGGGUAGUUCCUGCCCCAAACUCUCCUCCUCUUCCAAUUCACAUCAAGGCUACAAACGUUGUUUUCAANCACUUACUCCUCCACCUCACGAAGAGUAGUUCCUGCCCCAAACUCUCCUCCUCUUCCAAUUCACAUCAAGGCUACAAACGUUAUUUUCAACCGUGAUAUUCCAGAGGUUCAUCGAGGUCUUGGACUCGAUAAUUUUUUCAAUUUCUUAGCUUCCUGCCGCCUACGAUACGCAAUCAGUGAUGUUCCAUCCGAGUUCUUCCCUGAACAAGUAUGUGAGUUCUACUACACUUCAACUGUCAAUGACGACAACAAUGCCAUCACCGGAACCAUUGGCCAUGGAAGACACAUUGUCUUCAUCACCGCAGAACUUCUCAGUGCUGCCUUAAGGUUACCUAUCUUUGAACCUUUCUCUGAACCUCCCACUAUUGAACGGUGUAGACGUAUGUUUGAUCAACUGGGUUAUGAUCACUCAAAGGCUGGUACUCGAUCAACUCUUAUUUUGCGCCAAUGUAUGACCCCAGGUUGGAAAUUUUUUACCGGUGCUCUAUGCAAGUGUGUGGGUCACAAGUCUCGAAGUGGUGAUCAGUUGAGUAAUUAUGAGCAACAAGUCAUCUGCUCACUUCUUCUCAACAAAAGACUGGAUUAUGGGGCUCUAUUCUUUGAUCAGCUUGUUCAGCUUCUUCGUGCAAAUGUACGUGUUGAUCAUGUUCUGUUUCCACGCUGGAUUGCUCUUGUGUUCGACAAAUUCUUUGCUGCAUACUACUUCUCGCAUUCUGGAAAUCCCAUCCAAUGCCCUCGCAUGUCUGUUCGCAUGUAUCAAGAUGAUCCUCUGGAUACUGACAUUGGAAUCUCUGAUAGGAUGAGAGAAUGGAUUGCAAGUCCAUACACUGUUCCUUUUCUCACCGCUGACACUGAUGGAGGUGCUGAUGGUAAUCAUGUAGAUCAAGCCGGUCAAGAGGAUGAACCACAUGAUGGUGGUCAUUUCUCUCCUCAACUUUCUCAUCAUAUCGACUCAGUUGCUAAUGUUCCCUCAGCUCAAAAGGAUUCACUGAGUCAGGGGGAGCAACAAUUUCAGGAGGAGCAACUAUCCCAGUGGGAGCAUCCCUCUCAGGGGGAGAAUCCACCUCAUGGGGACCAAUAUUCUCCGGUAAUGCCUCCUAGCUCUCCAGCAGCUCCAGUUACUUUAGUUGUUCAGAUUCCGGCCUCAGCAUUUACUGAACUUCUGACGCUGACUCGGGACAUGAAUCAGCGUCUUCUACGCAUUGAGGCUGAUGUUCACCAGUUAAAGGAAGUUCUCCUGCAAACUCCCCCCUCUAGUCCCCAAUCUGAUGAUGCUCAAAAAGGGGAAGAUACUGAUUAUGAUGCUGAUGCUGAUGAUAAUGCUGACCGUGAACCGAAUGAGAGAGACACCGAACCUGUUGACAACACUCCUGUUCAGCCUGAAUCACCAACGCCAAUGCAUGAGUCUGACUCUGCGGGGCAUAAUAGUCCAGCAGCUACUGAAAAGCUGAUUGAAGAUAGUGAGCAUGAUGAAGAGCAUGAUGAACCAGAUGAUGAAUGUCAAAUACUGGAUAUGAACUUCAUUAAUCCUCUUAUUCCAGUUCAGCAAGAAAGUUCAGAUGACCUUGAAGAAUCUCAUCCGCUAUCAGUCGAUCCUGUUGCUGAUCCCAUUAUUCCAGUCCAAGGAGAAGAUUCGGACGUUGCCAGUGAAGAAUCUCAUCCGCUAUCUCGGAAGCGUAAGGUAGCAGAUACUGACUUGGCUCAUUCUCAAACUGAUACUUCUCUGCCUGGGAAGAAACCCAAGUCCAUAGUCAGUAUUUCAAAUCUUGCCGCUGAAUGGAACAUGUCUCUUGAUCAAGUUAAGCAAAUUCUUGAUGAAGCUAAUCAAGCUCAGCUUCUAAAGAACAUUGCUCAAGCUGAUGAAUCUCUUAUUCAGCACAAACUUCAGGCCAAAGGAUCUUUUGAAGCUCAGAUGCAGAAAUUCCUGGAGUUUCAGUCCAAAUCUCAAUCUUCUCAACCUUCUCAUAGUAGUAGCAAGCCUAAGACUGACAGUGUUCUUGACCGGAUCGAUCGAAAGAGGUUUGAAGACGUUCUUAAUCGACGAAUGUGUGGUGAUAAGAUCAUCAAAGUCAAAGCUUCCAAACCACGAAAUGAAAAAAUCCUUACGUUGCUGAUCACUCGUCAAGGUCCUCAGCAUUCAUACACUGAAGUUGUCAAGAGGGAUGAGCUGAUCAGGUAUGGAUAUUCUGAAUGGAUGGAACUACUUGAACUAGCAUCCAAGCAAACCUCAGCUCACUCUUCGGAACUGACUUGUGCUCUUCAUUUGCUGAUCAAGAAAGUUCAGCGUUUGGAUCUUGUUCCCAAAGAACGACCUCAGCAUCAAGGCCAAAGGUUAUCUGUUCCUAGAACUCGAAGAACCAAGUUCCAAGUUGAUGGUGAAGAUAUAUUGGUUCUAGACUUUGGUGCUGGUGGAAUAAACAAUUCUCUUCCUAUCAGUGUUGAUCCGGUUCAGCAUAAGUUUAUCUCAGCUCCUGAACACGGGAUGUUCUAUCUUGAUAAAAACAGAAAGAUGUGUUUUCAGCGAACUGCUGAGAUCCCAAAGGCUCCAACCACUCAUCUCGUUGGCUUAAGGCAAAUGUGCAUGAGUCAUCAAGAUCUCUCCGGAGAGUUUCACAUCCUUAUUGCCAUGGAGCUGCUGAAUAGAAGACAGGAGUUGCUGGAUAGUCCUUACUGGCCAGUAAAAAUAGAAGCUGAAGCUGAGUAUGAAGAGUUCCUGUCCAGAGGUGUUUUAAUUUAGUUUGUUUUGAACAUCAUCAUAUUGGGGGAGAUUGUAAGGUCAAACCUUGAAAUAUGAUAAUGUUUAAAACAGACUCAGCAUCAGCGCAUAACUCAGUAUCAGCACCAGCGUGUCAGCAGCUCAGUUUGUAAUAGUUUAGUUUAUUCAGUGCAUUGUAACAAAUCUUGUAUUUAUCCUGUUUCCAUAGUUAGCUUAAUUAGUUAGCUAGCGUAUCCCUGAUUUGUAGGGAUUGUCUAGAAUAGCAGUAUAUAAUCUUUUGUAUAGGUUUGUGAAUGGUUACGCCUUUCACAAACCCUAAUCGCUGCUUUGUGCACACGAUAAUCUCUUUGUGAGAUUAUCUUUCUUAGUGAAAGUUUUUCUUCGUGAAUUCCUCUUGUUCUUGUUUACUGUCAUUGUUUGAUAUAUUGAUUGAUCUAAAGGCCUCUUCAAAACCCUUAUCCUCGCAACGAAGACAACAUUAUCACUCGGUCUAUAUAAGAGAUAUCCAAAGGACUUCUGUGGGUAGCCGAUGAAAAUACUUCGCUUGCUACGAGAUUCAAGCUUGUUGUGAGUUAUCGUCUUACGAAAGCCUCGCAACCCCAAACCUUGAAAUGUGCCAAUGAGGGAGCUUUCCCUGUCCACAUCUCGUGAGGUGUUUUGGCAACCUUCUUAGUCGGGACUAGAUUAAGGAUAUAGACGGCAGUCUCUAAGGCAUACCCCCAAAAUGAGAUACGUAACAAAGCUCGACUCAUCAUGGAGCGAACCAUGUUCGACAAGGUUCAAUUGCGCCUCUCAUCCACACCAUUCAACUGCGGUGCCUAGGCGGCGUCAAUUGCGAAACAAUUAUGCAUUCCUUGAGGUAGUCGUGGAAUUCAAUACUAAGGUACUCACAUCCUCGAUCGGAUCGGAGCAUCUUAAUUUUCCUGCCCAGCUGAUUAUCCAUUUCUUGCUUAAACUCUUUGAACUUUUCAAUGGUUUCUGACUUAUGCUUGAUUAAGUAGAUAUACCCAUAUCUGCUAUAAUCCUCGGUGAAAGUCACAUAAAAGCGGCUCGCAUCCCUUGUGGUGGGUCUAAAGGGCCCACAUACAUCGGUAUGUAUGAGAUCCAAUAAACCCUCAACCCUUUCACAAGUACCAGUGAAGGGUGACUUGGCCAUCUUUCCAAGUAAUCAGGACUCGCACGUGUCAUCGUCCCUAAGGCCAAAUAACUCCAAAACUCGAUCCUUUUGGAUUUGGGCUAUGCAUUUAUUGUUGACAUGUCCAAGACGACAAUGCCACAAGCAUGAUUUGUUCAAACCAUUGGAAAAAUCGAUAUGCAACGCAUCAUUUUCUAAGUUGUCUAUAACCAUCACAAUUUCAUAUAUUCUAUUACAAGGCAAUGCUUCAAAAUAGAAAGUGCUAUUAAAGAAAGCAUUAAUAGAUCCAGUUUCAUUAUUAGUUGAAAAUCUAAAACCUUGUUUAUACAAACCAUGAAAAGAAAUAAUGUUCCGUGCCAUUUCUGACGACUAGCAACAAUUAUUCAAAUCUAAACCUUGUUGGCUAUUGUCUAAGUCCAUAACUAUAAUUGGUAUGUACUUGACCUGACUCGGCAUGGUCCAUUUGGGUUGCAUGGCAUCGGAACAUUUGGAUAGACUGUUUGUGAGAAGAGGACAUGUGUAACAUAUUAAUAUAUUAUAAGUUCUAAUUUAUUAAUAUGAAAUCAUGUUAUUUAAUUAGUAUUGAUCAAGAAUAAAUUUGGACUUAAUUUAGUGAUCAAAAAGAGACUAAUUAAAUAUACGGGGAUUGAUUGUGUAAAUCAUUCGUUCUUAUAUAUGUGGGCUUAUGAUCCAAGAUUCCUUAUGUUGGGCUUAACCCAUGUGGUGAUCCAUGGAUACUCCAUGGAGGUUAAAACCCAUGGAGCAUAAGGAAUGGGUAAAGUCAUGAGUUACAUGGUGUAACCCUAAUGACCACACUAUAUAAAGACCCCUUUAGCUCAAGAAAUUGGCACCGGUGAUACAUAUGUGAGGGCUAGCCGAUUUGAGCAUGGAGUGUCUUCUCCUCAUGGUUAUUUCAUGAGUUUGUGAUGUUUUGUGAACCAUUUAAGGUGUCACACUUGGGGCACUAGGCUCUCGAGCUUCAUGGAGUCAAGCUACAUUAACAAGGUAUGUAUUAUAUCCAUUUUAUUACCCCAAGUAUCAAGGGAUUGUAUGCUAGUUAGGGUAAUACCUUGGAAUAUUCAUAUUUGCAUGUAUAAUAGAGAAAACAUAGAUCCAAGGUAUUUAGGGUUGUAUAUACACUUAGGAGUGUUAGAAUGCUCAUAACCCAACAGUGGUAUCACAACCUAGGCUUGUUUUCUUGUUAUACAUGCAAAACCUGCUUAAAGUUCAAAGUUUUUUGUUGUCUGGACAACGGACUCGGCGAGUCCAUGCCUUAAAAGUGUUAAAAACGAUCCAACUCGUCGAGUUGGACCCCCAGACAACAUAUCUUUGACUGUUUUGGCUGGAAUUGGACUAGAAACAUUACCCUAAGCUGUUUUUCAACUUAUAAACCUGUUUUUGAUGUGGUAAUGUUCAUGCUAAUCUAAUUUAAAAGAUAAUUAUCAAUAGAUUCAUGUUUUGUAUUAGUUUAAGGAUUAGGCUAAUUACAUGAAAAAGUUUGAUUUGAAUUAUCUUGUUCUUAUGAGUUGCUUAGAUUAAUAGGAAAGUUAUGUGAAAUUGUUGUUCUCGAUCCAAAUUAAUCUAAGAGUUGGUUCUAAAAUAUGUUUUUGUAACUUGUCCUCAAGUUAUAUGAAAAGUCACAUUUAAGAUCCAUAAAACUCAUAAAGAUUUCCAUAACUUAUGAAUAAGGAAGAGUCACAUUCUUUUAAUAGUUUAAAGUCUUCCAUAACUUGUCCUCAAGUUAUGGAACUUGAAGAGUUUUUAGAAUUAAAACUACUUUAAACACAUAAGUUAUGGAAUUGAAUAAUCUUGAAUAGUUUCAAAACUUGCCCUCAAGUUUUGGAAUUUGAAAAGUUUUCCCUUAUGAAUACUUUAAUUCCAAGUUAAACCCUUAGAAUUUUAAAAGUUAAAAUUCAACCCUUAUACUUUAUAAUAUUAUAAGUUAAUAAUAUAUAUAUAUAUANUUAAGUGUAAUGGGGUUAAUUUGUUGAUCAAUGUCACUUUGACAAUUAUCGAACAAAUUAGUAUGGUGCGGAGUGCACAUUUGUUUGAUUUUGUCAUUGUUGAAAGUAUAAUGCUAUUUAGAGGUGAAGCCCCUGAACUGACGGGGGUCCGGGGGCGGCAGCCCCUGGCUGGGGUCGUGCUGAUCCGUAUUUUGUUAAAAACACCCGGUUUUGUGAUCCUUUUAAUAGACCUGGUUUUAUGGUAGUUUAUGACAGGUAAUAUGACCGUUUUUGGACAGGAAGUUAUUUAGAUAUAUAACUACCAUAUGGCAGUUUUAAGACAGAAAGUUAGUUUUCUGUUAUAUAUGAUCAAUUUCGGAUUCUCUUUUGGGUACAGAUUCAUAACAUCUUCUUCAUUCUAUAUUCUAGAAAAUUAGUGAGUUUCAUCCGAUUAGAGAUUUUGAGUGUACCCUCGAAAUGCUUUAAUCUGAAAGUGUUUCACAACUCUCACUGAUCCAAGUAUAUCUAUACCCCGAAAAUCUAACAAAGAUUAAAGCAUUCUGUGAUCAUGACAAGUGGUGAUUCUGUGAAGGAAAUGACUAGUAAGUUUGAAAAACUGAACAAGUUUGAAGGGCAAGAUUUUCGUAGAUGGCAGAAGAAGAUGAAGUUUCUCCUUACCACUCUGAAAGUGGUGUAUGUUCUGAGUACACCCAUGCCAGUCUUACCAGAAUCUGUUGAAGAUGAACCUUUGGAGGCAACAAGAAGGAGAUCAAAGUGGGAAAAUGAUGAUUACAUAUGUCGUGGUCAUAUUCUCAAUGGUAUGUCUGACUCUCUUUUUGAUAUCUAUCAAAAUUUCGAAUCUGCAAAAGAACUGUGGGAUUCUCUUGAAUCCAAAUACAUGGCUGAAGAUGCUUCUAGCAAGAAGUUUCUUGUCAGUAACUUUAUGGGUUACAAAAUGAUUGACUCUAGGCCUGUUAUGGAACAAUUCCAUGAAAUGUUAAGGAUCCUGGGACAGUUUGCUCAACACAAUCUGAAAAUGGAUGAAGCCAUUUCUGUGGCUGUGAUUAUUGACAAACUGCCCCCUUCCUGGAAGGAUUUUAAACACAAUCUGAAACAUAACAAAGAGGAAUUGACUUUGACUCAACUUGGAAGCCAUUUACGGAUUGAAGAGUCCUUAAGGACUCAAGAACUUGAUAACAAUCCCAAAGGCAAGAACCAAGUUGGUUCCUCUUCUGUGAACAUGGUGGAUGGAGAAGGAUCAAAGAAUCAAAAGAAGUCUAAUGGAAAAAGGAAGUUUAAAGGAAAGGAUGACAAGUCUUCCAACAAGAAGGCUAAAGUGGUGUGUUGGAAUUGUAACAAACCGGGUCACUUCAAGAAAGAUUGUCGUUUGCGUAAAGUGAACAAGGAUGGUGCAGGACCAAGUGGAUCCAAGGAUCCAGAGAAGCAACAAGGUCAGAUUUCUGUAUUCAUGCAGAAUUCUAAAUAUAUUCAUAAUUAUAAUUUAGUGAUUUCUGAAGCAUUUUAUGUGCAGGAUGAUAAUGUUGCACGGUGGGUUGAUUCUGGAGCAACAAGUCAUGUUUGCAAAGAUCUAUAUUGGUUCAAGGACUUUCAACCAAUUAAUGAUGGAUCUGUUGUGAAGAUGGGAAAUGUUGCAACUGGACCAAUCAAGGGCAUAGGAUCUGUUUUACUUACUUUUACUUCUGGGAAAUGUUUGUGUUUGAACAAUGUUUUAUAUGUUCCAGGGAUUCGUAAGAAUCUCGUGUCUGAAAUUGUAUUAAAUAAUUGUGGUUACAAACAAGUAUUAGAAAGUGACAAGUAUAUCUUGUCAAGACAUGGUUCUUUUAUAGGAUUUGGAUAUGUAUGUAAUGGAAUGAUUAGGCUAAAUAUUAAUUAUCUUUUUAUUGAUAAUUCUGUUUGCAUGGCUUCUACUAGUACUAGCAAUAAUUUUAAUAAAUAUGAAUUAUGGCAUGCUAGACUAGGACACAUUCAUUACAAAAGAUUAAAAGACAUGUCUAAAAUGAGUUUAAUUCCUUCCUUUGAUAUGCAAAAUAAUGAAAAAUGUAAAACAUGCAUGCUAACUAAAAUCACUAGACAACCUUUCAAAGAUGUUGUUAGGGAAAGCAAGGUGUUGGAUCUAAUACAUAGUGAUUUAUGUGAUUUCCAUGCAACACCUUCCCUUGGAAACAAAAAGUAUGUUGUUACUUUUAUUGAUGAUGCAUCUAGAUAUUGUUAUGUCUAUUUGCUACAUUCUAAGGAUGAAGCACUUGAUAAAUUUAAAAUUUAUAAACAACAAGUUGAGCUUCAUAAAAAUGAAUUAAUAAAAGUCUUGCGUACUGAUAGAGGUAGUGAGUAUUAUGAUCCAAUUUAUUUUGAAUCAACUGGAAUAAUACAUCAAACCACAGCUCCUUAUACACCACAACAAAAUGGUGUAGCUGAAAGAAAGAAUAGGACUUUGAAAGAAAUGGUUAAUUCCAUGUUGUCUUAUUUUGGAUUAAGUGAAGGGUUUUGGGGUGAGGCAAUGUUGACUACAUGUUACAUCUUGAACAGAACUCCAAAUAAAAGGAGUAAGAAUACUCCUUAUGAACUUUGGUGUAAAAAGGUACCAAAUUUGAGUUAUCUCAAAAUUUGGGGUUGCAGAGCAGUUGUAAGGCUCACUAAACCCAAAAGGAAAACAUUGGGUGAGAGAGGUAUAGAUUGUAUCUUUAUUGGAUAUGCUGAGCAUUCCAAAGCUUAUAGAUUCUAUGUUUUAGAAUCUAAUGACUCUGUGUCUGUUAACACUGUUAUAGAGUCAAGAGAUGCUAUCUUUGAUGAAGAAAGAUUUACAUCUAUACCUAGACCAAGGGACAUGAUUCAACAAUCUUUCAACAAAAACAAAACUCAAGCUGGAGAUGAUUCUGGUGGUACAAGUUCUGUGCCUGAACUUAGAAAGAGUACUAGAGCUAGAAAAGCUAAGUCGUUUGGAUCUAAUUUUCAACUUUAUCUAGUUGAAGGAACAAGGUGUGCAAAUUGAAGAAAUCAUUAUAUGGUUUGAAACAAGCACCAAAACAAUGGUAUCAAAAGUUUGAUGAUGUUGUCUUGUCUAAUGGUUUUGCAUUAAACCAAGCUGACAAGUGUGUAUAUAGCAAAUUUGAUACUUCUGGUAAAGGAGUCAUGAUUUGUUUAUAUGUAGAUGAUAUGUUGAUUUUUGGUACUGAUUUAGAAGAAGUUGAUAAAACCAAGAAAUUCUUAUCAUCUAGUUUUGAUAUGAAAGACAUGGGGGAGGCUGAGGUAAUUCUUGGUAUAAGAAUUAGAAAAGGAAACAAUGGGAUUUCAAUUUCUCAAUCUCAUUAUAUUGAGAAGAUAUUGAAAAAGUUUAACUUUGAGAAUUGUUCUCCUGUUAGCACUCCUAUAGAUCCUAGUCUUAAGCUUCUACCUAAUAAAGGAUCUCCAGUGUCUCAACUUGAAUACUCAAGGGCUAUUGGUUGUCUAAUGUAUGCCAUGAUUAGUACUAGACCUGAUAUAGCUUAUGUUGUGGGAAGACUUAGUAGAUAUACUAGUAAUCCUAGUUCACAUCAUUGGCAAGCUGUGAGUAGAGUAUUCAAGUAUUUGAAAGGGACCAUAAAUUAUGGUUUAACUUAUAGUGGAUAUCCUUCUGUUUUGGAAGGUUAUUCAGAUGCCAGCUGGAUUAACAACUUAGAGGAUCACUCCUCUACAAGUGGUUGGGUGUUUCUUCUUGGAGGAGGUGCCAUUUCUUGGGCAUCUAAGAAACAGACUUGUAUUACUAACUCAACCAUGGAGUCUGAGUUUGUUGCAUUGUCUGCUGCUGGUAAAGAAGCUGAGUGGCUAAGGAAUUUGAUUUAUGAAAUUCCAUUAUGGCCCAAACCGAUAUCUACCAUUUCUAUCAGAUGUGAUAGUGCUGCAACCUUGGCUAAGGCUUAUAGUCAAGUNNNNNNNNNNNNNNNNNNNNNNNNNNNNNNNNNNNNNNNNNNNNNNNNNNNNNNNNNNNNNNNNNNNNNNNNNNNNNNNNNNNNNNNNNNNNNNNNNNNNNNNNNNNNNNNNNNNNNNNNNNNNNNNNNNNNNNNNNNNNNNNNNNNNNNNNNNNNNNNNNNNNNNNNNNNNNNNNNNNNNNNNNNNNNNNNNNNNNNNNNNNNNNNNNNNNNNNNNNNNNNNNNNNNNNNNNNNNNNNNNNNNNNNNNNNNNNNNNNNNNNNNNNNNNNNNNNNNNNNNNNNNNNNNNNNNNNNNNNNNNNNNNNNNNNNNNNNNNNNNNNNNNNNNNNNNNNNNNNNNNNNNNNNNNNNNNNNNNNNNNNNNNNNNNNNNNNNNNNNNNNNNNNNNNNNNNNNNNNNNNNNNNNNNNNNNNNNNNNNNNNNNNNNNNNNNNNNNNNNNNNNNNNNNNNNNNNNNNNNNNNNNNNNNNNNNNNNNNNNNNNNNNNNNNNNNNNNNNNNNNNNNNNNNNNNNNNNNNNNNNNNNNNNNNNNNNNNNNNNNNNNNNNNNNNNNNNNNNNNNNNNNNNNNNNNNNNNNNNNNNNNNNNNNNNNNNNNNNNNNNNNNNNNNNNNNNNNNNNNNNNNNNNNNNNNNNNNNNNNNNNNNNNNNNNNNNNNNNNNNNNNNNNNNNNNNNNNNNNNNNNNNNNNNNNNNNNNNNNNNNNNNNNNNNNNNNNNNNNNNNNNNNNNNNNNNNNNNNNNNNNNNNNNNNNNNNNNNNNNNNNNNNNNNNNNNNNNNNNNNNNNNNNNNNNNNNNNNNNNNNNNNNNNNNNNNNNNNNNNNNNNNNNNNNNNNNNNNNNNNNNNNNNNNNNNNNNNNNNNNNNNNNNNNNNNNNNNNNNNNNNNNNNNNNNNNNNNNNNNNNNNNNNNNNNNNNNNNNNNNNNNNNNNNNNNNNNNNNNNNNNNNNNNNNNNNNNNNNNNNNNNNNNNNNNNNNNNNNNNNNNNNNNNNNNNNNNNNNNNNNNNNNNNNNNNNNNNNNNNNNNNNNNNNNNNNNNNNNNNNNNNNNNNNNNNNNNNNNNNNNNNNNNNNNNNNNNNNNNNNNNNNNNNNNNNNNNNNNNNNNNNNNNNNNNNNNNNNNNNNNNNNNNNNNNNNNNNNNNNNNNNNNNNNNNNNNNNNNNNNNNNNNNNNNNNNNNNNNNACCCAAAUUUCUAACAAGUCUUACCGUUAGUAGGCCUCAUUCACGAAGCCGAUCUAUAAGGGGGGUAUAAGGUUACUGCCUAUAAAAUGACAGUUUAAUGGGUGUCCACUCUCACCCACCACUUCCUUGACUGGUGGAGGGUCGUUAGCCGAACAGGUAGGACAAGGACUAUAAUUCUCCCUUCAUUAAAAGUAUUAAUGAUCAAUAUAAAUUAACUAAAUGUUUUUAUAAUUCCCAAUAUUAUUUACUUUAGGAAAAUGUGAAUAAGGUGCUAAUCCAUGAAAUUACACUUUACACUUUGCUUAAGUCGGUUAGUGGAGCAUGUGUGGUUAACCGGCACACUAGCUUGAUUUAACAAGGUAGGCAAAAGGGUAACUUAAUAUUUAUCAUAGCAUCGGUGGAGCGCAUGUGGUUAACGGGCACAUCGAUUGAGGGGUAAAUAUUAAGGGUACCAAGUAAUUUGCAUGGUUACUUCACACCUUGUUUUGUGAUCCUCGGCAUCCCAGUCACAAAACCUGAAGGGAACACUCGAGAUUGAAACAUGUCAUUGAACAGUUAAAUAAAUCUCAAAAGAUCUAGGAGUUUCAAAUCCAAGUAAAACCUAAUUAAAUCAUUUCGUUUUCAUGGUGGAAAUUGGUGAAUCGUCAUUCACCUACCUUCAAAUGUUCUAUAGCUUUGACUACGACAUCCCUCUUCGAAGUUUUAAAAUAUUGUGUUGGGUCCUAGCCUUAAUAUUUCAUAUUAGGUGUUAUAUUAAGGACUUUAAAUCAAAUAUCUUUAAUAUCUCCCAAAAAGAUGUCUGGUUCAGACAUCUAUGGCUUCCCAAGUCUCUUGAAACUUCACCUCUUCCACUUCCUCCAAUUAUUUUCCAUAACCCACAAGUUCAAGGUCACUCAGGCCCUAAUGGCAAGCAAGGUCUAUGUGUGCUCACAUCUUGGAGUUGAAGUCACAUAUUGACAAGUCGGGAGAGUUGGGUGUCAAAGUCUUUAGAAAGUUAGAUGUUCAAUCACUUUCUAAGUCACAUAGUGAGUUCCUUUGGGAUUACUAUGAAACAGACUAUGACAUGACCCUUAAUGAUCUUAUCUAUUUGCUUGGUGCUGCUAAAGCAUAAAUGAUUUGAGGAUUAGUAAAGCAAAAUUGAUUAGGAGAUCAACUUCCCAAUGGACAUUGACAAUGGAAACAUUGGAUAUCUAGAAAAGCCUUCUCUUCCCAAGGAAAGGGAUUGACCAUAGUCAAAUUGGUUGACCAAAUGGUAAAGAGAACGACAAGUCUGAGAUAGUCCAGUGCACCAUUCCCAAAGAGUCCAUAUGUUUUUCCAAAGGAAGGGGCAUUGAUUGCGAAGCUGCCAAAUUUACCUGAAAUAUCAUAAGGCUGGUAAAGUCAAUAAGUUUGACUCUACUUCAGGUAAAGUAUACUGUCUAACUCGGUUAAGUUUCUAUUAUGAGAUUUUUAUUACAUGAUGUGACUGGGUCACAUGUUGAUCUUUUAAGAAUCAAAGGAAAAGUGAAGGAAACUUAAAGAAAGAGUAUGUUGAAUCUGACUGCGAAGAUGGAUUUCUAUCGCUUGAUUGAAGAUCGGAUUCUUGAGCCACUCUUAGGAGUUAUGAUAGAUUGCUAGGAAACAUGUAAUAGCAUAGUUUUCAUUUAAAGUUGCAUUGUAAGGAAAAGUUUUUCCGCAUUUUAUAAAUAAAUAAAAGUUUGUUUUACUUUAUUUUAAAUCUCCUUGCAAUGGCAUUUAUGAAAACUUGAUGUUUGUAUGUUUUUAGCAAUAUUGAAAAUAUGAAUUUGACUCUUUCAUUUGUGGUAGUGUCUAAAUUUACCAAAUAAGGAAAGCUUAUCAUCAUCCAAGUUUUCAGUUGGAUAGAAACUUGGAAUCAUACAAGUUGUACAAUAUGAUGAAUGAGAACUUUCAGCUUUCGAAAAAUUAAGACUAUUUCCUUGUUUACAUGUAUACGUGAGUCAAGUGAAGGGCUAAGGGAUCGAGUACACAUUCUUGUGCACUUAUCAAGUCCACCACAAAAGAUCUAUUAGACUAUUCGUCGUGAUUUACUAAAGUUUAGUAAAUAUGGUUACACUUACAAGUGUAAGUGUAAUUCUGAUACAUUGGAACAAUUUCAAUGUAUGGCAUACCGAAUGAGAAGAAUCAAAUUAGGCAGAAGGAUAAAAGUUUCUCAAAUCUGAAAAGAUGGGAGAGAACGUUAGUAUCAUGUUUUGUGUUCAUCUUAAUGAUUAAGAAACCAUGUCGCAAUUGGUCCUCUAAUGACAUCUUAGUGCAUUCAUAUGGCUAAGAAGAGGAAUCAAGAAUUGCUGAAAUGGUUAAAUCAAGAAGAUAAGUCAUACUUCAUUCCAAAAAAAAGUCUUAGAGUCAUACUCCAAGACUGUAAGUUGAGUGACAUAUCUUAAAGAAAGGUUUAAAACACUUGUCAAAUGUAAGAGUAAAAGUGUCAUGCUCUUGUACAUUUGAAAUUGGUAGGUUGUGAUGUUUUGGAUAAAACAAAUACCAACUUACGCCAAUUGUGUGAAGUGUUUUUCUUGAUAAAGAAUCUGCACUAUAUCUUGAAUAUUUGGCAAGAUAGUCUUAUAUGUCAAGAGGACAGUAGGAGUCUUAAAGAUCUUGAAAAGUAUUUCAAGAUCUAAUAAAGAAUAAAAACUUGUAGUUUAAUACUAGCACACGACGUAAGGUUUAUAACCUGUCGUGUUGGCAUAUUUCUAUUUCCGAGCCCACUCCAGGUAAAGUUGGCUUUGCAUAUGAGUUCUGAGAGUUCUCAAUUAGUUGCAUAACAACUUGGAAGCAAUGGCAGGCCCUUGGGCUGCCAGGUGGCAAGAAAUUUAGAUUGAGUUCAGUCCAUAUGAGUUUGGAUUUGUCAUUAUCCUUCUCUUGUGAGGAUGGUUUUGACAAAUCCACAUGGAUAAGAACACAUACACCAUAAAAUCUAAGGGUCAUAAGGUUUCUCUCCGAUUCAUGAAAAUAAUUGUGAGGAAACACUUCCACCAAGUAGAUUUUGAAGCAAAUAGCAAAGAUCUAAACAAUUGAGACUAUGAUUACGACAUCCCUUUUCAUAGUUCUAAAAUUGUCUAGACACAUGUGAGCUAUCUAAGAUAAGGUGUAUGAUUUUGAUAAAGUGUUAUCAAGGCAAUCUCGUCUCAUAAAUCUGAACUUUGGUAAGAAAGUCAGUAAAGUAUUGACUUCUAGAAAUCCAGCUGAUUUUUUAGUACAUGUCAAAGCUAGUGGGAACAUAAGUGUUAUGAUAAUAAUCAUCAUGUUAGUGGGAGCAUGAUAAUUAUUAUUAGUACUGCAAGAUAGCAAUGUUAAUUAUAGAAAACAAAAGUUUCAAUUCAUGGAGUUGCAGGGGUUGAAAAGUUGUUUUGCUAUAAUUAAGGUGUAACAUCCGGAUUUCUAGGUACAUUAUUUAUUCAUUUAUUUUGGAGAUUUUGGAAGGACUCGACGAGUUGACGCUUAGACUCGCCGAGUAGGAUCGCGAUUUCUAUCUGGUUUAAUGACCGGACUCGGCGAGUCGACUAGUGGACUCGGCGAGUCGACUAGUGGACUCGGCGAGUCCGCGCUAUUUAAUGAAACCCUAAUCCCCGGGGUUUGAGACUUAUUUAAAGAGGCUUAUAGCCACCAAGUGCGGCUACCAGACCUCUGAGUGAAACCCUAAGCGAUCUAGAGCGUUUGUGAGGAAGGAGAGACCAUUUUUGAUCCUUGUGUGGGUGUUUUUGCAAGAAGAAGGUGACCAAGGCAAGAAGGAGUUGAAGAGGGUGCUAUUCUGUGGAUCUCAGAGCCUAAGAACUUCAUAUUGAAGUAUAUAUUCGAUCAUUCUUCAGUUUUGGGUGUUAAUCCUUGAGAGUUAGGGUUUCUAGCCCAUUUAGAGUGUGAAUGAUGGUGCAAUUGGUCCCUUCUUGUGUUGAGGCUUCGGAUCUGGAUCCAAAGAGGUCCAGAGACCUUAUCUCCCUGAUCUUUAUGGGGUGACAUUGAGUAAUAUGAGCUUAGGGUGACAUAUUGAGGCCAUUUCUUCAAAUAGAGCCAUUGGGUAUUUGCAUGGGCAUCAAGAUCCAGACUUUACGUGUUUAUAUUGCUUAAGGAGGCCAAAUCUACGGAUUAGAGGAACGGAUCUGACCCUACUUUAACCCCACUUCCAACCAUUCCCUUAUCCUACCUACACUCACACCCACCCCAAACAUUCCCCUACAAGCACACCCAUAUUUACCUCAAUUAUAUAUCCACCCACCCACCCAUCCAUACCUACACCUCCCACCUAAACCUUCAGACCCACCCACUCUCAUACCACAAACACUCAUACAUAUUCAUACCCACACCCAUACUAAUAUAAUAAAAAAAAUACUUUGGUUAUCUUACAACCCAACUAAAAAACAUAUUUCAUUAUAUGUCAACAAAACACAUAAUUGAUCCUAAUUCCUUUAUAUACCAACUCAUCUGACAAAUUUCAUUCCUUCUUAAAAUAUUAUGCAAACCAAACGCCCCUUUAAAAUUAAAUUAUAUGUUGAUAUUAUUUUUUAAUUAUGUAACCGUCCAGACUUUUAAUAACAAAAUAUGAUUUCAUAUAUAUUACGUAUUUGCAUAUAUCGAGUCAUUUAAUGCACGUCUUUUAUACUUAUCUGAACCAAUGGUUGGAGAUUCAAUCCACACCGUUCAUAUUUAGCUGAUGCGACCGCUAAAUUUCAUAAUCCGUGUCUUUCCUAAUCGACCAAUCAAAGCAACCCAAAAUUGCCUAUAUAAACAUAUCCAACAUAACCUCACUUCACACAACUAAACAUUUUACUUUCCUUUUAAUAAGCCCUCUAUUUCAUCAAAUAUUUAUCUUGUUCUAUAUAUUUCUCUCUCUAAAAAUGGUAAUGAAAACGACCAAUGCGAAGAAAGCAUCGAUUGAAAAGAACAUUAGAAAUGAGAAUAACCCCCCAAAGGAUUUAACCGGAGCAGAUCCAGAGAAAAAAAAGAGACGGAAUAAGAAACCCGUGGAGACGUACAAUACAUACAUCUUCAAGGUCUUGAAGGAGGUCCAUGGUGACAUUGGGAUUUCCAAUAAGGCGAUGGAGAUCAUGAACUCGUUUGUUAAUGAUAUGUUUCAAAAAAUUGCACAAGAAGCUUCCAAGUUAGCAAAAUACAACAAUAAGAGCACCUUAUCGGCGAGAGAAAUUGAGGCUGCUGUCAAGCUUGUGCUACAUGGAGCAUUGGCUAAGCAUGCUGUGCAGGAAGGCACCAAGGCUGUGGCAAACUUUACUAGGUCUUAGAUAGGCCUUAUGUGCUUGUUUUAAUAACAUAUAAAAGGAAAAUAAAUUAAGGUAUGUUAUAAAAAAGUUGAUGUACAACUUAAUUAUGUUACAAUCCAUUUGACAAAAUGAAAUGGAUAAUUAGAUUUUAUAUUCGAUGUUAUGACUUAAAUCUUACCAAAAUGUUUCUCACAAAUCCAUAUAUAAUAAAACACAAAUUUAUUGCUAAAUUACAUUAGAGAAACAAAUAUUAUGGACUAGUAUUGAAAAAAAAAGUUUGUUUUUUUUAAGUUGCACACGACUUUUAACUUAUUGAAAUCAUUCUUAACAAAUGAAGGUUUUUUUUGCCACAUGUUCUCUUCUCUUUCAUUUGGACACAUUGCAUUUUCUAGAAUUUUUUAAUUUUCUAUUUUCCACUUGUCAUUUUAUUGUAAUUUUCAUUUUAUUAAAUUAAAAUUUCACAUUUAUUAUAUAAGGUAAUAUAUAUGUAAGGUAUUUACUAUAAAUGAUUUAUAUAUGUAAUGUAUUCAAUGUAUUAAAGUCUCAUUAAUUUUAAUAAUUUAAAUUUUUUCUCAUUUUUCUUAUAAAUUCAAACUUCUCAAAUUGUUAAAAUUUCAUUUUUUUUAAAUAAACUCAUGUAAUACAUGGGUCUCACACCUAAUAUAUAUAUAUAUAUAUAUAUAUAUAUAUAUAUAUAUAUACACACACACACACACAUUNAUAUAUAUAUAUAUAUAUAUAUAUAUAUAUAUAUAUAUAAACAAGUCUUUUAAUUUGAAGCUUGUCCGAUAAGAUUUUUAAAACUUUUAAUCUAUGAUAAAUGUGUGAAAACUGGUCUUAAAGUUUAAACAAAUCAAAAUAAUUGUAAAUACUUGUUUUUUAUAUUUUAGGUUAGUUAUGUAAAUACUAUUUCUAUUUUAUAUAAUUCAAAAUCAAAAUAAUUGUUUUAUAAAAUCACCAACAUCAAGCCGCCACAUUCAUUGCCGAGGUUGGUUUUAAGGAGUCGAUGCAAGGGUCUUGAUGAGAUCAAGUACGUAGAAGGAAGACAUUGUGAGAAAUAUAUCUUGAAUUCAUUAAGAUUGCAUUUAUGACCAAAUUUAAAGGAUGAUUGGCUUAUUUAUUUAUUUUUGUUAAGACGACUUGAUGGAAUAUCGUGAAUCUUGCGUUUAUCUCACAAAUUAGCAACUAAGGCCCCGUUUGAUAGUUGUUGACCGAGAAAGUGCUGACUGAGAAAUGUGUCUCAGUAAGAAAUUCUAACUAAGUAAGAAAUCAUAUUGUUUGAUUUGAAAUCUGACUGAAUGUGCUGACUAGUGCAAAAUGACCAUUUUACCCCGAUGCUCUACACGUUUCUAUGCAAUAUGAAGAUGAUGAUGAUGAUAAUAAUAAUAAUAAUAACAACAACAACAACAAAAACAACAAUAAUAAUAACAACAAUUACAAUAAUAAUAAUAAUAAUAAUAAUAAUAGACAUUAAUAAUAAUAAUAAUAACAAUAAUAAUAAUAAUAAUAAUAGACAUUAAUAAUAAUAAUAAUAAUAAUAAUAAUAAUAUAUAAAAAACUUUCAGCAUAAUAAACAUUAAAUAUAUUAUUUUAGAAAUAAAACACAAAAAGUCAUUUAGCUUGUUGGUAAACACCAUAUUUUCUACAAGGGAUACCUAAGUUCUAAUCAUGUAACCUUCAUUAGCUUUGAAUUUUUAUCCAAGCCAAUGGUACUAUUGGAAACCCUCACUUUCUUUCUGGGUCAGCCAUCUCCCAACUUCUUUCUCGGUUAGACCUUGCUUUCCGAGUCAGACGUUAAGAUUUUGUCUAUCAAACACCUUUCGUCUGACCGAGUCAGCCAAAAAUGUCUGACCUGACUCGGUCAGAUGCAUAUCAAACAGGGCCUAAGUUGGACGGACAAUACGAGACGAGUUUGAUGGAACAUACAAGCCUCAGAUAGAGUAAAUAGGAAGUUCAAUUAGCAAUUUAAAUGGUUUUAUACUUCACGUUUCAACAUUCACACUGGUAAUUUAAUUUAAAUUUUCGAACUUUUUUUACACCCAUAUGAGGUUCUAUUUAAAUAGUAACAAAAUUUAUGAAUUUUGAUAUAUAUAUUUACUUUAUUUUAUCGAUAAAAAUUAUAAUAUAUAUAUANNNNNNNNNNNNNNNNNNNUAUAUAUAUAAAAGUUCAAUUAAGAAAAUAUAAAAAAUGAAGAAUGAGGAAUCAUUGUCAACCACUCAUUUAUUUUUGCCGUAAAAAUCUUCAUCGUACCGGCGGAAAUGGGGAUGAAUACACAUAUAUUCUCCAAAAAAAACAUGUUUUCUUCAACUAUGUUAAUCAUUACCUUAAUAUAUACAAAAGCAUAGUUUUUUUUUUCGUUUUUUUAAUUUUUAAGUAGCUAUUUUUAUCGGAAAAAUGAUUUUAAAUAUAUCAAAAUUCAUAAUAUUUUAUUCUCUACAAAUAGACAUCAAUAUUGAUAUAGUUUUAAGAUAAAUUAACAUUUUUUUUAUAGUUUCAGCUAUCGUUAUUCAUAAUUGAAUAUAAAUGCAUCAGAUUUUUACUACAGUACAUUCGUUAUUCACUUAUGAAUAAAUUAAUAUUUUUUAUUUUUUUUACAGUUUAACUAUCAUUUAUACUACUUAUUCAUAUAUGAAUAACAAAUUAACUGUAACAAAAAUCUGAUAAAUGUUUUAUUCAUAUAUAAAUAUAAAAUAUGACGACAACUAAUACACGUUUUAUUCAUAUAUAAAUAUAAUAUAUGGCGAAAGAUGAUGUAAAAAAUAUAUUUUAAAUAAUAAACUUUAUUACGUGUUAUAUUCAUGUAUGAACGAUACUCAAACUAUAAAAAAAAAUUGAAGCAUACGUUUUAUUCAUAACUGAAUAACGAAUGUAUUGUAAUAAAAGUCUGAUAGAUCUUUAAUCACUUAUAAAUAACGAGAACUGCAACUCUAAAAAAAAAUUAAUUUAUCUUAAAAUUAUAUCAAUAUGAAUGUCUAUUUAUAAAGAAUAAAAAAUUAUGAAUUUUGAUAUAUUUAAUAUAAUUUUUCAAUAAAAAUAACUUUCUAAAAAUAAAAAAACAAAAACAAAAAAAAAAAUGUUUUUGGGUAUAUUAUGGUAAUGAUUAGCAUAGUUUAAGGAAACAUGUUUGGUUGAAAAACACAUGUGUAUCCGUUAUCUAUUUCCGUCGGUACGCCUAAGUGUUUUGCGGCAAAAUAAAUAUGUAUUUGAAAAUGAUUCCCUCAUUCUCAACCUUUUUUUUUCUCAAGUAAACCCUACUCUAUCUAUCUAUCUAUCUCUCUCUCUCUCUCUCUCUCUCUCUCNNNNNNNNNNNNNNNNNNNNNNNNNNNNNNNNNNNNNNNNNNNNNNNNNNNNNNNNNNNNNNNNNNNNNNNNNNNNNNNNNNNNNNNNNNNNNNNNNNNNNNNNNNNNNNNNNNNNNNNNNNNNNNNNNNNNNNNNNNNNNNNNNNNNNNNNNNNNNNNNNNNNNNNNNNNNNNNNNNNNNNNNNNNNNNNNNNNNNNNNNNNNNNNNNNNNNNNNNNNNNNNNNNNNNNNNNNNNNNNNNNNNNNNNNNNNNNNNNNNNNNNNNNNNNNNNNNNNNNNNNNNNNNNNNNNNNNNNNNNNNNNNNNNNNNNNNNNNNNNNNNNNNNNNNNNNNNNNNNNNNNNNNNNNNNNNNNNNNNNNNUGUGUGCUAAAAUACACAAAUAUGAAUUAGUAAAUUAAAUAAUUAUUUCAUUAAAUAAAUAUCGAUAUUAAAUGAUUUCAAUAAUUAUAUGUAUAUUAAAUGAUAUCCAUAAUUAUAAUUCUAUUUUUAUUUAAAUUAAUUAAAUCUGUCAUUAAUGUCAGCAAUAACAUUCUUUUAUAAUUAAUUCGCAUCUAGGUUUUUAUAUAUGAGUUCGUAUUUUGUUUCAGGACUCACUCACUUAAAAUACAAUAAAGUUAUAUAGAAUAUGAAGAACGAGAGUGUAUUCUACUAGAAUACACUUCAUUCUGUUGGAAUACACUCUUAUUCUUCUAUAUAUGAAAUAAUUCUGAAAGAAUAUUAUUGUUGACAUUAAUGACGAAUUAAAUUAGUUUCCAUAAAAAUGAGUUAUAAAUAUGGAUAAUAUUUAAUAUACAUAUAAUUAAUACUAAAUUCAUAUUGGUGCAUUUUAGAACACGACAGAUGUAAGAAACAUUUGAACCUACCUCUCUCUCUUUCUCUUUAUAUAUAUAUAUAUGUAUAUAUAUAUAUAUGUAUAUAUAUAUAUANNNNNNNNNNNNNNNNNNNNNNNNNNNNNNNNNNNNNNNNNNNNNNNNNNNNNNNNNNNNNNNNNNNNNNNNNNNNNNNNNNNNNNNNNNNNNNNNNNNNNNNNNNNNNNNNNNNNNNNNNNNNNNNNNNNNNNNNNNNNNNNNNNNNNNNNNNNNNNNNNNNNNNNNNNNNNNNNNNNNNNNNNNNNNNNNNNNNNNNNNNNNNNNNNNNNNNNNNNNNNNNNNNNNNNNNNNNNNNNNNNNNNNNNNNNNNNNNNNNNNNNNNNNNNNNNNNNNNNNNNNNNNNNNNNNNNNNNNNNNNNNNNNNNNNNNNNNNNNNNNNNNNNNNNNNNNNNNNNNNNNNNNNNNNNNNNNNNNNNNNNNNNNNNNNNNNNNNNNNNNNNNNNNNNNNNNNNNNNNNNNNNNNNNNNNNNNNNNNNNNNNNNNNNNNNNNNNNNNNNNNNNNNNNNNNNNNNNNNNNNNNNNNNNNNNNNNNNNNNNNNNNNNNNNNNNNNNNNNNNNNNNNNNNNNNNNNNNNNNNNNNNNNNNNNNNNNNNNNNNNNNNNNNNNNNNNNNNNNNNNNNNNNNNNNNNNNNNNNNNNNNNNNNNNNNNNNNNNNNNNNNNNNNNNNNNNNNNNNNNNNNNNNNNNNNNNNNNNNNNNNNNNNNNNNNNNNNNNNNNNNNNNNNNNNNNNNNNNNNNNNNNNNNNNNNNNNNNNNNNNNNNNNNNNNNNNNNNNNNNNNNNNNNNNNNNNNNNNNNNNNNNNNNNNNNNNNNNNNNNNNNNNNNNNNNNNNNNNNNNNNNNNNNNNNNNNNNNNNNNNNNNNNNNNNNNNNNNNNNNNNNNNNNNNNNNNNNNNNNNNNNNNACGUUAGUUAGUCGGUGGACUGGGGUUAAGGGAUUAAUCGGCUAGGCGGAGAUUAAUCGGUGACCAUUGAUUGCUAAUUUGUUAGAUUUUAACAAAUUAAAUAUGACUAAUAUUAUAUAAAAGUUCGUAAAUACCACUAAUAUUAUAACAAAAUAGUUUAAUAUGAUAAAUAUAACACUAAUCAUACAUCAAAUAGUUUCUGUUGAGAUAUAACUUCUUCAAAGUGUUAAAAUUUCAUUAGGUUCUACUGUUUCAGUCAUUGUGUAUGCAGAGAUUAAUCGUUUUGCGCCCUCUAAUCGGUCGAGUAGCACCAAGGGAUUAAUCAGAGAUUAAUCCGGACCUAAUCGGGAUUUUUACAACANNNNNNNNNNNNNNNNNNNNNNNNNNNNNNNNNNNNNNNNNNNNNNNNNNNNNNNNNNNNNNNNNNNNNNNNNNNNNNNNNNNNNNNNNNNNNNNNNNNNNNNNNNNNNNNNNNNNNNNNNNNNNNNNNNNNNNNNNNNNNNNNNNNNNNNNNNNNNNNNNNNNNNNNNNNNNNNNNNNNNNNNNNNNNNNNNNNNNNNNNNNNNNNNNNNNNNNNNNNNNNNNNNNNNNNNNNNNNNNNNNNNNNNNNNNNNNNNNNNNNNNNNNNNNNNNNNNNNNNNNNNNNNNNNNNNNNNNNNNNNNNNNNNNNNNNNNNNNNNNNNNNNNNNNNNNNNNNNNNNNNNNNNNNNNNNNNNNNNNNNNNNNNNNNNNNNNNNNNNNNNNNNNNNNNNNNNNNNNNNNNNNNNNNNNNNNNNNNNNNNNNNNNNNNNNNNNNNNNNNNNNNNNNNNNNNNNNNNNNNNNNNNNNNNNNNNNNNNNNNNNNNNNNNNNNNNNNNNNNNNNNNNNNNNNNNNNNNNNNNNNNNNNNNNNNNNNNNNNNNNNNNNNNNNNNNNNNNNNNNNNNNNNNNNNNNNNNNNNNNNNNNNNNNNNNNNNNNNNNNNNNNNNNNNNNNNNNNNNNNNNNNNNNNNNNNNNNNNNNNNNNNNNNNNNNNNNNNNNNNNNNNNNNNNNNNNNAGACCGCAAUGCGUACUCACUGCUUACCCCUUCACCCUAACUUUUUAUGUGUCAUCUGAACUUUUCACUCUCUUACUUUUCAUUCAUCAAAAAUAGGAAAUGAUCACCUUUCAACAAUCUUUAAUUUUUUAUUUUUUUAAAAUAAAAUUAAUUUAGUUUUCUAAAAAGCAAAGUUAAUUAAAAAGUGAUUAAUAAACACAAAAAUUAAUUAAAUAUAAAUAUAUAGUUACUUAAAAAUAAAAAUACAUAAUAAAACCUAGAAAAACGUAAUUAAAAAUUACAAAAUAAAAAUAAUAAACCAUUAUUAAAAAAAUGCGUCACUUCGAAUCGUCGUCUGUGUUAUCUGAAUCCUCGCCCAAGUCCUAGACGAACAUAUCAGAAUCUUCAUCUGAUUCAUCAAACAAAUCAGCGUACCAAUAAUCGGCAUUCGGCUGUAUGUGAGCCCUGAAAAUGCGCUCCACCAAAUUUGUAGAAAGGGAGUAAUGAAUGUCGCGAUCAUGUAUUUCUCUUCUAUUUGCCCUAUACUCUUGCAUACCAAUAACUACUCCAUCGACGUUUUGGAAAACUUUGUUUUCGUCGUAGCGGCAAAUCACUCUUCCUUCAUCUUCUAAAAUCAUACUAUGUAAUAUGAUGCACACGUACAUUAUGUGUUGUAACCUUUUCACUUCAUAUAAUCAUGCCCCUGACUUAUAGUACUUGCAUACGCCCCUUUAGUACACCAACUGUUCGCUUCACAUCAUUCCUAUACUCUUGUGUCUGCUUAAACUUUUUUUUUCCGUCGUUCGAACAUAUGAAAGACUUCACAAUAACAAACAAGGUAUGAUAUAUCUCAUCAAUAAGAUAGUACCCACGCUUAUAUCGACACAAUGCCCAAGAACAGGGCAUGCAAAUCGAUACAAUCUAACAUUUAUGGGAACCCAUGCUUAUUUGCAUUCAUCAUGUACAAUUGGUCGACAUGGUUGAUUGUUGGUUUACACAUAUAUUGUAUCAUGUAAACCGAAGAGUUUCCUGUGUGGUACGCUCAUACAUCCUAAAAUACUCGUUUUAUUUACAUGCUCCCAUGUCAUAUGCUAACUGAUGAAUUUUGGUUGUGUAUUUAUUUUAAUUGGAGAAAAACCUUUUCUACCGGUCGCAUCCCACAUCAAUUGGAAAUAUGGAAAAUCGGCCUUCCAAAUCGGCAACAACACAUAAAAAUAAUUCUUUCCUCAUACAGAACCGCCUUCAUAACUAUUCAGCGUGCGUGACAUCAUCUACAAAAUUGUCAGCUAUAAGACGAUUGUGUCAGACUUCACAAUUUCUAUUCAACAAGGUCUUCUCAUUAGAAAAACGUGAACGUUAACUUUUAUCUUUCCGUUUAUGGAAAUACGUCACUGUUUUUGCCAUGACGAAACUAAAAAUGUUACAUCUUCUUGCACCAUUGAAUUGGACGAACUAGAAGAUGAUGGCGACAUUGUGGUUGAAUGAGUUUUGAGAGAAAAUAUAGAGUUUUGUGUGAAAAAUGUUGGAUAUUUUUGGUAUUUAUAGAAUUAAAAGUUUAUAUAUAUAUAUAUAUAUAUAUAUAUAUAUAUAUAUAUACACGCACACACAUUAUAUAUACAUAUACAUUCACAUACUCAUUUAUACACAUUUACAUACAUGUGUAUGUAUGUAUAUAAAAAAUCACAAAUAUUAAUAAGGAUUACAAUGUUAAAUUAUGAAACGAAUAAUGGAAUCUGAAGGGGCACACGAUUUAUGAACGUGGAUAAUAAUUAUAAGUUGGUGAAUAUAUAGAUAUGCAUUUAUAUUAGAGGUGUGAAAGGCCCGUGAGGCUUGAUCGGGGUCCGAUUUUUGACCUUUUUUUUUUUUUUCUUUUUUAUAUUUAACCCUCCAAACAUUUAAUUUUUUUUCUUCGGAAUUUGCAAACUUCCGCACAUAAUUUAAAUUUUUCAUAUCAUAUCGCAAUAUUUUGACGAUAAAUAAAAUAAAAUCUCAUCCAUCUAUUUCUUUAUGUCAUACGCAAAUAUUUGUCCUCACAUUCCUCACUAAUUCUUGAGUCCUCAUCCGAUCAUAUACAUAUACAUNNNNNNNNNNNNNNNNNNNNNNNNNNNNNNNNNNNNNNNNNNNNNNNNNNNNNNNNNNNNNNNNNNNNNNNNNNNNNNNNNNNNNNNNNAUAUAAACAAUAAGAUAUAUAAGUAUUAGGUACUCAAACUCACCAUACUACAUUGCUCUUGAAUUAUAUAUGCAUUGUAAUCGUCCAAAGUUCUUAACAUUCAAUUCGUAACUUGAUUUGCUUCCAAAUUUUUAAGAAAUUUAACCACUAUCUUCCUCUUACAUAAUUUUCAUUUGCAACUAUAAUAUAUUUAGCUUAGUAGGUGUUCGGCAGAAAGAUAUGGUGUACAAAGAAGAUAAUGGUAGAGGUAAGCAUGGGUCGUUAUAAGUCGGUUUUUAUGUAAAACCGACUUAUCGAUUUUCAAAAAGUUAGAACCCAAUCCAAUAUCUAAACUGUUGGGUUCAGUUUGUUGGUUUUCCAUAUCAGUUUUUAUGUAAAACCGACUUAUCGUUGAGCGUACGCUGCAUGAGGCCCGAUUUAGAUUGUGAGUAUGUCGAGCGUACGUGCCGAGUACGUUGAGCGUACUUGGUCUGUGUUGGCCAAGUUUGAACGUUGGCUUUUUGACAAAAUUUGGUCUUGGGGGCUUUUUGAGUAUUUUGGAUUAUCAGUAUGUAAUUGGGUCACCGUUUAUUGUUUAAGCGAGCGGUAGAGUCGGUGUGAGUAGCGGAGAUCUGUGCAGUCAUCCUUUUGAUUGUGAGGUGAGUUCUCUCACUAUGUCGACGAGUACAAGGCACCAAAGUCGACCCAUUUAUUGAAUUUAUAUAUCAUAAGAUGUAGGAUUGCUAUGAUAGUUAUAUGUGUGAUUUGUCUGUGUAUAUAUCGACAUGUAGAUGGUUAGGUUGAGGCCACGUGCCAACAAACCUAAUAUGGCUGGGUUGAGAUUGGAGGUUAAGAAACCCGAUAUGGUAAGGUUGAGGCCACGUGCCAACAAACCUGGAUUAUUGGGUUGACGCCAUGUGCCAACAAACCGUGGAUGGUGGAGUUGAGGUUUUACUGCUCGGUGUUGUAAACCAACAAACCCAAUAUGGUUGGGUUAGGUAAAGGACCAACAAACCUUGUAUGCAUGCUUGUAUUGUAUAUGUAUUUGUGUGUGGUGUGGGAAUUUUGGGAAGCUCGUGAAAAUUUGGCUUACAGUUUGGAUUUCAAUGUUUCAGGUACUUCCGAUAAGCGGAGGAAAACGAAGGCGUAACUAUACACAUCAUCCCACGGUUUAUGUUGAUCGAUACUCUGACUUAUUAUGAUUUGUAAAUAAUGUUUUGAUACUUUGAUUCAAAAUUGUGGGUCUAAAAUUAUUUUUUCACUUAUCUCUGUCUUUACUAUCGACGUAUUCUCUCCUUCGUCUUCUCCCUCCGACGAAGCUGAUGAACCCUAACUAGGGGUGAAAGCGUCAUCUGACAACAAAAUUUAUUCCCACUCCCCCUUAAACUCGAGAACACAUUUAUCUUUUCCACAUUCUCCUUCCAUAUACUUCACUCCUUUCCUUCCCCUUAUUUCUCUUCCCACUCCUCAAUUUUUAUUCAAGAGAACAAUUAGUAAUUUGUUGAAAGUUAAAAAAUUACGGAGGCUUAAAUUAAUAUGAUGUAAAUAUUUUUUUGAUAUAUAUCUUAAAACAUAUUCAUUUGGAUGACGAGCCUAGUGAAAAAAAUAUAACAUGACAAUUUUUUUUUAAAUAUUCUAUUAUAAUGUUUAUAUUCAAAUAAUGAAUGUAAAUUUAUUCGAAAAGCGUAAACCAACAAAUAUAAAAAAAACUUGAUGGAGUAGAUGCUUCGAACCCAUAAUCACCGCAUAUGUUUAAAAGAUUUGAAUUUCAAUCCAAUUUAAGUUCUAGAAAGAUUUUACCGCCAGAAAUUGAAACCUCCUUAAAAAUUUCGAGAUCCGCUACAUCCACCGUUCAAUCGCACUCUAAAAACCAACGGCCACUAAACACGAUCCGCGUCAGUCUAAUCCAACCAAUAAGAUCAGUUUUACACAGCCUAUAUAAACACAUCCCCAACGCAUCAACAAACACAUCCAAGCUUUCGUAUUCCUCUUAUACAAACACAUCCUCUCGAUUUCCAUUUUCACUUCAACUCUAACAUUAGCAAUGGCACCAAAGGCAGCUGCCGGAAAGAAACCAGUGGCGGAAAAGACUCCAGCUGAGAAGGUACCAGCAGAGAAGAAGCCUAAGGCAGAGAAGAAACUCCCAAAAGACGCAUCGGCAGCAGAUAAGAAGAAGAAGAGACACAAGAAAUCAGUCGAGACCUACAAGAUCUACAUCUUUAAGGUUUUGAAGCAGGUUCACCCUGACAUUGGUAUCUCUAGUAAGGCAAUGGGCAUCAUGAACUCAUUCAUCAACGACAUUUUCGAGAAGCUCGCUCAGGAGGCAUCUAAGCUUGCAAGGUACAACAAGAAGCACACUCUUUCUUCGAGGGAGAUUCAAACUGCAGUCAGACUUGUACUUCCUGGGGAGUUGGCUAAGCAUGCUGUGUCUGAAGGUACCAAGGCUGUGACAAAGUUCACUAGCGGUUAGAUUGUCUUGAUCUGUUGGUAGCUAUUGCAACAUGGUUUUUGUUUGUUUUUGUGAUCUAUGAUGUAAGUACUUUGUAGUGGAAAAGUUCUUGAAUUGAAAUGAAACUAUCUUGUUUCGGCAAUGGAAGGCUUUGUUUAAUCGGCCAUAUUAUAUUUACUUUUGAUUGGUUUGUUUGUCUGAAAUGAAAUUAGGAUGAUAUUGUUCGUUGAUAUCUAUUUUGUUAGUGUUUUGUAUCAAUUAGUUUUCACUUCCAACAGUGUUUGUGUUUAUGCCUGAGACGAUCCAGUUGAAAGCUUCAACAAAUUUGUAUCGUUUUUCUAGUUUUCAUUCACAGCAACACUUGGGAGAUGAAACUUCGAUUAUUUUAAAUAUGUUGUCGACCAGUUUUUCUCUGAAGAAUCCGGUGAUACGAUCGUUUGUAGAUGUCUAAAUGUUAAUUUUUGUAAAAAAACGGAAAUCGAAAAACUUUUGUUAUAAACUCUUUAACAGAAACAUAUGAUGACGGAUAUGGUGAAAAAAAAUAUAAACAUUAUGUUUAAAGAGUUUUGAAAAAACUAUUACAACAGAAAAAUAUUAUAAUUUAUGAAAUCACCAUUAUACCCAUUAUGCUAAAAAAAAAUACCAAAAAACUGACAUUAUUUCUGUAAGGGAAAAAAAGUCAAAUAAUUUCUUUAUAAUUUUUGAAAAAACAAAAACAAAUGAUAAAAAAAUAGAAACAAAUACGUUAUCUCUCUUGGUAUCUUUUUCUACGAAUAGAGAGUGAAAAUGAAUUAUAAUAAAUGAAUAUCUAUUUUGUCGCUUUUCAAUCUUCAUUAAUUUUGAUACUUGUUAUUUUAUAAUAUUUUCGAAAUUAAAUAAUAUAUACAUGUCAAUUCGUAGGUUUUUUUAAUUUUAAAAUUAAAAAGUCACAUAAUAGUUAUAUAUGCAAAAUAUUAAAUGUAAUAAACACGAUAUCAGACCCGUCCCAGAAGGUAGGCGAUAGGGACGACAGUUCAGGGCCCAUUUUUCAAAAGGCCCAAAUUUUUUAUGAAAAUUAUUAUAUUUAAAAGAUAAUACAAGUAAAUUUUUCCAGUUAUUGAGUUAUUAUAAAAAACUUGAUGCCAUUUAUGUAUUUUAAGGACCUAUUUUUUUCAAUCGCCCUGCGCCCAAAAUAUAUUUGGAACGGCCCUGCACGAUAUUAAUUGUAAUUAAAACAUUUUUUCUUUCUUUGUUUCAAAAUUUUAUUUAAAAAAAAUAGUUAAUGUUUAAUUUUAAUAUUUAACUUUUUUAUCAACCUGUAUAAUACACGGGUUUACAUCUAGUAGGAUGAUAUAAAAAACUCAAAUCCACGUUAACAUGCAAGUUAUAUAAAAUAUAAUGGACAAAACAUCAAAUUUAGUCCUUGUGGUUUGUAAAAACUUUGGAUAGGGUCUAAAAAGUUUUCGACUUGCAUGGAAGGUCGAAAAUCAAAACUUUUCUGUGAAUUUGGUCCAAAUAAAUAUGAAAAGACUAUUUUGCCCUUAUUAUUUCUUUUUUACAUUUUCUGUGUUUAUUUUGAUUGUUUUAAAAUAAAAGAAAAAAAAGCGGGCAUGACUAUUUGACCACACAAUACCCACCCCACAUCUCCCCCCCCUCACUCUCUCAUCAAAAAGACUUCCAUGAUCAAUUCGUUUCCAUAGAUAUCACCUUCCUUUCCCGUCAAGAUGUCAUACAACAGUCGUUGACCCUUCUCGCCGUUAAGUUUCUUACCUGACACUGCCUCCAUUCCCCCUUCUUCUUCUCGAGCCGAUAGGUUUAAGUUUUGGAGCUUGAAGCCUGCCAUCUAGACCAAAACCUCGAUAAGUUCGACAACGGUGAAUCCGAUAGCAAAUUCGACAGCUUCAAACAUGUUAACUUGUAACAGCCUACUAAUCUCUUUCCCUCAUCUAUCGAAAUCUUCUAAGGUUCCAUUUUAGAUUUGAUUUUGUGUUUUCUGAAAAUUUCUAGGUUAGCUAAAAAUUUUGAUUUUCAAUUUCUACAAUUGGUGUUUAUUAUUAUGUGGGUGGGUGUAGAUUUUGUGGUGAAGAGAUUUUCUGGGAUCCAUUCAUUAUCUCAAAGACUUUGUGAGUUUCAAUUUCUGCAACUUUUGUUCAAUUUCAGCAAUUUGUGUUUAUUAAUGAGGGAUUGGGAGUUUUUUUUUAAUGCAUAUUACUGGUGAAGAACAAAUGAUUGAAUUUUAUAAACAUUAGAAUCACCCACUUCAUGAUGCAUAUUCUAAAAACCCAUGAGCUUUUACGCAUUUUUAUCAGGUGGAAUCCCUGACUGUGAUGUGUAGAUGUAAGCGUGAUUGAAUCGAUUGGUGUUAAUGUGCAACCGUCAAAUUCUGGUUAAUUCAAAGUCAAAUAAAGUCAACAAGUCAAACCGAUCAACCCAACUAACCCUUGUGUACUAUGGCUUACGUUAUGUAAUUGCUAAACAACUCGCUAUUCUAAUAAGAGAUCAUAAAUCGAAAAGUAUGUACGUCUAGAUCUCCUUAACCUAAAACAGUGGUAAGUGACGAGCCAAACCGAUAAAACAAUGAUACAUACUCAUCGGGAGUGUGUAGGAUCUUUAAACAAGGCUUAACAGGGUUUACGGACCUUGCAUUGCGAAGCCGGACACUCAAAAAAAGGUUACCAAUGAAACCCCUCUCAAUCGUUUUCACUCUAUCUCUUUUUGUCGAGAAUCUCUCCCGAAUCUCUCUUGGUAUGUAAAAUCUCUCCAAGAAUGUCAAAUCUCUCUAAGUAUGAGAAAUCUCUCCCAAAUAUCUCCUCGUAGGAUAAAUCUCUCCAAGAAUGUCAAACCUCUCUAAGUAUGAGAAAUCUCUCCCAAAUAUCUCCUUGUAUGUAAAAUCUCUUCAAGAAUGUCGAAUCUCUCUAAGUAUGAGAAAUCUCUCCCAAAUAUCUCCUUGUAGGAGAAAUCUCUCCAAGAAUGUCAAAUCUCUCCCAAAUCUCUCUAAGUAUGAGAAAUCUCUCCCAAAUAUCUCCUUGUAGGAGAAAUCUCUCCAAGUAUGACAAAUCUCUCCCAAAUCUCUCUCAAAAUCUCUCUCAACUUUCUAUAGUCACUCGGGGCAUCCCGACCCUCGAAUUUGGCGAAAACAGCCAAAAAACAGAAGUCUACGCGAAAAACGGACUUAAGGAGCCGAAACCCCUCUUAGGACCCGAAAGUCCUCUUAGGACCCGAAACCUCUCUUAGGGGCCGAAGGUCCUCCUGGAACCGAACCUCGCAUAUCACCCGAACCCGAACCUUCGGUCCAUUUCGGAUCCUGAUGCUUCGGACCGAGCCCUCGCCUUCGCUUCUCGCUUCUGGUUCGCCCCAUCUCGCCUCCGGCUCGGCAUCAUUAGGGACCGAACCUCGGCCUAGGACCGAGAGGUCUAGCUGGAAGUCAUUUUUCUCCCGGUUUUCGACUAAUUUUGCGUUUUAGCUUCGUUUUUAAUUGUUUUAACACGGGAUUUUCGCUCAAACUUUAUUUUAACAUAUAAGACCCCUUUAAUUAAUGAUUUAUCACGUUUCUAAGGAUAAAACCUUAUCCAAAAGAGUGGGUGAAGUACAAAGGUGUAGUGUUGACUUUCCUUUAUUUUAUGACACAAGCAACCUCCCAUACCCACUCCAUGUCACUAUUCCCCAUCAGCCCUUACAUAGUCACUUCAUUGUACUUUUCCCACCUUUUUCCAACCACACAAUUGGUCAAAGGCUAGAAAAGUCUCCGCUCUCUUCACUUCUCUCAUUUUCUCUCUUUUCACCAAAAAGAUCAAACUCUUUUCUCUCUCACUUCCUCUCUCUAGAAUUCAAGAUUUAAGGGUUGAUCUUGGGUUUUUCCUCCACAUUUGGUAAGCAAAAUCCACUCUCCUUAUGAUUAUUUCACUUCUUUCUACUCAAAUCAUGGAUAUCUUACACAGACUCCAUCAUAAUUGUGUUAGAUCUUCGAAUCUUCAAGUGAUUCUUCAAGUGUUCUUGGGUUGAACACUUCUCUUCUUCAACACUUAUCUUCUAAAAUCACUCAAGGUAAGUUCAUACCCCUACAUUUUCAUGUUUUCUCAAGUUUUCAGGGGGGAAUACAAGUUAAAACACCAAGAACAUAACUAAACUUUUCUAACAGCCCUCAUCAGAAAAGUUUAACUCCAUUCACGGACUGUUUUGGACAACUUAAUAAUUUUAGUUUUCAAAACUAUUUUAGGUGCAAGUAGUUCCACUUCUUAGCUUUAAAAUGACUACUUGCACAUCUCCACACGAUUUGUCUACAAUUUAUGGUGAUUUUUACAAAACAGCCUGUCUUUUCAAACACAAAUUCGGACCAGUCUGUGAAUAUGAGCAUUUUAAUACAAGUUAAAGGCUUCCAAAAAUCAUGAUAAAAAUUAUGAGUAAACUAGACACAAUUUAGGAACUCUCAGAAUUUACGGAUCUAGUUUUUGACUCCGUAUGAUUUUUUUAUGAAUUUUCUAAAACAGAAUAGAAAUGGCAAUACUAGAAAAAUGUUUUCAAUUUCAUAUACACCUUGUAACUUGUUGAGCAAGGUGUGUACCUUCAUGUGUUGAUGUGUUAUUACCAUAUAUGUCAUCUUGUCUUAUUAUAUAGACAUACAUCAGAAAACAAAUGGAUUCUUACCACCAUAAGUAUGGUAAAUAUAUAUAUGAUAAUAUAAGGCUAUAUCCAUUAAAAUACAAACAUUGGUAAACUAUGACAAGUAAGGCUUAUGCUCACUACCCACACAAAUAAUUAUGAUAAACUAUAAUAAGUAUAGUUAAGCCAUUAUACCCCCACAAACGAACAUGCUAGUUAUAAUCAGUAUAGUUAUGGCAUAUAUAUAUUACAAACAAAGUGAUAAACUAUAAUAGGUAUAGUUUAUGUUUCAUCUACACUACGAACUUAAUUACAAGAAAGGAUUUCACCAUCACCACCACCUUUGAUAAGCAAUAAUAUGCAUAGUUCAUGUUCACUACCACUAUCACUAUUUGAUGAACUAUGAUAUGUAUAGGUUAUAUUCACCAUCACCACCACUUUUGAUAAGCUAUAAUAUGCAUAGUUCAUGUUCACUACCACUAUCACUAUUUGAUGAACUAUGAUAUGUAUAGGUUAUAUUCACCAUCACAACCACUUUUGGUAAACUAUAAUAUGCAUAGUACAUGUUCACUAGUCACUAUCACUAUCCGAUGAACUAUGAUAUGUAUAGUUUAUGUUCACGGUCACUAUUACUAUUUCGUACACUACACUAGGAUUGGUUCCGGUUUUUUGGAUUUACGUCCACAUUCAAUAUCGCAUUGUUAGUUUUCAACUAUAAUUUCUAAGUGUAUAUGCUAGAGUUAUAUAGAACCUAGUCGUGAUUGGCUUAGAAUUGGUGGUUCCGCCUCAUCUCCUGUUCCUCGUUGGGUUGUGGACCUAGGGCAGACCCAUUACAUUCGACGUUUUAAUUACAUAUACCUUGGUGUAACUUUUUCAAUUAUAUUUAUGAUGGUUGUAUUUACUUUGAGCACUAUUAUACACGUUGUUGUGAUACUGUACAUGAAGUCCUCCACCCCUGGACGUUUCCGCCAUCCUUGGUUUGGGGGUGUGACAGUUAAAUUGAGUUGGGUUUCUGCGGGAUUAAAUUGAUGAAUGCAAAACCGAUGGAUUGAAGCUUUUAAGGUAAGUUUUUGUUGGUUUUUUGACAGCUCGAUUCAUUUGAAGGAAAAGUAAAACCGAUGUCCCCAGAAUAUUUGGAGAUUGAUUUUGAAUAUGUAGUGGUGGGUGUUUUUGAUCCAGUUGUAGGUUAGAGGUGCCAAUUGAGUUGGGUUUCUGCGGGAUUAAAUUGAUGAAUGCAAAACCGAUGGAUUGAAGCUUUUAAGGUAAGUUUUUGUUGGUUUUUUGACAGCUCGAUUCAUUUGAAGGAAAAGUAAAACCGAUGUCCCCAGAAUAUUUGGAGAUUGAUUUUGAAUAUGUAGUGGUGGGUGUUUUUGAUCCAGUUGUAGGUUAGAGGUGCCAGUCUCCUUUAGGUCUUUUUUGUUUGGGUUUUCGACGAAGAAAAGGGGAGGGAGGAAUAGGGGGCUGCAACGAAGCUUACACUCAAUAUUCAAGUGGAUUUGUGUUUUGUUGCAGAUUUUAAAGAAGAAGAAGAAGAAGAAGAAGAAGAAAAAGAAAAGGAGGAGAGAGAGAGAGAGAGACGAUAUGGUUGGGUGUAUAUUUUUUUUUAAUUUCUUUUUAUUUUGUAGUUAUAAAAACAUUAUAAAUGGUAAAAAUAAUGUAAAAAGGAAAUUAGAAGGGUAAAACCGUCAUUUCAAGUCUUCCAAGGACCAAAACCACGGGAAUCUUCUAAUUUUGGGACCAAAUUCACGAAAAAGUUUUGAUUUUGGACAUUCCAUGCAAGUCGAAAACUUUUUGGACUACAUCCAAAGUUUUUUACAAACCACAAGGACCAAAUUUGCAGUUUUGUCAAUAUAAUGGGGAAAUUAACAAAAAAAAAAAUCCAAAAACGUCAGUAUUAUGUUAUUGAAAUAUGGGCCUGUAAUUUGUAUCUUCAACUUUGAGAGAUUUUGUUUUACAUGGGUGAAUCAAAUUAAAAAGGGUCGAAUAUAUAUCUUUUUACUUAUACCUUUCAAUAUAAAUACAUACAUGAAUGAUGAUUGUAAUUAAAAGAAACUCUUAUUUGUCCAAUAUAUAUAUAUAUAUAUAUAUAUAUAGGGGGGAGGGGUGUGAGGAANNNNNNNNNNNNNNNNNNNNNNNNNNNNNNNNNNNNNNNNNNNNNNNNNNNNNNNNNNNNNNNNNNNNNNNNNNNNNNNNNNNNNNUGUACGAAAGUAUAAACUCAACAACUUCCCAACAUCAACAUUUCAUUUAAACAUGAAACAGUUGGUUUACAUCAACAAUUACAGGAGAAAAACCUCACUACAAUCACACUCAACACUCUAAUAACCAUUUAUGAACAGAUCGACUCAAGAACAAGUGAAAAAUAUAGAAACCCUAGUAGAAUACCCUAAACGGAGAGAAAAGCAUUGCGGGUGGAAAGAACAACAAAAUAUCUAUAUGACACAAAUGAACUGAACUCCAACAUUAAAUACUUCAGGGCAACCGGUAUCAACUGAACCCGACGUAUACGGGUUAAACAACCCGCGCUCAUUUACCUGCAUUUUAGAACAUAACAGAAAACACCCUUCUACAAAUAACAAAUGUCACAAGACGCCCAAAUAACUAAACAUCUUCAAAUGAUAAGUUUGCUAUCAAUAAUACCUUUUAACACCCCCUCUCAAACUUAUCAUUUAAAAAACUUAUUUUCCAGAAAACAAGUUUAACAGUCCAAGUAUCUUUGACAAAUACUCAUGUUGAAACGAAGUUAAUGACUUAGUUAAAAUGUCUGCAUUUUGAUUAGAGGAAUCAAUUUUAACUAACUUUAAAACACCAUUUUCAAUUUUUUCUCUCACAAAAUGAACAUCUAUUUCAAAAUGUUUGGUUUUUUCAUGAAAUACUCGAUUUAAAGCUAAUUUAAUAGCAGACUCAUUAUCACAAAACAACUUAACUGGAGUUAAAUUUUUAAAACCAAUAUCACUUAAAACUUUUAAAAUCCACAACACUUCACAUGUUACAGAACCCAAAGCACGAUAUUCGGAUUCUGUUGAGGAUCUGGAUACUAUGCUUUGUUUCUUACUCUUCCAAGAAAUAAGAGAACUACCUAAAUAUACCAAAUAUCCAGAAACAAACCUUCUAGUUGAUAAGCAUUUCGCCCAAUCAGCAUCCACAUAACCAAUAAUAUCAAAAUUGUUAGAUUUAGAAAACACAACACCUUUUCCAGGACACUCUUUCAAAUAACUUAACAAUCUGAAAGCAACAUUUAGAUGUUAUUUCCUGGGCUUAUGCAUAAACUGACUCAACACUUGAACUGCAUAACUAAUAUCAGGUCUAGUAACAGUGAGAUAAAUUAGUUUCCCUAUGUGUUUUUGAAACUCAGUUAUAUUACUUAUAAGAUCUGAAUUAUCGUCACAAUCUCUAUUAAACACAAAAUUAACUUCCAAAGGAGUUUUAACAGGUUUACAACCAAGCAUACCAAACUCACUUAAUAAUUCCAAACAAUAUUUCCUUUGAUUUAGACAAACACCACUAUAUGUAGAUAAUACCACAAUUCCCAACAAAUAUUUCAGUAAACCUAAAUCUUUUAUCCUAAACUGUGACUUAAGAAACACUUUAACAUUCUCAAUUUCUAUACUACUAUUACCAAUUAGAAUUAUGUCAUCAACAUAAACUAGUAAAAUGACAAUAGUAUUAUUUUUUGACCAAAAAAACAAGGAAUAAUCAUUUAGACUUUGUACAAAUCCAAAAACUGAAAGUGAUGAACAAAUUUUUUCAUUCCACUUUCGUGGAGCUUGUUUUAACCCAUACAAAGACUUAACAAGUUUACACACUCUACUAUCAUUUUUAGAAUGAUAACCUUUAGGCAAAUUCAUAUAAACAUCUUCAACUAAAUCACCAUAUAAAAAGCAUUAUUAACAUCUAAUUGAUAGAGAGGCCAAGAGUUAUUAACAGUAACACAUAUAAUAAUUCUAACAGUAACAAUCUUAGCAACAGGAGAAAAAGUUUCUUCGUAAUCUAUUCCUUCUCUUUGAUUAUAUCCUUUAGCAACUAGUCUAGCUUUAUAUCUUUCAAUCUCACAAUUUGAUUUAUACUUAAUUUUAUAAACCCAACGACAGCCUAUAACUUUUCUAUCUCUAGGCAACUCAACAAUAUCCCAAGUAUGAUUUGUAUAUAAAGCUUCCAUUUCCUCAUUCAUAGAUUUAAUCCAGUUUGGAUCAGUAGAAGCUUCUGAAUAAGUACUAGGUUCGAAUGUCUUAUUAAGAUUAGACACAAAGCAUUUACUAUCACUAGUUAACAAAGAAUAAUUCACAGAUUUUUCUAAACCAUACUUGUGAGAACUUUCCACAACAAAGUCAUUAAAUCUUGUUGGUAAACGAACAUUUCUACCAGAUCGAGUAACACCUAACAAGUGAUCAUCAGAAGGAUUAUUUUGUUCUAAGAUAUUAUCCUCAGCCAAAGUAGAUGAACUAGGAACAUCCACAACAUUUUGUUGCACAUGUGCCCUGUCACUCUGGUUGAUGACCUCAUUAUUAGGGGUCUCAACUAGGUGUUGAACUCCUCUAGUACCUUCAGACUAAAGGGUUGUUCCUAAGUUAUCUAAACUACUAUUUUCUUGAAGAGAACUAGAUAAUUGAGGCUCAUCAUUGGAAAAUGGGUCACUUGGAUUAUCAAAAACAUUAGUUUUAUCACUAAUUAAAGGUUUAAGCUUCUACGGAAAUAUAAAUUCAUAAAAUUUGACAUCCCUGGAAACAAAAACAAAAUUUGAAUCAAACCUCAAUACUUUAUAACCUUUUUGUUCCAAAGAAUAACCAAGUAAAACACAUUUUUCAGCACGUUCAUAAAAUGUAUCAAGAUUAUUCAAUUUUGUUGCAAAACAAAGACAUCCAAAGACACAAGUCUAUCAAAUCUAGGAAUAGAUUUAUAAACAAUUUCAUAAGGAGAGACUCCAUUUAAUACCUAAGUGGGAGUUCUAUUUAUCAAAAAAACUGCUGUUAAAAUAGAAUCACCCCAAAAAGUCAAAGGCAACCCUAAUUGAAACAUUAAAGACCUAGCUACAUUUAAAAUAUGCAUAUGUUUUCGUUCAACCGCCCCAUUUUGUUGAGGUGUAUGGACACAAGAAGUUUGAUGAAUUACACCUCUACUUUCAAAAAAACUUUUCAUGUUAUGAUUUAAAAACUUUGUUCCAUUAUCUGACCUAACCCUUUUAAUUUUAACUUCAAACUGAUUUAGUAAAAUAUUAAAAAAUGCUACAACACAAGAAAACACUUCACUUUUAGACUUAAGCAGAUUAAUGUAAGUUGCCCUAGUGAAAUCAUCCACUAUAGUAAGAAAGAACUUAAAACCUUCUGAAGUGACCACUCUAUAGGGACCCCAUAAAUCUAGAUGAAUAAGUUCACCUAAACAAGAAGUUACAUGCUGAUUAGUUGGAAAAGAACUCCUAGUUUGUUUAGCUUUAUGGAAAACAUCACAUGGAGGUAAGGAAUCAUUCCCAAAUUUAAGAUGAGUUUUUAAAGAGUUCAGAGCUUGAUUAGAAGGAUGACCAAGUCUAUUAUGCCAUGUUAAUUUUGAAACAUAACACACAACAAAAUUAGAGCUAAAGGAAUUACCAGAAGGUACACUAUCAACAUAAUAGAGACCUCCAGAUUCACUACCAUUCCCCACCAUCUCUUUUGAGUGUAAAUCCUGAAUUUUACAACUAUGUUCAUUAAAAACAACCUCACACUUAUUAUCUUUACACACCUUGUGUACUGACAUUAAAUUUACAUUAAACUCAGGAACAACAAAUACAUCAAAAAGUGUUAAGGUAUUUGAAAUAUUUAAGUUUCCUAUUUUUUCUAUUUUAGCACAAGUUCCAUUAGGAUGACUGACUAUAAGAUUAAGGUUAGAUACAUCCAUUGUAUCAUGCAAAAGAUAUUCUGAUGCUAUCAUAUGUUAACUAGCACCAGAAUCAACAAUCCAUUAUAAGAAGAAUUACAAACAUUAAACAAACAAGUACCUUCCAUAUUUGAACUGAUAGAUGCUUCCUCAUUAGACUUUCUUUCACCUAUUAGGCUAAGAAACUUGGCAUAUUGAUCCUUAGUAAGUUGAUGAAAUUCAGGCUCUCCAGGAUCAGAUGAUCCAGAAGUAACAACAGAUGAAUUUGUAUUAAAUUUUUUAAUUUGACUACUAUUUCAACUAACAUCACUCCUAGGUUUAUAGUCCUUUGGGUACCCAAUUAGUUUAUAACAUUUUUCAAUUGUAUGUCCUUUUAAUCCACAAUUCUUACACUGAACAGCUGAACCUUUGUUUCUAUUAUUAGAAUUACCAGAAAAUUUAUUAUUCAACUUACUAUUAAAAGCACUAGGUUGAUUUUUAAGACUAGAUUGAGAGUCAUUAGAAAGGGACCCAUUCCUUUGAAGAGACUCUUCACGAGAUAUAAUUGAAAAAGCAAUUUUAACAUUAGGAAGUGGAUCCAUAAGCAAUAUGUGACUCUUAACUUGGUUAUAAGAUUCAUCCAAACCACUGAGAAAUUGCAUGAGUUUCAUUAGUUUAAAGUGAUCAUUUAGUUUAACAGCAGCCUCACAUGUACAUUCAAUAAGACUGGUUAGACCAUCAAACUCCUUCCACAAAGCAUCUAGUUUAUUGAAGUAAUAAGAACUAGACAAACCAUCAGCUUUAUUAUUGGUUUCAAAUAAAUUUUCCCAAAUUUCUUAAGCAUUAUCUGAAUAAGCAUGACUUGCAUAUAUUGAAUCACUAAUAGAUGAUAACAGCCAAGAACACACAACAACAUUUGCCCUUUCCCAUUUUGACUCUUUAUUUGUUUCAACUUUAUCUUUUUGAAAAGUACCAUCAACAAAACCUAGUUUGUUUCUAGCCUUAAGGGCUCUACACAUAGAACUUCUCCAAAUACGAAAAUUUUCAUUUCCAGAUAAUUUCACAGUAACAAUAGUUGUAGUAGCAUUAUCAGAAGGAUGGACAUAGAGAGGACCAUCAAGAUUGAUUGAAUCAUCCUUUCCACUUCCUCCUGGAGGAUCAUUUGAACUAGCCAUAUAACAGGAAAGAACAACAAUUCACAAAUAAAGCUAAAAAGAUAACAACUAAUAAAAUAAGAUCAAGAAAACCACAAAAUAACAGCUAAUCAAACAAGAAAACAAAAAAACAGACUCAUGUAUUGACUUAAAGUCCAGAUGGUCACCACGUUUGUUGGGGCCCAAGACAAUCAAUACAGAGCCAAAAAACAGACAAGAAACAAACAAGAAUAAUUGGUGUACUCAAGACAACCAGGACCACCCAAUCACAAGAUAUGAAAAAGAGAUAAAAGGGAACAAGAAACCCCUCACAGUGCUAUUAGGAUGAAGCAGUCGAAGGAUCGACUCUAUCUGUCCGUUCUCUACUAAGGGUUUAUCGGUGAUGAACUCCGAUCCCUUGAGUGUUAUUUCAGACAGACAUAUUAAUCGAUAAAAGUUUGGAUGAUUUCAGUUCAACAGUUGUUCAAGAAACAAGGUAUCAAUACACCGAUCAGAUGUCGUGACCCUGCAAGAAAUCACAAAGAACACUCACAGUACCAAUCAUAAAAAAACAAAAAAUAAGAUCCGAUAAAAACCUAAGUCGAAGAACACUAAAACAAAUCGAUCUUGGUGAGAAAUCUAAAGGUUAUAAAACCUUAUAGAUCUCCGUCGACAGAUAAGUAGAUAACGGAAAUAAACAAGGUUAGAAACAACCUUUUCUGAUGUCUUCUGAAGAUGAAAAAACCUCCGAUGACUACCAAUGAAGAAGAGGACCUCCGAUGUACACCGACGAAGAAAACGACGAAGUCUCAAGCUCUGAUACCAUGUAGGAAAGUAUAAACUCAACAACUUCCCAACAUCAACAUUUCAUUUAAACAUGAAAUAGUUGGUUUACAUCAACAAUUACAGGACAAAAACCUCACUACAUUCACACUCAACACUCUAAUAACCAUUUAUGAACAGAUCGACUCAAGAACAAGUGAAAAAUAUAGAAACCCUAAUAGAAAACCCUAAACGUAGAGAAAAGCACUGCGAGUGGAAAGAACAACAAAAUAUCUAUAUGACACAAAUGAACUGAACUCCAAUAUUAAAUACUUCGGGGCAACUGGUAUCAACCGAACCCGACGGAUACGGGUUAAACAACCCGCACUCAUUUACCUAUAUUUUAGAACAUAACAGAAAACACCCUUUUUACAAAUAACAAAUGUCACAAGACGCCCAAAUAACUAAACAUCUUCAAAUGAUAAGUUUGCUAUCAAUAAUACCUUUUAACAUGAAGCCCAUUUUUUUUCAAUGUACCUUAAUUGUGUAUAUGGGUACCAAAUCCGUUCUUUAAUAAUAAGUGUUUAUAAUCUAAUAAUCAUAAUCAUUCAAAACCUAAUUCCCAUGCAGGUAUUCUACUGAAUAUAUUGAUAGAGAUUAUUAAAAUAAUAAAAAACAUAUGAAUUAUUUAAUAAAAUGAAUAGAAAGAAACCUGUAAACAAACAUCACUCUGUUUAUAUUUACCGAAAUAAACAUUUAAAGACUUACCAAACAUCAAUUUGUGUCCUAAAGUUUCAGUAGCACAAUACCUAUAAAGAAAAUAGAAAAAUAUAAUUAAUGAAAACAAAGGAAAUAUAUAAUUAAUACAUUAAGUGGUAAUAAUACCCUGAAAGUAAUGAGAUUUGAUUCACAUGGAGCCCAAUGUUUAAAAACUACAAGUGCAAUACCACCACUAAUUAUUCAUGGCGUAGCAAAAAGAGAACAGGGUCAGGAGCAGCAAGCAAAGACCGGUUAAACUUGUGAGCUACAGCAAGUCCACAUAAAAAUAAAUUAAGGAAAAGAAAAGAAGAGGUUGAAUUAUAGAGAAAGGGUUUUUAGAAAAUGAUUUUUGUGUUUCUAAUAACAAAUGUAUUUUUCGCCAAAAUCCUUCUGCCUUCUCCAAUUAAUGAGUACUUUGUAAUAUAAAUCGUGUCCAUUGAGGUUUCCAAAAGGAAUUAAUCAUGAAAGAUUAGUAUGUUUUGGUCUAAAAAUAACAUUAAAAAUUUUAAGGAAGGAGGGUACUUUGGUCUUGUUCAAAUGCUUUACUCAGUUAAAAAAAAAAAAAACAAAUUUAACAUAAUUAAAUGUAAAUAAAAAGCAAAACUUGACAUGCGUAGAUGAUUAAUGCAAAAAAUGUUAUUUCACUCAAAAGAUGCAUCUUUUGCAUCUAUUUCAUUCACUUCUACAUCAAGAUUUUGCUUCCACCGAAAAACCCUUCAUCGUCUUUCAAGAUUCAACCCUUGAUUUCUUGUUUGGUGGAAUUUGAAACCAAGCAUCGUAAUCGACGCUAACAUUUUCAACAUUAGGAAACCGGGAAAAAUCCUAAAUUCGUACAUCACAGAAGCCAAAAUCGGUAGAUGUUGGCGGUGGAGGGACUGAAGGAGCGAUGUUGGUGCGACGCUCACUUUUGCUAACCCUAAAAAAGGCGAUGAUUCUUAGAUAAAGGAGAACAUUAUGGAGGAAAAUGGAGUGGAAGAUAGAGAAGAUGAAGUGAUAAGAAAGCGGUGGAGAACCAGACGGACGUCGUAGCUCAUGUGCGGUGGUUUCUUGAUAAUAGAGAAUAACGAUCGAAGAUGGAGCAGUGAAGGGGUGGUGGUGGAAUGAACUGGAAGAAUUCCACGGUGAGUGAAGUAUGUAACACACGAAAUCUAGAAGGCUAAUUAUGAAAAAUAAAACAUCAUUUUGAAAGGUCUACUUGUCGAUUUUAAGGUAUACACACUCGACGAGUAGGAAUUAUGAGUCACACACAUUUUCGAAGAUCAACUCGACGAGUUGGUCGUUGAUAUGUGCAUAUUUAAUCAUUUAUUUUGUAUAAUGUCUUAAUAUUUUUUGGAUAUUUUAUCUCGAUUCAUGAACAAAAGGUACUUAAUUAUGUUAAAUUAUAUUUACAGCCUUAAAGACAUGCUCAAGUGAAAAAGGAAGAAGAACUAGCAAUUGGAAGCUUGGGGAUUAAUGUUUAAUGAAAUAAAGCUUAAAAGAGGAAGAACUUGACGAGUUGUCCAUCAACUCGACAAGAAGGUCAGAAUAUUCACGAACCAACACUCCUUUAUUGGCGAUCAGAAGGGUUCUUGAUGCUCUGAUUUUCGAGAAUUCGGCUUAGACAUCAAUGUAACGUCCGUAGAUCAGGACUAGUCAAUUUAGAGACGAUAAACGUCAAAACUGAAUUUUUGAAGGAAGAUUAUUUAAAAGGAGUAAUCUUAACUAAGUUUUAGUAUAUGUUACAAGGAUUUCGUACAUAUAAAGAAUGCCGAAAUCCGAGUUAUAACGAAGAAGUUAUGACCUGUCGAAGUUUCGCGACAGAACCGGUACGACACAACGUGACGUAAAUCGUGAAUUUACGUUAGAGCAAUAUUUAGCCUUAGUGAUCUAAAAGAAAGUCGUAGAGCUCGUUAAACCGUGAUCAUGCAUAAAAAGAACGCCCAAAAUUGACUUCGUAUGAGGAAGUUAUGAUUUUUCUAAGUUUCAGCUUAGUAGUAUGCAGCCCGAAACUCGAAUUCGAGAUCGAGUGAUUUCUAGCCGAAGUAAUCUAAAUGAGAAUCGAAGAUCUCAUCAUUAGUAGUGCAACGAUAAAAAUCAGACGAAAACGGACGUCGGAUGAAGAAGUUAUGAAUUUGUAACGGAGUUUUCCUAUCCCGGCCUACUAAAAAUAAAUGUCAAAAUUAGCCGACGGAGUCUAAACGAAAGAUGUAGAGUGUAGUCUCACCUACGCGUGGAUGUAAAUAAACGUCGAAAACGGAGUUCAUAUGAGGAAGAUAUGGAUUUUUGAAGUUUAUUAAAUAAUUAAAAUAUAUAUUUAAUCUUUAAUUCGGAUGUAUAUCCGAAGGAUUCAUUGCUCUUAUCCGAAGUACGUCUAGCAUACCCCGGUGCAUGAACCCCUCGGACUUGAGUGCCUCGCAUACGUAAGUGAUGACGUUAUUUGGCACUACGCCCCGCGUAGCUAAGCAUUACGCCCAACGUAAUGCGAGGGUUUAGCCCUAUAAAUACCUUGCAAGGGCAGCCGACAUUCUUGCUCAUUUUCUCUUCUCUCUCCCGUUUUACCUCGUUUUUUGUGCAAGAAAUAUCCCAAAGCCCCGAAAUUAAUACCGAGCCUCGAAGCAAGUCCCGAAGCCACGAAGAUCCCGAGAAGUGAAAUUCCCGAGCCGAAGCUCUGCCCACCGAGAGCCGGUUUUUUGUGAAGAUCUUCCAGAUCUACCGAAGAAUACUACUUCUACAAGUCGUAGUGUUGUACGAUCAUCUUCUGAUCAAGUGAGUGUGUGAUCACUUUCUUCUUACACAUAAAUAUUAAGUAUUUGCUAUAAAAUACGUGUUAUAUGUGUAUAUAUUGUUGUUUAUUUAAGAUGAUUGUGGAAUGGACGAAUUAUAUAGGUUUUAAUGAGUUAAACUGUAUAUGUAUUUUGUAUCUACAAAUAUGUUGGAGAGAACAAGGGUAAAUGAGAUUGUUGGUAUGGGAUAAAUGGAUAAAGUGGUUAGUUUUAGAUCCGAGAGUAUGGAUCAGAUCGAGAGGUUAGUUUUAGAUCCGAAAGUAUGGAUCAAAUCAAGAGGUUAGUUUUAGAUCCGAGAGUAUGGAUUGGGUCAAGAGGUUAGUUUUAGAUCCGGGAAUAUGGAUUAGGUAAUGAGGCAAAUUUAAGAUCCGGGAGUACGGAUUAUGUAUUUUUGAACUACGUGUUCAUUCGAUAAGGUAUCAUGUGUAUAUUCCCUUUUUAGGAACAUGAUUUUAAUACGAGUAUUGAUUAAAGUAUGAAAUAUACAUAUGUAUGUGAAGUAUAUGUUAUUGUCCGAAAUACGGGUUAGAUAUAUUUGAUGAUAUACAACGUGCGAAUCAGAUAUGGUUCAAUAUGUGUUAAGAUGUGUAUAUAUGAUAUUAUUACUUAAAACCUUGUGUUAAGUAUAACUAGUUGGCAUUGCCUAAACGGAGAUAGUAUCAAAAAAAUAGAUUAUAAACAUUGUAGGUUUGCCUAGUGAUGGGUUAAGACUUAAAUGGGAUGUUUAGUUCAAUUAAGUUUGGACAUUGGGUAGUCUCUUAUUAAGAGUACGUGCGUUGCGAGAUUGAUGAUCGGUGGAGUACGUCCUACGUACAGAAGUACAUAUUAUGUACGAAGUCCUUUUCAAAGCUCUGUGUCUUGGGCGCUGCUUGUGCCAAGGUACUAUUAUGUUCUUGGGCACGAGUGUUUCGCAUACCAGAGUACUAUAAUAUGCCAGAAGUACUAUCAUGUACAAAGUCUUUUUGACAAUUUUGUGUGUCGGUUACGGGAGCGUACAGGAGUACUCUAGUAGUGUUUCCCCAUACUUUUAUUUUGAGAGAGCUUUGGAGUCAUCGUUUCUUUUAUGAAGUGAUCGACCGAGCUUCAUAUGUCAGUGUUUUCUUUCACGAAGUAAUUAAGGGAACUUCGUAGACUGCCUAAUAAAGUGUGUCGGUAAUAGAACACUGCUAGGUAUGUUUGGUGUUAUAUUGAUGGAUAGGGUGCGUAUGGGGAUGAAAUACCUCAUGUAUUUAGGCCACUGCUAGGCAAAGUUCGAUGUUGUAUAGGUAGAGUAUUGGAGUAUAAUACCUCAUGAUAGUCGGACCACGCCUAGGCAUUGUUAUCUAGAUAACUACCCAUGACUUAAUUGUCUUGUGGUUCUUUCUUUUACGAACGAAGGUCCGUGGCGAAACUUAUUCCAUUCCCCUCAUUUGAUGUCUUUAUUGAUCCUCGUUUGCUGUUAGGGAAUUUCCGAAGCAGCUUCGUCAGUUUGUGGUUCAUAUCGAUUCCUUAGGCUAUAUCUCAUAAGAUCAUUGUAUAGGGUCAGUAUGUGGGGAUCAACGGGAUGCGAUAUAUUGUUUCAGAAAUAUGAUGUAUAUUUGUUUAUAAUAUUAGUGGUUUUGCAGGAUCGAGAUAUACUUUAUUAUCACAUUGUUUGAACUAAGAGCUUUCGUACUCUGUGUUCCUUAGGUGAUUGGGUUCACCAGGGAUAUUCGAACUAAGUGUUCAUUAGAUAUUUAAACUUAGUGUUCAUCAAGGAUAUUUGAACUAAGUGUUCAUUAAGUGUUUUUGAACUAGGUGUUCAUUGGGUAAUAUUGGAACUAAGUGUUCAUUGGGUGUUCUUGAACUAGGUGUUCAUUAAUUAUUGUGAACUGCGUGUUCACCAGAGGUAAUCUAAGAACCUUGGUAGCACUAGACUUUGUGCCAGUUCGUUAGGGAAUCCUUAGGAAUGAAUAGGAGAAGCGUAAUCGGUUCUUAGGAUAAAUCUUUAAGAAAUAAAUGGAGAUAAUGAGGGUGGGUAAUUGGAUUGAUUGUUUGAUAACUGAAUAUAAUAAUUACAUUAUUGUGGGUUGAAAACCCUAUAUGCUCACAAGGCCCCCAAGGCUGACCCUCUCGGUGUUCUUUGUAUUACAAGUUAUGGUACAAGAGCAUAAGUUGGCUGACAUAGCGAGAUAUUAUGGAUUAUAUGCCAGUAGUUAUGAAAAACUGUUGUAAGGUCUAUUUUUGUUCUGUUUAUGCUUUUGAUCUGUAUUGAACAUGACAUCCCGAGAUUUUGUUAUAAAAUGAAAAAUACAUUUCUUUAAAUAAAUGUUUUGAUAAAUUCUUAUCAUAUUUUGUUUUGGGAACGAAUUCCGCAACCGUUUUCUUUAAAAGGAUUACUCUGAUUUUAAAAACAAGCAUAAACAAUCGGUCUUUUCUGGCCGUGAAAUUGGGGAUGUCACAUUCAAGUUAAGAGAGAUCAAAGGUAAUAAACACUAUUCUUUUUCCUAAUAUUUUACAUAAACUAUGUUUACAUCAUUAUAUUUCGUUUUUAGGUUGUUAAUUGUUGUAUAUAUGAGCUUAAAGCUUAUAACUUAUGUUUAGAGUAGAUGAAUUUAUGAAUAUGGUGUGAUUUUAUGGCUUGAAUUAAUUUGAUUUGGUCUUGUUAAGCUUGUUAAAGACCCUUAUGUGUUGAUAACAAUUGUUUUUAUGUUAACAAUCAAGUUGUUGAGUUGCAUGAGCAUCUUCUUAAUUGCUUGAAUCAUAUAAUUUUGUGAACACAAUAUUGUAUGCCUAGUAUUAGUGAAUAUGAACCUAGGAUUAACUAGAAAAUAAGUAUAUUAAUGUGUAAGCAUGUAUGAUGAACAACCAUACAUGAGUUAAUUGAAUUGAAAAUUUUAGUUAGUUAAUAUUACAAGUCUUACUUGAUCCGAAUAAAAUAGUAGGAAUCAUGUUAGUUUAACCAAUUGACCACCAUUUGAAUUAACUUGUUUGCUAAGGAUUAGUAAUAGUGAACAUGAAUCUAGUCACAUUAUGAAUCGGUAGCCAAUGAUAUGUUAGUCCAUUGCACUUUCCAUGAAAUCAACCAUAGGAAUAAAUGAGUCGAAUCUGAACAAAAGUCUCUUUUAUCAUCGAAUCAAGUUACCUUCUAGUUGCUUUAGUCGUUAAUUGUUUUGUUAAAGUGUUAUUUGCUUAUUUAAGUCUUUACUCUUGCCAAGCUAGAGAAAACCAUCUUUUAUUACUUGUUUUUAAUUAGGUAAUUCUAGUAGUUAAUCUUAAUUGUAACUGUUCCCUGUGUUCGAUACCCUACUUGCUUGAACUAUAUUGUUAAUCGAUAGGUACACUGCUUUUCAUAUGUUUUUUUUUUGUGUUUGAAGUAGUAGGAUUAACACUGGUGCAUUUUACACACAUUAAGUUUUUGGCGCCGUUGUCGGGGAACGAUUUUAAUAGUUAUUUUAAUUGCUAGUGUUAUCGAUCAUUUGUGUAAGAUUUAACUUGCAUAAAGUUACUAAUUUCGUCAUCAAGUUACUUAGUUUAAGUUACUAGUUUUUUUGUUUUAAAAUUUUCGUUUUUAUUUUUCUGCGUUGGCGUUGAACUUGUCGAGUCCAGACGAAGCUACUCGACGAGUUGACAAAUUUUUCAGUUUCAUUUUGUUCGUUUUACGCGUGUUUUAUGUUUUUCUUUCAGGUAUUUUAUGACCCGUGGAUCAAAUACACCUUUGAUCCCACCACUUGAAGACCCAAAAUAAGAUUUUAAGAAGAACAAGGAUAAAACCGUAGGAGAAUCUGCAACCCCAAAGAAGUCACAUUUUAAGAAUCUCAAAUCGGUUUUUGGCAAGAAAAAGGGGAAGCAAGUGGGAGAAUCCAACACAACAUUGAAGGACGAAGACCCUAAGAAGGAGGAUACCAAGUACGAAACGGAAUUUGAAGAAGAAAGCGAGCAAGAAAUGCAACCCGUGAUUCCAACAACUGCUAACUUUGAAUUGAAAGGUCACAUACUUGCCUAACUCAAGGACAUCCCAUUCUAUGGGAAAGAUCACGAAGACGCAUACAAACAUAUCGACAAGGUCAACGACAUAACCGACCACUUCAAUAUCCCUAAUGUGCCUUACAAGAUUGUUUUGCUUCGUAUGCUACCGAUCACAUUUAAUGGCGUCGCGAAAGAUUAGCUUAAAUCACUCUUUCUAGGAUCCAUCACCACAUGGGUUAAAAUGUGUAAAUAAUUUAUUGAUCAAUUUUGUCCUUUCUCAAAAAUAGCAAAGUUGAAGAAAGUCAUUGCAAAUUUAGAACAACGAAUCACUCUAUGAGGCGUGAGAAAUAUAUAAAGGCUUGUUGAGGAACUGCCCCACAAUGAUUUAAACAUUCAACAAGAAGUCUUUAUUUUUUUUUUUUUAAUUUACCCCAUCAUGGAGGAUAAGAAAAAAAUAGUUAUAGAUUUUAAUUUUUGGUCAUAUGCUAUGGUUGUUUUAUUUUUCCCUAUUUUUAUGUGUGUAUAUUUGUAAGUUAUAUCUUAGGUUUAUUUUUUGAAAAAAUGUUAAUGUAGUGUGCCCAUUUAUGUAUGGUCGUUAAUUACGGCCUUUUAUGUAAUUUUUGAUAGCAAUAUAUUUGUUAAUUAGUUUAUAACUCGUGGGAACCACGGUUACAAAAUUAAUUAAACUUUCAUAGUAUAAAAAUUCAAAAUUAUUAAUCAAUUAUUUUAAAUAAAUUAUUAAUUAAGAGUUUUUUAUUAUAUAAAAUUAUAAUCAUUGAAUUAAAUAAAUAUAUGAAAUUACAUCACUUUAUAAUUUGUAUUAAUUUUAUUGUAGUUUUUAUUUUAAUAUUAUUAAUUUAAAGUAAUUAGAGUGGAAAAUUUAAAAUUUGAAAUUUGAAAUGAAAAAUUAAUAGAUUGACAAGUGACAUGCAUUAAUUAGGAAACUUAAUAGGAUGAUACAUGGCAAAACAAGAAUAAAAUAUGCAUUAAUUAAGAGACCUAAUAAGAUGACACAUGUUAAAAGGAGAAUAAAAUUAUUAUUUUGUUAGAAUAGGUAUUAUUUUGUUAGAAUAGGAUUAUAGUAUCAUUGUUUCAUUUAUUCUCUAAAACUAAGGGCCAGUAAUCACGAUCCGCGUUAGUCUGAUCUAACCAAUCAGAUCAGCUUUACACAGCCUAUAUAAACACAUCCCAAUACACCAACAAACGCAUCCUACCUUUCGAAUUCAUCAACUACAAACACAUUUUCUCUAUUUCCAUCUUCCCUCCAACCGUAUCAAUGGCACCCAAGGCAGCUGCCGGAAAGAAACCAGUAGCGGAAAAGGCCCCGGCUGAGAAGGCACCGGCGGAGAAGAAGCCCAAGGCGGAGAAGAAACUCCCAAAAGACGCAUCGGCUGCCGGAGCAGAUAAGAAGAAGAAGAGACACAAGAAAUCAGUCGAGACCUACAAGAUCUACAUCUUUAAGGUUUUGAAGCAGGUUCACCCUGACAUUGGUAUCUCUAGUAAGGCAAUGGGCAUCAUGAACUCAUUCAUCAACGACAUUUUCGAGAAGCUCGCUCAGGAGGCAUCUAAGCUUGCAAGGUACAACAAGAAGAACACUCUGUCUUCGAGGGAGAUUCAAACUGCAGUCAGACUUGUACUUCCCGGGGAGUUGGCUAAGCAUGCUGUGUCUGAAGGUACCAAGGCUGUGACAAAGUUCACUAGCGGUUAGAUUGUCUUGAUUUGUUAGUAUAUUUAGUAAUCUGGUUUUCGUUGGUUUUUGGGAUCCCUGAUGUAAUUACCUUCUAGCUGAAAAGUUCUGAAAUUGAAAUGAAACUAUCUUGUUUUGGUAAUUGAACGUUCUUAUUAACCAUCUUAUGUUUCUUUUUGAUUGCAUCAAAUGAAAUUGUGCUUGAUGGUCUUCGUUUUUAUCUAUUUGUAUUGUUUUGUAUCGAUUGCAUUCGACUCACACCAGGUGUUGUGAGGACACAUUUGUUGGAUUGAUUUUAGUUGCUGUGUCUAUGGCUUGUUUGCGCAACUGAGGUCCGAGGUCCCAACUCCCAAAACAGCCGAGCAAUGUUUUUCUUGCAUAUAAAAGAGAUCAUUGCUUCAGAGUUUUUUGUUGGUGUUGUACAUUGCAUUAUAUCCGUGUUAGUAUUGCUCUCUCUCAGUUAUUAUACUAUAUAGUUAGCCCAGUACGUUUAAUGAUGAGCAAUGGUUCAUGUGAAAAGUGAAAACCUAACUCUGAUAUGGAAUGCCUUUGAUGCCCUCUAAACAUAGAUCUGAAUUCAUGCUCUUCACCGGUGUCCCCUGCGCCAUUAUCAAUCUCCCUCCUAUUUCUUUCAUCACCUUGAUCUUUUCUUCGUUCUCUUGCCAUGGCUGGAAAUAUUACUAUUAAUAUGAAACAGUACGUGAUAGCGGACAUAAAAGCCCUACAAUUCCCAACAAAUCGGAAUGUUUGAACACAUGAUUUUUAUAAAGGGUGGUUACAUCCCAAUUUUCCAUAUAGACAUCUAUUUGAUUUUUAAGUUUUUUUUUAUUGGUUUAAUUUGGGGUAAAUGACACAACAAACACUCUUUUUAUAAAAGAAAUUCGAUUUUAACACCGUUUUUUUUUUUUGUCAAUUUUGACAUUGUAUUUCCAAUUUGUUACAAUUCUGACCACUUGACCGGUUAACCAGGUUGCAUGAUGACGUGUCAGUUUUUGAUGACGUGAUAUGCUGACGUGUCAAAAUUGAAUUUUUUUUUCUCACAAAAAACACUAAGUUUCCAUUUUUUUCGAUUUUGACACUAAGUUUAAUUUUUUCUUUCAACUUUGACACUAUGUUUUUUGUUCUAAAUCGAACAUUAUUUUUUCUAAUUUUGUUCAACGUUGACAAUUUUUCUAUUUGAAACCGUAUAAAUAUUUUUUUAAUAUAUUUAAACCGUAUAAAUAUGUUUUUUUUUUCAUUUAAAAACCAUAGUUUUGUAUAAAUACAUUUUUUUAACACUCAAACCAUAUUUUUAUGUAUAAAUAUGUAUUAGUUAUAUAAAAAUUGUAUUUUAUAUUAAAUAUGCAACUCUAAAAUGUGUUUGGAGGUUUGGAGGUUUGGAGGCGUGUAGUCGAUCAAAACUCGGAUAUCAAGUUUGCAACCCAUCAAAUUUUUACAUCUUAUUAGAAGCUGAUGAUUAGUUUAAUUCUCAUUAAAUAACUAAUGCUUUGAAUGUAAGAAAAAAAAACACCUUGUAUUUAAAUAAAAAUGUGGUUUUAAAACGAAAAAAAUAUGUUUAUACGGUUUAAAAUGUAAUAAAAAAAAAUAUAUUAAUACGGUUUCAAAUGUAAAAUAGACAAAAUUGAACAAAAUUUGAUAAAUGAUGUUCGAUUGGAACAAAAAAAAAACAUAGUGUCGAAAUUGAAAUAGAAAAUUAAACUUAGUGUCAAAAUUGAAAAAAAGUGAAAACUUAGUGUUUUUUGUGGAAAAAAAAUCAAUUUUGACACGUCAACAUAUCAUGUCAGCAUGCCACGUCAUCAAAACCGACACGUCAUCGUGCCACGUCAGCAUGUAACUUGGUUAACCGGUCAAGUGGUUAUAAUUGUAACAAAUUGGACAACACAAUGUCAAAAUUGACACAAAAAAAAAAACACGGUGUCAAAAUCGAAUUUCUGUGUAAAAAGAGUGUUUUUUGUACCAUUUACCCUUUAAUUUGCAUUGUUUUUUGAAAAAGUAAAUUUUAAUAGUUUAUUAUAGGUUUACUUUUAAUAAAAGUGUUUAUAGGUGUCUAAGAUGUGUCAAUUUAGCAACUCCCUUUUCAUAAUUAGUAAUGUUAUAUGAACCUUUAUGGCAUACAUCAUACCAACCUAUUGGGUCGAAGCUUUAUAUAUGACCAAUCACCUCCUCAACAUUACCCAAUCCACAUCUAUUGGGAACGAGAUACCAUUCGCCAAACUAUUCAAGAAAACUCCCUCAUUCUCACAUGGGAGUCUUCGAGUGCUUAUGUUACACACUUAUCAAUCCCCAACAUAAACUUACUACACAAUCCACUCCUUGUAUCUGAUGGGUUUCAAGCAAAACAUCAAUCCUAUGGUGUACAUGCAAACCCUAAUAGCUUUUGGAUCUAGUUUGUCUAAUAAACAUGCAAUUGAAUAUCCAAAGCUAUAAACCCUAGAUCCAGCAUACAAUUAAUCAUAUAAACAUAAAAUAGGGUUUAGAUCUGACCUUUGAUUGUUAUAUAGCAAUAACAAUCUAAUCAUUGGCUUCAGAAAGCUUAGUGCCUCAAGUGCUGCACCUCUAAUGGAGUUACAAACACCACUAAGCAACUUGGAUGAAGAGAGAGGAGAGAGGAGGCACCAAAAACGGCUGGAAACCCUAAUCUUAGUGUUGUCCAUGUUUUUGGUGCAUAGAAGACUUUUAUAUACAUGUAGGCUAUUAGGGUUUACAACUAGGAAACCUAAUCUGGCUGCUUAAGCCCUAAGCAGCCCAUGAACUCCUUUAACAUAUCUCUUGGACGAAUUCCUUAUGGGCUUCCCAUAGAAUUCGUCCAACCUAUAUUAUUUAGGUAAUCCAUAGCCCAAUUGCAAUUGUAUUAUAAUUACAAAUCCAGUCCCCUAAGUUUAAUUAAUCUCUUUUAGCCACAAAAUUAAUUCUUAAUUAAUUCUUGACUAAUAUUAAUUAAACAAUAUGAUUUCUCUUUUAAUAUAUUAUUCUCAUAAUAUAUAUUAAUAAAUCAUAAUUAAACCUUUCUCUCCUUAAUUCAUCAUACAUGUUGCUAUGGUGAAGGCAACCCAAAAAGACCAUGCUCAUAAUCGGGUCAAGUACAUACCAAAAUAGUUAUGGACUUAGACACUAAUCCAAUAGUAUCUUCAUCGGGUACCCAUCUAACCAUCAUGGAUACCGAUGUCUUGACCUCUCAUCUGGUAAAAUUAUCAUAUCUGGUCAUGUCGUUUUGACGAAUCCCCAUUCAUUUUCGAUCCUUGACUCCUAACCAAUCCCCACCAUACACCUUCCUUGAUUUGAAGGACUCACAUCCCCAGUGCGUCGUCAAUUUUUUGAGACACCGAAACAACCGCUCCACCUAAGAGAAUCCAACCCAACCCACCCCACUACCGAACAUCCACCUCUCCUCCCUACCACCUCGGCUAUAACCCUACCACCCCAUCCUCCUUCUACUCAUCCUAUGGUCACAAGCUAGAACAUAGUAUCAUUAAAUCCACCGCUUGCCUAAUCCUUUAUAGCACAAAUGAGUCACACACCCUCAAAUCCCACUUGCAUGCCCUUUGUUACCUUAACUGCUUGCCUUAUCCGUUAUAGCACAACCGAGUCACACACCCUCAAAUCCCACUUGCUUGCCCUUUGUUACGUUAACUAGAACAUUGCUAUAAAUGUAUGAUUUGCUGCUCUUAUGUCUAACAUAACUUACGCCUUGUUCCCCGUUAUUUUUUUGUAUAUUCAUUAAAGGAAAGGGAAGAAAAAUUUUGACCGAAAGAAAGGGAGGGGAAGGAAAAAUAUUAAUUAUACCGUGUUCCCAGGUUCGAAGGAACUGAAAAGAAAUGAGAGGAAAAUUUUAAGUUUUUGUGUUCCCAAGUUAGGAGGAAAAAGAAAAUAAAACUUGAAAUUUUCUUUCCCCUCACUUUCUUCCCAAAUCCGCCCAAUUUGGAAGGAAAAUAUGACUCCAAAAUUCUUCCCUUCCCUUCACUUUCCUCCCAUUUGCCUCGUUAAGUAGAACUCGGGAACAAGGCGUUAGGUAGUUGUUCUGAGGCCUCUAAGGGGAAAUAUUGUUCAUUCUAUGUGGUCAUUUAAAAAGAUAUACAACUUCAUUGAUACUAUUGAGUAUUGACCGGUAUAAAAAACAUUUGGUCGUUAAAGAGAAAAGUCAACGACCAAACAUCGAUUGUGCUUGAUUGUCAAACCAUUGGCGAUUUGAUAUCUUCUCAACAUAAUUGUCUCUUGUUACUGAUCGAUUCAUCAGUUGUGCAUCAAUAAGACUUUCUUGCAUAGUCACUUAAACAAGACUCUUUACAUGCAUCGACCUCUGAAUUUCGUGACCUCAAUCAUCAAAAUUAUGUAUGUUAUCCCUAGAAAUUCCUAUACAACAUGAAAGAGGCACCACAUGUGUGGUGUAAUCGAUAUGAUGAGUUUAUUACUUGGGUCAGUUUCCAACAACAAAACUAACUCCUCACUUUUCAUGUUCUAAUGGGGGAUGGUAACACCUAUAUUAUUUUCUACGUGGAUGAUAUUAUCUUGAAUGCUUCUUCCUCUGACUUAAUUAUUCGAAAUACCAUUUCUCAGUUCCUGACCAAGUUUGCUAGGACCGAUUUUGACGUCCUCUCAUAGUUUUUGGGUGUUUCAGUGGUCUGUGAUAAGACUGAUGUUUUUCUUUCUCAACACAUAUAUGCGUUCAAACUUCUAGUGUGGGCACACAUGUAAGCCUACAACCCCUGUAGCACUCUCACAAAAUUCUCAGUCGAAGCUCGAUCUCAUGGGUCCCACAUUGUGGAUCCCAUUUAUAUCGUAGUUUUCAGGCGACCUCUAGUAUUUGAGUUUUACUUGCCCCGAUAUCUCCUAUACUACACAAUAAAUAUACCUCUUCAUGCAUGACCCUGGAUGUAACAUCCGGUUUCGGGAAAUUUCUUAUUUAUGAAUGACAAACUUUAAUUUAGUCAAGGGUAGAUCUCGGGAUUCAAAGGAUAAAGUUUGGCGAGAAACGGUUGGAUCAUUGUCUUCUAAAAACCAUAAUUGGUAGGAGAUAAAGUAAACGAAAAUUUAUAGGAGUUGUGUAUGGUUUUCUCGGUUAUGGAUAAGGCUGUGUGUAACGACCGAAAAAUACAACCAAUUUUAACUUUUUCAAAAACAGCUUGAUUCCAUUAAAUCUUUACAAAAAGGUUUUCAAUAUAAACAUUUAACGUAUUCCCAGAAUCACAUUACUACAAAAUCACGAGGAACGGUACGAUCAUGCCUUCGCCUUGCCACAGUCUCCUGAAGAACCUGAAAAACAUAAAACCACAACUGUAAGCCUGAAAGCUUAGUGAGAUAUCCCCCAAAUACCAACCACAUAUACCAUACACGCAUAACAUGCCACAACAUAUCUGAUCACAGAACAGCCAUGCACUUCGGGUCUACUGUGUGACUGGUCCGCCGCACCGGCCUACAGUCCACCUGGUCCACCCUCUGAGUCUAUCCACAUACAUCGAGUCUGCAGUGUGAUUGGUCCGCCCGCACCCGGGCCUUCAAUCCACCUGGUCCACUCUCUGAGUCUACAGUAUGACUGGUCCGCCCGCACCGGGCCUUCAGUCGGCCUGGUCCACUCUCCGAGCCUCGGCACGUCUGGUCCGCCCUCUUGGGGCCUACAGCCUAUCCGGACCGCUCGCUGGGCCUUCGGAACAACCGGUCCGCCCUGGGUAUCUUGGCCUACAGCACAAAGCAGGACCCGCCUCAACCCAACUCCAGUCCAAACAACCAUGUGCACAUAUACAUACAAUCAUAUAGCAAUUCACAGUCAACAAGCAAAUCAAACAGAUCACAUAACAUAUCAUCAUCCUAACCAGGAUACCGACCUAACAGGUCACUAGCAUAGCAUCUCCCUAUCUCUCAGGAUACCAAACUCAAUCAGGUCUCUAACAUAUAUCAUCCUAACUCACAGGAUGCAAACAUAUCAAAGCAGCAACAUAACAACAACUACCCGGAUCUCAAUCCGAUAAGGGUCGUCCUUGGUGCCUUAGACCCUGUUGAUAUAGUGAGGAUAACUCACCUCGAAACUGUCGGUUGAAAGGAUAAGAUCCCGCUGCUCCAAGCUCCGACACGAACUCCUCCACUGAACACCAACACACUCAACUCAAUAAAUACCCUUUAUUACCAAAAUACCCCUGAAAGGCAACUAGUCAACCUUUGGACAAGGUCAAAGUCAACCCCUGACUGACUCUACUCGCCGAGUCAACCCGAUGACUCGCCGAGUCUCCAUACUCAGAACUUCCCUCAAUCUGCGACCUAACUCACCGACUUACUCCGAGACUCGUCGAGUCCAACAACUCUGAGUCCACUCGCACACAACUCACCGAGUCAUCCCUUGACUCACCGAUUCUCGACUCGACCAUAAAAUAUUGGGACUCUUCGACAAGACUCGCCGAGUCCAAGAACAGACUCGCCGAGUCUAAGGCUAUCUUCAACCUAGUCGCCGAGUUCCAGGCCAUCUUCAUCCAAGUCGCCGAGUUCCAGCUCAUCUUCAAGCAACUCGUCGAGUCCACCCAUGUGACUCGCCGAGUACCAACGGUUUGAAUCCAUUCAGAAGCACUCCAGGCCAUGCAAUUCAUCCACAACAUAGAUCUAGCCUCCUACAACCCAUCCAUCACGUAAAGUGGCAAACUUUACGUGAAUCCAAAGAGAUCUAGGCCUUUAACACUAUAUAGCUAGGGUUGGGACAUGAUAGCUUCAUUACACACUUGAACACAAGGACUUUCAGGCAUUCCAACCCUUCUCCAAUUCAGAUCUGAGGUAGCAACCUCAGAUCUAACCUCUAAACUCCAAAACCCCAAAAGAUAGGCUCCCACAAACCCCAUAAUGAAGAAUCCAAGAAUAACAGCCCAAGGACGAGAUAUUACCUCAAAAGAACACCCAAACUGCAAUGGAACUCGAAUCCAAGCAAAAACCCUUGCUCCAAACCUCUUCUUCUUCAAGAUCUCUUCAACAACCACCUCUCUAAGCUCCAAAUCACCCAACAAUGGGGUUUCUCCACGAAUUUAGGGUUUUUGGGACUCAAGGGGGUGAUAAGGAGGCUGGGGAGGAAACAUAAUGUUCCUUAUAUAUGGCUCAACUUCCGGAUUUAGGGUUUUCUCCAUUCAGUGCCUACUCGCCGAGUCGGCCACUUGACACGCGACCAAGUCGCGACUCUACUCGCCGAGUCCACCCAUGGACUCGCCGAGUCGCUCUAUCCCAUAUUACUCUUUUAGCCCUNAGAUGUUACACUGUGAUAGUCGCCAUGAUCAAUGAAUGUGAAAAUCGACCUAUGUGGUUGUGUUUUUUUCUUUUUUUUUUUUUUUUUUUUUUUUUUUUUUUUUUUUUUUUUUUAUUUCCNUACCUAAGACACACUCCUCACCAUCAUUGCUUAGCAUUCUAAGUUUAAGUCUAGAAAUAAAUCCAUAUUCCUAGUUCGCUUAAACUAAUGCUCUGAUACCAACUGUGACAUCCCCAUUUUCACGGCCAGAAAAGACCGAUUUUGUUUAUGCUUUGUAAAAAUCAGAGUACUUCUUUUCAUAAAAAUGUUGCGGAAUUUGUUCCUAGAAAAACAUGUUAAAUACGUUAUCAAAACAUUUUCGAAGAAACGUAUUUUAUUCAUUUUAAAACGUUUGGGAUGUCAUCGUUAAUACAAAAAUAUAAGCUUAAACAGAACUCACAUUUAUUUAUACUAGUGAUCUACAUCUCUUUAAUCUCUCAGUGUAAUGUGACUUCAUAACAACACCUGUGAUAUAAAUAAACUGAGUAGGUCAGGUUGGGAAACCUGGUGAGUACAUUGGGUUUUCAACCCACAAUAAUAUAAUUAUUAUGUUCAAUCAUCAAACAAUUAACCCAAUUACCCAUCCUUAUUAUCUUCUUUAUUCCUAAGUACCCUCCAUAAGGAUUUAUCCUAAGGGUCGUCUCCUACAUCAUAUUUUACCUCUCUUCUCCUUUUAUGUUUGUUCCUAAGGACUUUCCCUAAGGAUCAUCGCCUAAAUCGCCUAGACAGAAUUGAUUCUGGGAUUACUCCCUCAAUAUGUGCCCACCAAGGGUUUGGGUAUCAUCGCAUGAAUACGUAGUUACAACAUCGCCUGAACUCGUAAUUCAUAGUAAGGGGGUUAGAGUAUCAUCACAUGAAUACAUAGUUACAACAUCCCCUGAACUCGUAAUUCAUCACCUACAGGUUAUGAGCCUGCUGGUGUUUCCACGGGGUUGUCUAUAAUAGUCCGUGGUCGCCAUCUAUACUCUGGUAGAUGACUACAUCUCCAAAUUGUCGGACAAGGUUGUAGUAUCCUACAUCACCGAUUCAUAAUCACCUAUCUAUCAUCACCUUCCUAUCAUCACCUAUCUCUCAUUAUUUUAUUUCAUCACUCACCAACUAUUUCAUCUACCCAUGUUUUAUCCCAACAUAUUUGUAGAUAUAAAAUAAAUAUACAGUUUAAAUCAUUUAAAACAUGUAUAAAUCAUUCAUCCAGCAUAGACAAGAAGUAUUCAGAUAAUAUGCACACAUAACACGUAAUUUAUGUAAAAUAAUUCAUAUCUAUGUGUAAGAUGAAAGUAACUAUGCACUCACUUGAAAGGGGGUGACUCAGCACUCGGACAACGUUUCGAUACUCUCAAAACAAUUUCCUUUGAUAAAACCUAAUAUCAAUACCACUAGGGUUUAGUCUAACGAUAACUAUGACAAAUUAAUACUCUGACUACUAUUAUUAUUAUAUAAGUGUUAAAUAACACUCAAUAUAACUCAUAAUAAUAGCCUAAAUAAUUAUUUUAAGGACCUAAUAACAUUACUAUAAUUAUUUGGAAGCUAUAUUAAAAAUUGCGUAAGCGUAGCUCACUUACAGCGAAUUUUAAAGAAAACCGGGCUUUGCUCGGAGCAGCGUUUCANCAGCGUUCCCGAGCCGAAAGGCUCUUUUCUCGGGACUCCGGGAGCCUCGGGGCUUCCUUCGGGUGCUAGGGGGUUUACCUAGGCUUUAGGGGGCUUAAGGGGGGCUAGAGAGAGAAAGUGGAUGAGGAAAGGUGUGAGAAUGAACGGAACUCGACACAUCUAUUUAUAGUGUGAAAUCCUGAUGGACUCGCCGAGUAGGAGGACCUACUCGACGAGUUGGUUCCAUGUGUCAUCAUCUGAUGGCUUUCCUUGGAGAGAAAGCAAUGGCUGUGAUCGCGCCACGUCACCCAAUAUCGCGUAUCGGCUUCCUGACUUAGAAAAAUCAUAACUCUCGCAUACGAGCUCCGUUUUUGACGUUCUUUAUAUCCACGCGUAGGUAAAAGCAAAAUCUACAACUUUCCUUUAGACUCCGUCGGCUAAUUACCGACCGAUCUUAAAUUUAACAGUAGGAGGAGUUUAGACUGUUAAAUGACCGCGAAGAAUUCGUAACUCCUUCAUACGAACUCCGUUUUCGUCUAUCUUUUUACCGUUGAGUUCCUAUUAAUGAGAUAUUCAACUCUCAUUUAGGUCGCGUAAGCCAAAAACCGCUCGAACUAAAAUUCGAGUUUCGGGGCGUGCACUACUAAGCCGAAUCUUAGAAAAAUCAUAACAUUCUCAUACGAAGUCAUAUUUGGGCGUUCUUUUUAUGGAUGUUCUCGGUUUAACGUAUACUACAACUUUGGUUUAGAUCACUAAGGCUAAAAAGUCAUCUAUCUUAAAUUCACUAUUUACGUCUCCCGGUGUCGUGCCGGUUUUGCCGUAAAACUUCGAUGGGCCAUAAGUUCUUUGUUAUAGGUCGGAUUUCGGCGUUCUUUAUAUGUACGGAAACCUUGUUACAUAUUCUACAGAUUGGUUAAGAUUAUUUAUUCUAAACAAUAUUUUGUCGAAAAGUCGUUUUUGACCCCUAUUGCCUCUAAAUUGACUAGCCCGGAUCUGCGGGCGUUACAUACAGUCUACUCCUUGUACUAAUAUUAUCUUGUCUGAUAAAGACAAUCUCAAAGUAGGUUGCCAUUUUGACAUAUUAUUGAAGUUGGAAAAUCUAUAAAAUAGCAACAUACUUUGAGAUUGUACUUUCAUUUUUUUCUCUGACUUGUAAAACUUUAAAAUAUCAACCAUUUUUACUACCACAACAUCUAAUUUUAUUUUUUUUCAUUAAAAUUUUGUAUUUUAUUUUUUUUCAUUAAAACUAUAAAUUGUAUUUUGUAUUUGGAAUCCAUAUAGAUUAUAGAUUAGCAACUAACAAAGGGUAUGUAUUGACUAUUGAGUUAUUUUUUAGAGUACCUCCAUUGUACAUAAGUACCCCUUCAUUAGGUUUUCAAAUGUAUGCAUCAGGGUUUUUUCAUUCGAACACCUAAAAAUAAGGAACUUAUUAUUACUUUUCCAAUGUUAACCCUAUAGUCAAACAACUUUGUUUAUGUAAAUCUAUAAAUUUUGUUGUUAAAAUUCACAAAAAUGGAUAUAUAUAUAUAUAUAUAUAUAUAUAUAUAUAUAUAUAUAUANUCAUGCUAUAUUUGAAAAAAGUUGAAAGUAAAUUGAAAUUUUUUUUAUUUACCUCAAUCAUGGAAAAAAAACACAGAAGAUAUCAGUAUAUUUUCAUUUUUUUUUGUCUCUAUACUAUCAUUGUUUUCGUUUUGUUAUUUUCAGUUACAUAUUUUCCUCAUUUUUUCAUCUAAUUAUGUAAAUUUAUCUAAUUUAAUUUACUAAAGACCUUUAAUGUAUAUAUUUUUUAAAAUCUAAACACAAACACCAUCACAACAAUAUACAUUCAUUUUUAUUUUUGUCAUAUAUAACAUCAUUGUCAUAUGUUAAUUAAUAACAACAUAUUUUCAAGUUUGAUGCAAAGUCAAAAAAAAGUUUAAGAAAAUGGCAACUUUACGUGAAAGUAAAUUGCUACUUUUUCAUUUACCCCAUCACGGAAGAAAUGCGGAAAAUAGCAAGACUUUUUUUUUUUUUUUUUUGUUGUAAUGUGCUAUCAUUGUUUUCUUUUUCCUCUAUUAGGUUCAUUUUUUUGAAUAAUGUGCUAUCAUUGUUUUCUUUUUCCUCUAUUAGGUUCAUUUUUUUGAAUAAUGUGCUAUCAUUGUUUUCUUUUUCCUCUAUUAGGUUCAUUUUUUUGAAUAAUGCAACUAUUGACAUUUUAGGUAAAAUCUUCAAAAAAAUCUUAAACUUUUGAAAAAAGUUUCAAUUUAGUCUUAAUUUUUUUUGAAUAGAAAAAUCCAAGAAUUUUGAGGUGUUGAGCAAGUCAUCUAUACCACAUGGUCAAAAAAGAUUAAAGUGUAAGGUUUAAACGGUUUAUUGGAUUUUUCUAUUUAAACAAAAGAUUAUGACUAAAUUAAAACUUUUCCUAAUAGUUUGAGACUUUUCUGAAUAUUUUUCAAAAUUUUAACUGAGAUGAGGAUUAUUAAGGACAUUUUAUGUAAAAAAAAUAACUGGGCCAUACCUUUGACAUUUGCAAUCAAUUUUUAUUUUUGUUUUUCAAAUAAUUUGAUAACGGCGUUCUCUCUAAAAUAGCAACAUAUUUUCAAGAGUUUUUCAACUUUUUGUUAACUAUACCAUUUUAGGGACCUUUUUUUUGAAAUAGUUUUGAUAGCAAUCAACGGCCAGUAAUCACGAUCCGCGUUAGUCUAAUCUAACCAAUCAGAUCAGUUUUACACAGCCUAUAUAAACACAUCCCAAUACGCCAACGAUCACAUCCUACUUUUCGAAUUCAUCUACUACAAACACAUCUUCUCUAUUUCCAUUUUCCCUCCAACUGUAUCAAUGGCACCCAAGGCAGCUGCCGGAAAGAAACCAGUAGCGGAAAAGGCUCCGGCUGAGAAGGCACCAGCGGAGAAGAAGCCCAAGGCGGAGAAGAAACUCCCAAAAGACGCAUCGGCUGCCGGAGCAGAUAAGAAGAAGAAGAGACACAAGAAAUCAGUCGAGACCUACAAGAUCUACAUCUUUAAGGUUUUGAAGCAGGUUCACCCUGACAUUGGUAUCUCUAGUAAGGCAAUGGGCAUCAUGAACUCAUUCAUCAACGACAUUUUUGAGAAGCUCGCUCAGGAGGCAUCUAAGCUUGCAAGGUACAACAAGAAGAACACUCUGUCUUCGAGGGAGAUUCAAACUGCAGUCAGACUUGUACUUCCCGGGGAGUUGGCUAAGCAUGCUGUGUCUGAAGGUACCAAGGCUGUGACAAAGUUCACUAGCGGUUAGAUUGUCUUGAUCUGUUAGUAUAUGUAGUAAUCUGGUUUUCGUUGGUUUUUGGGAUUCCUGAUGUAAUUAC